This 98960-nucleotide long non-coding RNA is filed under the name Fragaria vesca (wild strawberry). RNAcentral's name for it is "long non-coding RNA (FVES_LNC000770)". Lineage: Eukaryota; Viridiplantae; Streptophyta; Magnoliopsida; Rosales; Rosaceae. The record is from RNAcentral.
AUAUAUAUAACUCAAAACCUAUUAACACAUAUACCAAGUGAACACAUAUGAAGGCUAACAUCAAAACUAUUUUUCCAAUGUUGGAGUCUCCCACAUUCUCCAACUGUGAGCUAGUAAAGUUCACUAUAAACUUUUCUUUAGUGGAAUAUUCUCACUAAAAUAAAAGAAAUAAGUACUAAGUAGCUAACUAUGUGCUACCUGCAAGUUCACUGACGACGUUUCCUAGCUUAAUGUCGUAUUCACACUAAAAUGGAAUAAAUAAGUUUGAGGUUUAUGGAUAAGAGUUUAGAGUUUAAAGAUUAAAUAUAUUAAAUAUGUCACAUCCCGACCCUUAUAUUUUUACCUUAUUUACUAGCUUGAUUAUAAUAAGAAUUUUACCGUCUCCGUCAUUGAGGUAAUAGUUUAUUUGGUCCCUAGAGGUGUUUUAAGGGACGAUUAAUUUCGGGGAAUUAUUCGUGGGAGAAAAUAUGACGACGGUAAAAAUGAUAAAUUUUAGCUAGUAAAAGGUAAUUUUUAUUCGGGUAUUAUUUUUUUUCGGGGUGUUUUAUUUUUGGAAUUGGCUUGUAUAUAGGACUUGGACCGGGUAGGAGGCCCAAGCCUAUUUCUUCUUCUCUCUUUUCCUUCUCUUCUCUCUCUCUCCCUCCCGAGCUCUCUCUUCCCCGCCGGUUUCCUCCGCUCAGCUCGUCGCCGUCCGGCCACCGUAGGCCGCCGCUCCGGUCCCGUUCGAUUGCCCUCCGACCCAGCUUCCAUUCUAGGCCAGUGAAGGCUGCCCUAUCGCCGCCGUGAAGGAGUUCUCCCACCUAGAACCUCGGGCUGCCCGAAGUCCUCCAUCGCCGGAACUCCCUCCUCCGGCCACCAAUUCGGGCAAGCUUGGUACGGUUUUGUAGGUCUCUAACCCAGCAGCCUUGCCCUAGAAGGACUCACUCCCUCUUGAGCUAGGUAAGGAGAAAUUUGAGGUGGAAGUUUUAUGGCAUUUUUUGAUGUUUUUAGUCGAUUACCCUAGUUAGGCUUGGAAUUUGUGUUUGUGCUAGUUAGGAAAGUUAUAGAGCAUGAUAAGAGGUUUAUUCUGUCAAAAUUUCAUAGGAAUCGGAGGUCGCCGGAAUCGGCCUCCGGCCGCCGCGGUUUGGGAGAUUUUUAGGGUUUUAAAUGUGGAAUAUUAAAGGGAUUAUAUUGAAGUGAGUUAUGGAAUUUUUGGAUGAGUUUUGGAUAGGUUUAUGAAUUUCCGAAGUGUGGUAUUUUUGACGGUUAAUUAAUGAAGAAUCCGGCCGUAGGAUUUAAGUCGUAUUUUUGGGGAGGUUGUAUUUACGACUGUCGAGUAUGAUAUUUAAGUUCGAAUCGUUUCGAUUUAAGAAUAUCGAACUUAGACAAUGAUGAGCGUAUUUAUGGCUCUCGGGUAAUUUUGCCUAUUUUGAUUAAAUAUUGGAUUGUUAGUUGGGAAAUUAAUAUUAUAUUUGGAACAGGAUGUGAGGAGGCUCGAGCAGACGAGGCCCUAGAUCGACAUAAGGCUUAGGCUUAAUUUGUGAGUGGACUUUUGUUUUAAAUAAAAUGCAUGCUAGAGUUCAUGGUUGAACAAUAAUUGUUGCGGAAUAUUUUGACGUCAUUUUAAUUUGACGAAUUUUAUUUCUCUUGGAGAGUUACCGAAAAUGGGAUUUUCGGUGGAUAUAAAUAUGUAUUUAUGAGAGAGUAUGUAUAUAAAAUGCUAGCUAGCCAUAUGUGUCUUUCCACCUUAAUGGCGUAGCAUAUAGCCGCAUUAUGGUGUGACGUGAGCAUUGGACGUGAGCGUAGUAGCCCUAUAUGAGUGUUUAAUUCACAUAGGGGGUAUGGACACAUAUUUAUACACCCGUCUGUCCACCUUAAUGGCGUAGUGUAGCACCGCAUUAAGGCGUGACGUGAGCGUUGGACGCGAGCGUAGUAGCCCUAUAUAGACCCAUGAAUUUAUAUAGGGAGUAUGGACGAGUGUACAUACAUACAUAUAUUAUAGAGUCUAAGAGGCUCGAUAUUUUAUGAGAUAAAAGUUUUAUCGCUUGCGGCAUGCAUUCGAUUUUUCCUUAUAAAUUAAUUUGGGGAAACAUAAAUAUUUUAUUUAUUAUUUUAUUUUUGUUCCACUCACUCUAACGUUAUUAAAUAGUUUUCCCCUUGGGCCCUUCGUUUUAAAUUGCCCAGUCUGUAGAGUUCGGGUUGGAUCUAGUAGGAGACGAGGCAUAGUCACCCGCUUUUCUGCCAGUUUUCAUCAGUAGGUUACCUGUUCAACCUACUCGUGUUUUCUUUCUUCCGCUUGUUUUUAGUAGCUCUGAAUACUUUGGGAUUAUUGUAAAUUAUGUGAUGUUCGGAAGUGUAAUAUGAAAUUUUCGAGUUAGGGUUGUCCAUCUGCAAGGGAGAUUUUCUUAAUCUUUUCAGUAAAUUUUCCUUGGAGGUGGUCCCCGCACGACUUACUCCGGGUUUCAGAGUGAAAUUCGGGGUGGGUCGUGUCAGUUGGUAUCAAAGCUAUAGGUUUCCUUUUCCUGCUUCCUUGCCACUAUCACAUUUGCCUAAGUAGCACGUAGUGUCUAUAGAGUGAUGAUCCGACCGCGGCGGAUUCAUUGGCAUNNNNNNNNNNNNNNNNNNNNNNNNNNNNNNNNNNNNNNNNNNNNNNNNNNNNNNNNNNNNNNNNNNNNNNNNNNNNNNNNNNNNNNNNNNNNNNNNNNNNUAAACUAAUCAUGACUAAUUACGUAUCACAAUAAAGUAAUUUGAUGUUAGUUUAAGCACAAGUACCAAAUACAAACAUAGGUAAGAAAAUCGGUAGAAAAACAAAGACAAUGCAACUUAUCAACUACGUGUAUCAAAGUCGAACUUUGGAUGAUUAACACAUGCAAUAUCAACUACUUGUAUCAACUACACAUGAUAAUGGAAUAUAGCACCGAAAAUCUUAAAGUAUUUAGACAUAAAACUCACGGCAUAAAACCUCAAAUCAUUGAUUAUAAAUUGUAAACUUUAAUUCAAAACAUGGCUCAAAAGUACUUCUAUCUCAUAGACAAGAAUCGAAACAUACUUAAGCAAAUACAUAAAGCAAACAAAAACAAGAACAAACACAUAGCAAUCCGAAAAUAGAAGAUGAAAUACACUCUCAAAAUAUCCCUACUUGUUCUAUUCUUCGAGUGCGCGGAGUCCUAGGCUACGUGCUUUGGACGAAUGCUGAAGGUGGGAUCGGAUUGUGGUGUUUGGAGGUUGAUGGAGUUUCGGCAAAGGAUUUGGUGUUAUUUGCACGGGUUGAUGAUGAUCUUUUGUCCUUGAAGUCAUGCUUUAUAUAGAGGAAAAACCCUAGAGAAGUCGGCCACAAAGCCUAAACCAAGUUGGUUUAGGAUUCCUAGUUCUUCUCAAUUUCGGCAGAAUGACCUCCGUCUGAUGAUUACGUCAUAACUCCCUCUAGAAAAUAGAUAUUGAGGUGAUUCCAAUUGAUUUGGAAACUAGACUCCCGUAGCUUUCUAUCCCUAUCUGGCACGUUUUCUGAUUCAUUGUGAGCUGUCCUGGAGAGUCCGUUGAAGUUGACAGACGUGCACAGGAAUUCUCCCGAUUUUAAUCCAGAUUUUUCAAGGCUUGGAUAUUCUUGAAAUUCUGCCGAAUUUAGAUCUUCUUCUCCAUAUUGGACUUGGUUUGGACCUCUCCUUCAUGGACUAGGCUUCGAGGAAAGAUGGAAUCUUGAUCAAGACAGGAAUCCUGAGUAAACAAGGGUUUCCAACACUUAGCACAAUUUCAACACCAAAUUAUUCAAAUCCGAAAAUACUAUGUAUUCUAAUACUAAAAACUACAUAUUUCUAAAUUAAGCAAUUAUUCUACACUAAACACAAAUAUAAAGCUAAAACAACUAAAUAGGAGUUAACAAAGGGUAAAUAAAGGGUAUAAACAUAUUAAGAACGUCACACUUUGUGCUCCUAUCAACACGCAUCAUUCAAGUUGCGAAAGUCCACACACACACGCAAUUGUCCAUUCUUCUUUUCAACUGGGACAAUGUUCGCAAUCCAUUUAGGAUAUUGGACCUCUCUGAUGAAGCCUGCAGCGAUCAACUUGUCAACCUCUGCUUCAAUUUGGGUUUGCACCUCUGUUCGAAAACGUCGUGUCAGUUGCUUGAUGGGUCGAGCCUCUGGUUUAACAGCUAAUCGAUGAACUGCUACCUUAGGGUCAAGACCUGGCAUUUCUUUGUAAUUCCAAGCGAAGACAUCCUUAUAUUCGAGCAACAAGUCAUAGUACUACUUCUCUUCUUGGGGACUUAGUGAUGCGCUCACAAAUAUUGGUCUUGGGUCUUCCUCUGUCCCCAAAUUGAGCUCCUUAAGUUCAUCAACUGUAGCUUUCACCCCAUCUUCGAGUUCUGGAGGAGCUGCUUCCACUUCAUAUUCGGAGCCCUCAUGGUCAUCCUCUUCAUAAGCUUCCACUUCCGCUACGGUGAUGUGAUAAGCACAUUGAACAAUAUCAUCUUCAUCGUCACUUGUACCAUCGCCUUCUUUGUCUUGACCAGUGAGUAUGAUGGUGCGUUGCUUCACUUUAAGUUGGUCCGUCGAAUUCACCUCCAACAUGCAACGUCUUUUCAUGCGUGAUGGGAUGAGGCUUCGGAUUUCUUUAUCUUCCAUUUGACCAACGUCUUCUUUUCUUUUGCUCCCUUGUUGUUUAGGUGCUUGGAUCCUCUCAAGUGCCGACUUUCGAGGAGUUGGCUCCACUUGUUUGUUUUCUUCAUUUGACUGUGUCAACCUUUUGAACACUGAAGUUCGUGUAGCUGAGAUGUCAAGACGAUUGAAGAUUGAGCUUCGACUUGUUGACCUAUCAACAUGCUCAAACACCGAAACUCUGCUUGUUGAUUCGGUAGUAGUACUUUGAGAACUUGGGUAGAUACGAUCAAAUGCCGAAGUGCGAGAGAUAUGGUGACAUUGCGGAACGUCAUCUUCUACUACUUCAACACCAAUGUAUUGUGUGCUAGCUUGAGCACCCUUUCUCCUUCCAAAGAUCUUGAUUAGCUUGCUUGGGGCAAAACCAAGACCUGCUCUCGCUGAGUUUCCUUGCUCUCUCAGCUUCUUUUGAGACUCAUUGAGCUCGUGUGUUUUCUUGCUAAUAAUUUGGUCAUCUUCUUUGCUUGGUGAACCAAAGUCAAACCCGGCCUUUGCCAACAACUUGUAAGCAUUGGGGUCGAACCCUUCAUUUGUUCUUUUUUCGGGUAAGGGCCCAUGCUUGAUUUUGCCUUGGUUUGGUUUGACAAACCCCUUCAACGGUUGCUUGGUAGGAGUUUGGCCGCUCAACUUCGUCAAAGGUAACGUCGAUGUUUCCUUCAACAAUUUUAUGUCUCUUCGCCUAAGCUUCGAGGACUUUCUUGCUGUUUUGCCCCCAAAAAUGGAGAUUCUCCUUCCUUUCGCUUGGAUUUUGGCACAUAGCGAAGGAUUGGGACAGCUUGAUUGGAUUUCUCUUUCGCAUUUGAUGUCGUAAUUUCUGAUGAAGAUUUAUGCGACUCUUGGUUUGUUUUGCUUUCAGUUUCAGCUUCUUUCUUCUUUAACUCGGUGGCUUUUCCUGUAGAGGGGACUUCAACUGGAAGAACUUCUGAUACCGAUUCCUCAUUCAUAUAGAACUUGGAAUCUGCAAAGUAAGAAUCAGCUUCAGUGAACGGCUUGGUGUCCCCUACCACCGUUUUCACACCUCCGCGAUAGAAUUUGAAACAUUGGUGCAAAGUUGAGGGCACGACGCCAUUUUCAUGAACCCAUGGCCGCCCCAACAAUAGAUUGUAUGACGUCUUUGCAUCAAUCACAUGGAACAAGGUGUUAGACUUCAAUUCUCCAAUGUCCAUGUCUAAUCGAACCAUGCCUAUUGCUCUUUGCCCUCCUUGGUUGAAGCCUUGGAUCAUAAGACGACUUUUAGACAACUCAUCAAUGUUGAUGCCGAGUCUCGACAUUGUUGAUUUUGGCAUAAUAUUUACGGCGGACCCUCCAUCUAUGAGCAUGCGAUUCAAUCUAUGCUCUCGUAUGUACCCUGUCACAAAUAGAGGUCUAUUGUGAGGCUUAGAACCCAAUUGUAGGUCUUCAUCCGUGAAAUGGACGGCAUCGCAACAUGCAACGCAUGUCGCACAUUCUUGGAUGUUCGAGGAAUGUUUGCCCACGUCGAGUAACAAUUGGACUAAUGUGCAUCUCAUUGCUUUGGGUAGCUGCAACAUGUCUGAGAGACUAAGUUUUAGAGGUAAGUCUUCCAAAUGUUUCAACACUUCAUUUGCAUCCGCUUCUUGAUCUGUUUUCACCUUGUUUGCUUCAGCCUUCUCAGAAUCUUUAGAACUAUCUUCGCAACUUGUUGUCAUUGAACUAGCUCUUAUACUUGCUUGUGCCAUAGGCAUGUGCUUCAUUGGCAAAGUUUGACUGAUAGGUCUCGGCUUGCAAGGAGUGGUCUUUUCCUUAACACACCUCGUCUCGUUCUUCUCAAGACUUUGACCAUUCUUACGUGAUUGUUGGCGAUUUAACUGCAUGGGUGGUGGACCUGAUGACACAUUUUUGCAUACCCUCCGUCGAGUAACAAGUAUCCAUCCUUCAUCAUCAACGCCUUGGUCAGUUUAGCAACAACCUUAGGAGCGAGAUUCAUCUGUUGGACUUGCUUAACUUCCGCCAACUUCUCUCCUUUGGCAUCCUCUCUUGAGAAGUGGUAUGGCGCUUUCAUUGGUGUGGAAGGUACUUCAAUCAGAUCAAAUGACCCAAAAGAAAUGGUGGUGCAAUUGACCUCAGCAACUUCAUCAACAUCUAGCUCAAUUCUUCCUUGUCUAGUGAGGUUCAUUAUCAAAUCUUUCAAGACAAAGCAUUUCUCGACGGGGUGGCUAAUGAUUCGAUGAUACUUGCAAUAUUUUGGGUCAUUAACUUGAUGGAUUUCUUCUGGACGUUUGCACUCCGGAAGUUCUAUCACCUUGUUUUCAAGCAAAUCUUCCAACAUGCCUGCCACGUCGGUAUCUGGGAACGGAUAUGUCUUUCGCUCCAACUCGCUUAAUGAGCGUUUUCUUCUAUCAUAAGCACGAGUUGGCUCAGCUUUCUUAACCUCUUUCUUGUUUGAGAUUUUGAUUGGAGCGACAUUCACAGCCAUUGACUCCGUCGUUGGUUUCUUCACGGUUUUGUCAACCUUGCUUCCGAAGAUCUUGUCUUUUCGUUGGUCAAUGAUAGACUCCUUCGCCUUGUGGCUAGCUAGGCUUAGCUCCAUAUCAUGUGCUCGCGUAGCCAAUUCUUCAAAAGUCCGAGGCUUGAUUCCUUGCAAAAUGUAUAGCAGGUCAAAAUGCAUGCCUUGGAUGCACAUCUCAACCGCGGAAACUUCUGACAAGCGAUCCUUGCAAUCGAGACUGAGUGACCGCCACCUAUUGAUGAAGUCGAUUGCUGGCUCACCUCCUCGUUGUUUUGUGUUGGUGAGUUCCAUCAUGCUCAUGGUACACCUUGUACUAUAGAAACGGUUUAGGAACUCGCGCUCCAUUUGGUCCCAACUGUUAAUAAACUCAGGUUCCAAGUCUGUGUACCAUUCAAAGGCGUUUCCCUUCAAAGAGCGAACGAACUGCUUGACCAAAUGGUCGCCUUCUGUCCCCGCGUUGUUGCAAGUCUCUAUGAAAUGUGCAACAUGCUGCUUCGGGUUUCCUUUUCCCUCGAAUUGUUGGAACUUCGGUGGCUGAUAUCCGAACGACAUCCUUAAACCGUCAAUCCUCUUGGUGUAGGGUUUAGAGUACACGAGAGAAUCACGAGAAGGGCCUCCAUAUUGAGCUCUGAUGGAGUUGGUGAUGAUAUCUUGCAACUGCUGGAACGACAUGGAUGCAAGUGAGCCAUCAUUGUUCUUGUCAGUGUUAUGAGAAUUCUCUUCUUCUCUUUCCCUCUUUUCUUCUUUUUCUUCAUCUUGGAUUUGAAGUUUGGACCAGAGCUCAGCAAUUUGUAGGUCUUUUUCUUCCACCGUUUUGGUGAGCUUCUCGACUGCUCCCAUCAGAUUAGCUAUUUGCUCUUCAAUGGUGGCUACUCCGGUCACCAUGACUUGCAUGUUGAUAGGGUGAGACGAGCUACUUGAUGGCAUGCCAUAAGUAUGGUCUUCAUCUCCAUUGGGGCUCCCAUGAUGCGAAGCCGUGCUUGAUUCACCAUCAGAGUAAGCGGAUGAGAAUGAUCGCUCCCUUGAUUUCUUCGGAGUCUCUCUCUCUUCGCUUCGAGAGACAUGUUGGCUUGCCCCUAAACUCUCCAAGGUGAUAAUUGGUUGUCGAGGCUUUGAAGGUAGAGCCACAAAUGUCGUGGGCUGAGUUCUCGCCAUGCUUCGAGUGAUGUGACUCGAGGAUUCGCUGCUUGACCUUGAGGUCGUUGAUUUGGAUUUUUUCGUUGCGACGGCUUGGGUGUUCUUGGAAGCCAUUGCGCGAACAGAUUUGAUUUUGCUUUAGGAUGAGGAGAUGAGAGGCAAAGAAUGUCCCACUGGGCGUGCCACUUUUGUAAACACGAAAUAAUCUGCGACAAAUGCCAGAACAACACGUGUACAAAAAGAAUAUAAUUUUAUUGAUAUAAAUGCGGGUUACAACUCUUUGUGAAUCCUCUGAUUCGACCUCCUAGUUUGGGUUUUACUCAAGGGUGCCAAAGCACUUGUUCUUGAGAUGAGAUUGGUCACAAGAAGUUUAGUCAAGUGACGUGUGUUUGGGAUUUGGAUUUGGGUUUGGUGAGGAACUAGUUAUUUGGGGGUUUGGUAGUUCUUCACAAGUUUGUGGGAGACUUCUGAGCUCUCGGGAGCAAUUUGUUCUCUCUUGCCGGAAGUCCUCCUCUUGAUAUGAGAGGGGGUAUUUAUAGUGUCAACAUACCUCCGUUUAUGGCAUGUAAUGAAGACACCGAAUUAAUUGUAUUUCCUUAACGGUAAUAAUUAAAUCAAUCAGUUUUGAUUAAUUGAUUUAACUAUUAAUUUUAACAUAAUUAAAUCAAUCAGUUUUAAUUGAUUGAUUUAGUUACGACCGAUAAGGUAUAACUGCUUUGGAUUAAAUGUCCGACUUCCUUUUUCGAUAAUCAAUUUAAUUUAAUUGAUAUCCGAUUAUCGAUCGACAUUUAAUAAUUGAUUUUAGUCAGGAUUUAAGGUUUUAUUGUCGACCGACCAUUUACACAUCGCCACUUGUCAUUUCCAACGACUUUUCAACGUUGCCAACUCACGAGCCACGUAUGCAAUUUGUCGGGCCACACAUCGUUUGAAUAAUUCAACGAUUAUUAUUAUCGUUAAAUUUUAUAUGUCUACAGCAAUCUGACAGUUUCUAGUCCCAAGGUGAUGUUCGGUCAUCAGAAAAGCCAUGGCGGAUUGUUCUUCUCAUGCAGGUAAGUAUAGAAAUUGGUUUCUUACCAAGAAAUUGACACAUGAAGGCUAUCUAGGGUUUUAUUUAUAAUCAAUCAAUCUCGUCUAAUCUACCAGUUCUUAACUUCUUGCGAAAAAAGUACAUCAGCAAACCCAACCUUGUUGAUCACGAAAAGAAGCUUCACUAGCUCAUGGGACUUGAGUGUAUACAUCAUGAUUAGGGUUUGUUUCUUCAUUCUUUCAUAUAUAGUUUCUAAUUAAUAGUGUAUCUGUGUAUGUUACUAUAGGAAUUAAGCAAUGGAGCUAGCAGCAAGCAUCAAUGGCAUGGAGUCCAAGAUAAAGAUUUGGCAACAAUUUCUGUUUUUUUUCUUUUUUUGGAUUUCAAGAAAUGCUGUAUUUUUGUUUAAUUUUGGGAUAUCUGGUUGAUUUGAUAAUGAUUACAAUGAUGAACAAUUAAUUCUGGUUCAUAUUAAUUUUACUUAAUUUUAUUGUCAUUUUCUCUUAUAUAUUUGUUAAUUUUGGUUGGUAAUUUAGUUAAUUUUAGAGCCAUCUCCUAUCCUUUGUUAAUUUGGGGGGAAAGACAAAUUCCCUCCUUUUUAUCAUUUACUGUUUUGGGGGGGGGGGGGGGAGGGGGGGAAUUGUGAUGAGGAAACACGUGGAUGUGGGGGGUGAAUUUCAUUUUUAACUAAGGGGUUGAGGUGAUCACUUUUAUCCUUUGCUAUGAGUUUUUGGGGUAGAGUGAGGUAAAAAUAAUGGGGAUUCGAGAGUUCAUACUACGAUUGGAGGGUCCGAGAGUUCAUACUGCGAUUGGAGGGCGAAAACGAGUGCUGAUCAGGAGGUAGUUGAGUGCCGCUGGAUUUGGUGGAUGUAAAACAAACAUUGGUGAUGGAGCUAGUGUUCUAGUGGCGUGAUUCCUCACGAUUCCUACGAGGAGGUAUAUAAUUAUCUAUGUAUUGUUUUUUGAUUUUCAGAGUUUUUUUCUGUUUGAUUUUUGUUUCAGUUUUGACGGAUUUGAAUAAGAUUAGUUCAUUACUGAGUUUUUAUCCACACUCUUCAAAUUAUAAUUCACACUCUCACUUUCUAGUUUUACUCAUCAUUUUCAUAAAAAGACAAAAGUUAAGUCACUAAUGACAAAAUUUAAAUUACUAAAAAUAGAAAGUGGGAGUGUGGAUUACAAUUUAGAGUGUGGAUUUCACUUCCAUUUUAUUUUCUCAUAUUAUGAGUUUUGGUAGUUUUCUGUGAAAAAAAAAAGGCUUGUUUGUUUUGGUUGUUGUUGAAGUUGAUGGAAAAACAACAGCAUUCAAACUUAGCAACACAAUUACAUAAAUAUAAGUAAAUUCGUUCAAAACACCUAAAUUUGGCUCAGACUUCGUAAUUACAACAUAUAUACAUUUAUUACAAAAGUUUCAACCAAAUGUCCUUAUCUUUGUAAAAGCAUUGUGAAAAACUGUGAUGAGGAAACACGUGGAUGUGGGGGGUGAAUUUCAUUUUUAACUAAGGGGUUGAGGUGAUCACUUUAAUCUUUUGCUAUGGGUGUUUGGGGUAGAGUGAGGUAAAAAUGGGGAUACGAGAGUUCAUACUGCGAUUGAGAGCAAAGACGAACGCGGAGGCGCUCGGCGAGUCGAAGACAAACGCUGAUCAAGAGGUAGUUGAGUGCAUAUAAGCUCUGAUACCAUUAUUAGAUGGUUUUCAAAAUCCUAUUAAGCCAUCUAAUCUUUAGUUUUGGAUCUAUUCCAUAAACACACAUGCAUAUAUUCAAGAACACUUAAAGAAAUUUUGCAGACUUUAGUUAUCCUAGAUAAAUUAGGAAUGGACCUUCAUUAGAUCUCCAAUCAGCUUUAACAACAACUUUGUUCGACGACACCAUCUUGACCUUCUUCUGCAACUGCUGCACAAGCAAAGAGAUAACUUGAUGGAGAUUCUAGCCUUCUGUGUUUCUGUACCAAAUAGCAAGCACAAUGGGUCAAUGGGAUGCCUUCUUGAUGCAAAAACAGUGACUUAGCCUCCUUUAUAUAGUGAUCACAAACCAGAUUCAAUCCCAUAACCAAAUCUUUAUUGUACUCAAUGAUAACAUAUGUAUAAAGCAUGCAUAAUCCUAUCGCAAUACUAAUUCGAAUGCAAUUUAGGUUAAAUUUAAUGAACCUCUAUGUAAUCCAACUUAUAUACAACUCGGAUUACUUCUCAGAAACUGAGUUAAAGACUUAGGCCUAGUUUGGUACAGCUUUGCUUUUAAAAAAAUUAGCUUUUAUCCGAACUUUUAGAUUUUAUAGUGUUUGGAAAAUGAAAGAAAAACAGUUUUUUUUUAAAAAAUUACAUGUCACUGGCACCAGCUUUUAGAAGCAACCUUAAAAGCAGAUAUCACUAAAAACACUAGAAAUUAAUAAAUUUUAUCUUGGCAGCACUUUUAAAACUAAUAUAUACCAAACACAAAACUAUUUUAAUUUACAGCUAAUUAUUUUCGCAAUACAACAACAAAAGUUUUUUUUAAAGUCACAACAAUACCAAACUAGCCUUUAAGCUUCUUGUUAUUCAAUCCAUGUUCCAUAUGAAUUUGACCAUAAUUUUGACAGAUGUGUUUAAGUCCAAAUCAGUUCCAACAAUCUCCCACUUGGGCUAACACUAUCUAUAAACUAAUCAAUGAACAUUUCAAUGUAAAAAGGACAACUAAAGAGCGCGCUGAAGCAAAAGAAACUCAUAGUUCAUUUGGCUUUGUCAAUAUGCAACAUCUGUUGCAGAACCAAGAACCAUAGAAGAUAAAAAAUAAUUAACAUGGCUAGAGAUCACAUACAACAAACAUUGCACUCACAUAAGCUCAUGAGUGAUAGGGUGAGAAUUUUUGACUUGUAUAUCUCUCUGAGAUCGAUGUCAAAACUCACAGUCCAAAAACUUAAUGAUUUCAAAACUUCGAUUCAUAAAAUCGACCUAAGCUUUGAUUCUUUUAGGAGCCGCCCUAAAAUAUAAUGGCUCGACUAGAUAUGGUUUGGUUUUGUAUGUUUUGAAUGUUUAGAAGAAAUUUCAUAAAAGUGAAACAAUUAGCAUAUAUACAUUCUCACGUAGUGCAACAUAAAAUAUUUUCUUCGGGAUUUGAAAUCCUUAAAAAAGCAUCAGUAUGUAUUGAUGGAGAUAGUGAUUCCAUUAGCUACUCGAUCUCUCUUUUCUGUAUUCCUCAAUUCAACAAGAACUAUUUUUUUUUUUUGUUAUAUUGUCUCUUUUGGAUUGUUGUUUUGAUGAUUAUUCAUAAGAUUUUCCUUUGAAGUUCAACAUUUUAUAUCAAGUUGAAACUUAAUCUAGAAGCUCUCACCAUUUUUCAGUCAAUAUAUAGUGUGCAUGGCUUCAGUUACAUCCCCAAUAAUAUUCAAAUUAAUUUGAAAUUUUUUAACCCCAAGCAAUCUAGACAUGAAAUCUAAAAGAAAAUAUAAAAAGAGAACGACAGUUGUGAAAAGUUCAAAAGUUACAGAAAAGAGAAGACUGUUGUCAAGCAUGCAUAUUAUACAAAGUGUACAACUGCAGAAACUCUGUUCAGAUAACUUCCUGAACAGAUUUAUUAUUCUGUACAUUUGCAAUGUACCUUUUACAAGUAGAUGCAUCUUGUCAAGCCAAGAACCUCUCUAACAAGUUACCAAAGAAGAAGCUUGUCUUUGCCCAUCCACUAGUAUCAGGUGUCUCAGGUGCCUUAGAACUCGUUGGAACUUUCUUCACAUUGAACAUCAUUGUGUGUCCAAUUUCUUUACGAAGAGCUUCGAUUUUUUGUAUGUCCACUGAGUUCCCUGAAGAAUCUCUAACAUAAAAUACAUUCAUUGCUUGUUCACCAAUGGUUGAGACGCCUGCUCUUAUAACUGAUAACCCAUUCUCCCUCAGGAUCCUUGUUACUUCUGAUAGCAGGCCUACCCUAUCCUUUGCACAUAGCUCUAGCCUAAGCCCCUGAAUGUCAUUGAAAUUUAAUCCAUUAAUUCUAUCAAAACUCAAGAUACAUAUCUUUCUUCUAUCCAGCAUCAAUUAGAGCUUCAAAAUAUUAAUAUGCAUUGAUACAAGUGAAUAGUGCAAUGUGCGUGGCUGCUUAUGAUGGCUAAACUUAGUCUGUUUUGAACUUUCAAGCAGACAAUGAUAGAUUUUCGAUUGCAAUCACCUUGUUUAAUGGAUUCAUUUCGAAAAUUAUAUGUAAUCGUCUUGUACAGACCGGCGUUUGAACUUUGAAGAACUUCAGUAGGGAAUUUUGUAUAAUUAAUGAAUGAGAAAGCAGAAAAGCCAAAAGUGAAGUUCGUAUGCCCAUUCCAGUCUCGUCUAACAUUGCUAACUCCCCCUUCUGAUAACACUAGAUUAAUUAUGAGUUAUGACAAAUUUAAGAAUUUAGUCUCCACUAAUCUUCAUGAUACUGGAAAAAUGCCGAUUAUCAGAAAACUUUAGUGCCUAACUGUGAUCUUAAAUGUAAUUAGCUGUGCAUACUGCAUAUAUAUGUAUUUAUAUCCUUCUAAGAGACGCUUAAGGUAGUUGCCUGCAUAUAUAAUAACCAUUUGUUCAAAUGAAAGAUUAUUCAAAACACUGUACAGUAAUCUGCUAGAUGCAUGCUUUCUUGAUUCAAUUGCGUUUAUUCCUCUAAUUUGUUUAUUUCUUUUAUUUUUCUGAGAUUUCAUUUCCAGGUUUUAAAUAGUAGCUUUUAUUUUAGGCAUUAGAGAAGGGUCUUACCAUAUAAUCACUGUUUAUGACAGUAUUCUUUCAGAUCUUUUUGGGACGUGACAAAGAAAGAUUCAGGAGCUAUUGAUAGUUUGAUUCUAGUGAGUAGACACACAAAGCAGACUAGAAUUGACAAAAAGAAGACUACACAUACAAAGAAGACUAUAUACGUACAUUCAACAAAAUUAAAAAUAUUUAUAGAGUAAAAUGACACCGUUUCAUGAUCAGAUGCUGAUGAUUACCAUGGCUGAUAAGGAAAGCCGGAUAGUUGCAUUUUAUGGACAAAUUUUCCUGUCAAUGCACUCAAAACACGUUUUGUAAUCUCUAAUGAACAUUACAUAGUCCAUUUCUAUGGUGAUAUAUAUUCUUGACUACAGAGGAUUAAUAUUAAGUUUAGUUUAAGAUUGAUCAGCUAGCUGUUCAUAAUUGAUAUAGCAGUAGUUUCACUAGCUAGGUUCCUCUUUCUUCCACAUUUUGUUAGGGAUUUGAGAUUAGGAAGAUAGUAUAUCUGUAAAUUAUAGUUGUUUUUCACUAACCUCGCUUACUCUUCUACGAAUUGCAGCAUCAAUACAUUUGACUACCCUUUCCUUCUCACCUUCGGUAUCAAGGGUGCAACCAUCCAUGUGACGAAUAUAAUACUCCUGCAAUCAAUUAUAUGCAUCAUUUCUAUUGCUAUAAUGAUCAUAUCUUUGAGAGUAUAUAUUGAAGAUGAUACAAAUUAUGUGUAUGGUAUGUACCUGUGAUGCAUAUGGACCAUCAGACGAGAUGGUGGCAUGGAAAACAACAUAUUCCAUAUCAGUGAGUGUGCAUACGAUGUCAAACAUAAGUUUUGCACGAUCUUUGCACCGGACACUGACCACCGAGUAUCCCUUUUCUUCCCAACGCUCAAUGGUGAUCUUUGGUUGGAAACAGGCAGGAAAAUCAACCUCAUUUGAUAAUCCACCACCACCGCCACCGCCAUGGCCGCCACUGCCCUCAUAAUCUCUGUCAGCAAACAACAUCUGGUGGAGCCGUCUAUCCACAUGAGUGAACCCCAUAGAGAAACUUGUGUGACCUACAUUGUCAUCAUCUUCGCACCCACGUAAGAUGUUCUUGAGUCUCUCUUCAAUAGUCGAUAAUCUGGUUGGAUGGUCCACAGGCUGGGAUGUGGUAUCGUUAACAUAAAGAACACAGGCUAUUCUUCUGUUGUGUGUCCAUACUUCAGCAGCAACUACGUUAAAGUGCAGAUCGGCAAGAACAGCAGAGAUCUCAGAUAAGAGACCUGGACGGUCUCUUCCAAUUAGCUCAAUGGCUGUGUGAUCACCUACAGAAUGCACUCCAACCCUUUUUCCUGGCCAAGUCUUCACUACUUCUGUGGUAUCCCCCUUUGGUCCUAAAGCCUAUUCAUGCCACAAAUCAUAGACAACAUUGCUCUUAAUACCAUCACAUGAAAGCAACCCCUUAUGCAGGCUGCUUGGGGAAAUGGUGAGGCUUGGCUUAAUAUUCAAGCCUGCAUUUUCUAUAAAAUGAAAUUAUUACAUCCAGUUUGGAACUAUGAUAAAGGUGAUAUGGUUAACAUUUGCGGUUUGCUAGCCACUGAUGUAGGUCAAUAUUGGAGUGCAUAAGCAUAAAAAAAACAUAUGUUGCAAUAGUAGAGCAAUAGUGGUAGGGGUUUACCUUCUCAAUGUGAUCAAUGGUUUUUCUGUCCGUAAUCUGCUUUCCUUGUUGAUCGGUGACGUGAAACACUGUUGAAAAUAUAUGGAAAUGUCAUGUUUCAUCACUUCAAGAAAAACUUAAGAGCCGAAGAGUAGUUGCCAAGAGUGGAUAAUCCAAUUCUCCUAUGUUGAACUAUCUUACACAACAUUUGAUUUCUUUCUAGAGAGGAGAAAUUGCCAUAACAUAGUAUCGAUCAUGACUCUCAUUUUAGCAGUUACAGAAGAAUAUACGUACCGUCCAUGAACCAUCCACCAUCAGAGGAGAUAUAGGCUUUAGUGAUUAUGAGGUCAAGGUCUGUCAGUACUUGAACAACUUCAAGCAGAAUUCCCGGCUUAUUGACACUAUCAACCUACAAAGACAAAUACACUAAUUUCAACAUGCAUGGUGUAUUAUAUAUCUUCUACACAUGGAUUCUGGAAUAUAUAAACAUGAAGCAAGUCCUGUAUGUUGUGUUGAUCAAUAUAUACAGUAAGAUGUAUACCUAACAAGUAUAUUGUAUAUAUGUAUAUGUUUUCAUGCAAAGCUCUGAAUCGAACAAUAUAAUGUUUAAUGCAUUACCGAAAAAUACUACUGGAAUUUUAUAUAAUGCUUUAGAGGUAACUUUCAUAUGAGUAAAGAAAGAAAAGAAUUCAUUGUAUUCAGCUACGUAUUACGUAUGUACCGAUUGCAGGACUUUAUAUAUAUGUCAGUAGAACCACAACUGUAAUGACUCUAAGCGAAAAUCACCUUGACUAGGGUACAGUCACUGCAGCUCGAGUUGUCCACACAGACCCUGCAAACAUAUUAUGUAGAGAUUUGAACUAUGUACCAAGAGGUGCUAAUUAGUCACUGUAUUCAAUAACAGCUUACUAGCAGCUGUCUAGCACACGUCAAACAACAACUGCCAUCUCUUUGAAGCAUUUCUUUAAACAUCUUGCCGUCUUAAAAUUGAAGUUUUACUCAAAUUCAUUCUUGGAGAAAGGCUGGGUUCAGAGACCCAUCCCCAAUUAAUACCGGCAAUCCAGCAUACAGAGAUCACAAUAGCAGACAUGAGGUUUUGAUGAAUUAGAUGUCAAAGUAUAUUGUUUCCUACUGCUUUCAUAUUCAAGAACACAUAUUAAUUAAGUGAUUUAAGUCCCUACCCAUCAACGUAGCCAUUACCGCUAAAAUGAUGGUAAUGGAGCACUAGGUUGCUGAACUGUGAAACAAAACUACUCUAGUGGUACGUGCAUGAUUCUAACCUUGGAGGAUUGAUUCUUGUGCUCAGGUUUUCAUACUCAGGAUCAAAGUAUGGCGAACAAACUCUUGCCAUUUAAUGAAGUCGAUCAAAAUUGAAGUAUGGCCAACGUGCAAUAAACCAGAAGUACCUUCCUGUGACACAGAGGAUAUCAGAGUGCAAAAGUUAGCUAGACAAUUAAAAUCGAAACACAAACACCUAGAUGCACCAGGAAAAGAGAUUGCAGAUGAAGGCCAGCACAUUCAAUGUCAUAUAUGAAACAACAUUGUAAAGUGCCUCCAAAUAGAGUUCAUCUCGUCCAAAAACAGUAGUAUAAAGUAUAAACUGGUUUGAUGUUAAAAAAAAGAAAAAAAAGAGACAUGUAACACAAGAAAAUCAGUUCUUCCCUCACUGGUUUGAUAUUUACGUACAAACCAGAGAUUAACAUUCAUGCAUAAAGAACAGUACCUGGUUCUCAAUGUUCCUAUAUUAUUAUGAUGUUCUUGAUUCAAAGUCUUUCUACUUGUUUACAAAGCAUUAGAGGGGGUAACUCUUGGCAGACCUCAAAAAUCACGCUCAUAAUAGGACAAAAUAAAUGGAGGAGGCACAAUUCGUCUGUUUUUGCUAUAUUGGUUUGUUUCCUUGAUAUUAGACGAUUUUUGUAUUAUAUGGCUGGCAUUGGCCUAGCCUAGUCCUCUAGCUUAUUUUACAUUUUUUAUUUUUUCAAUAAAUUUUCGUAGGAGGACGAUGUUAGUCUCUCUACGCUUACCCAAAAAAAAAAAGGGGUAACUCUUGCAAAUACGCUCUUACAUUUUCAAGAUUUUGUUCACUUCUUCUUUCUUUUUUUUUUUUUUUUUGGUAAAACGAUUUUUGUUCACUUUAAAUCCUUGGAAUUGUAUGCCUGAAUGAAUUUAUUCUCAGUGUAGGUUUAUAAUUUUGAUUUUAGAAUUACUGAAGUGCAAAUGGACAGCAAAAUAAUUGUAAAAAUUAUUGCGUCUCUAGCUAUCUUAAGUAUCUUCUCUCCUUCCUCACCACCAUCUCUGGUAUUUCUUCUUUCUAUUGGUCUAUCUAGGUAACUCAGUUUUUCCCUGAUCUACCUCCUGUAUAUGGUGGCUUUUCUCUGCCAUUUAGAAUCCGAUUACGACUUCUUCGCUUUUGGGCGGGAUCUCAUUGAUCGAAUUCUAUUGCUUUCUGGUUAUGUUUGGUUCCUUCAACAUACAUGAGGGUCUCAUUAUGUCUUGUUUGGUUGCAUGGAUCAUUAGCGAGCGAUCUAUGGAGUACUGAUGGACCGCAUCGAUCGAUCCCUCAUAGGAGAAAACGCAAAUGUAUUUCUAGUUUUUUACUCAUGUACUGAACCUCUGCAUGCACUGUACUAAAUUUCUUGUGGAUUUUUCUUUUUGAGUAACUAACUUUCUUGAGGAUUUUAUAGAGAAAUCAUGUGACAUGUAUAUAUACGUGUACCUUGCGUUGCCUGUGCACAAGAGACUUGGGAAUGUCGACGACAGCAAAGAACCACCCCAAAAGAGGUUUUUGUAGGUGUUGAUGAUCGAGAGGUACGUACUCACACAGUCACACUGGUAAAAAUAACCUGCGCACAAAAUGACAAUAUCAUCAGCACAGCUGCAAUACAAGUUAAGGUUUCAUCAACUGGGCACUGAGAUAGUCAAAUAUACACAAUAUUGCACGAUAUAGUUAUAUAUACUCUAGCUUUAAUUUAACUAAGCAGUGAGCAUGAAACUGUUAAUUAAACUGGUUUCAUUGUCUUGAUUUUAACACGAAAAUACUCACAAAACUAAUUGAAGAGAGAAGUAUCAAAUACAACAGGGAGUUAAGUAAAUCAAAACUCUUAGCUAGCUAGAGAUCAUACUGAAAGAGACAACUGCAGACUCAAAAUUGAUUAAUUUGAAUCGAUGUAAAGACCCAAUUACUUACACCAGUUAUCAUACUGCCCGCAUGACCUUUUCUUGCUUUUAGAAUAAGAAAAAUAGGAAGUUCAAGAUCCAAAUCUCAUAUGGAGAUCAAUAAGUUUGUAAACAUAUUACAUAUACUUACUCAUUUUCAUCUUGGUUAGGUCUUUAACAGUAAAAAGUUGACAUGCAUGACAUAUAUAAACGCGUCACAUAGUCAUGUGUGAGCAAAACACACGUUUAGUGAUGUAGAACAGAUGGAAAUAGAGAUCAAAGAGCAGAUUGAUCGAAACAAGUCCAAACCCAGUUUGCUUCAGAUUUGGCAUUCAGUGUCUGAUUGAUCAUUAUAAUACCUUUCUGGAAACGGAACGGCUCAACGAUCAAACUCGUCGCUUUGCCACGACGUAUGGGUUUUUUAGGCCAUCCGAGUCCGUUUAGGCCUCCAAAAUACAGAUUUACUUCUUUUCAGCAAUUAUUUUUAAUAGUUUGUUUUGGAUUUGGUUUUCUUUUAAUCCAUGGGCUUUUAGCUAGGCUUGGAUGUUAGUUGGCCUAGGGUUUAUUUGCUCCUUUAUAAGGACUUUUUAUCAGUUGUAGUCAUCAGCUUUUGAUUAAUAAAAACUUUUGAGAUUUUCUCAAUUUUUCUGGUGGAUUCCAGAUUCUCUCGUGGAUUCAAGAAAAUCAAACUUGUGGAUUCAAGUCGCCGUUAGUGGAUUCCAACGUUUAUAUUUCCAUUGCAUCAAUUGGUAAUCAAAGCAGGAUUUUUUUUUUCCUAGUGGUUAUGGACUCGUAGUCAUGGGUGAUCAAGUUCUUGUUACCCGCCAACCUCAACAACACUGGUCGUAGAAUAUCUAUCCAAAAUUGAAGAGGAACAUACCAAGGGAUUCGCCCUAGGUUAACCUCAUCAAUUCAAUUCAAAAAAAAGAAAAAAGAAGAAGAAGAAGAAGGAAGCUAGCAUGGAACAUUGGGUAUUCACAUCGCCAGAUUAUGACGACCUUCAAACAACAUGUUUCAUCAAAGACAAGGUAUGGUCGGCAAUAAUUGAUAGUAGCCUGCAAGAGAAUUUUACAACAAGUAAGGUUGUUGAUUACCUUCAAUUACCGACAAUGAAGCUGAGCGAUCCGUAUUGGAUUAAUGGUCAUGCACAAGUAACAUAGGUUUGUAAAGUUCAUAUCUCUAUAGGAGAAUUUUAUAACGAUGAGCUCACUUGUCCUGUGAUUGACAUGGACGACACUGAUGUGCUUUUCGGAAGACCAUACCUAUUUAAUUAGGUGGGAGUCGCGCAAGAUUAAAAUCAAGCCUUUAGCGAAAGAAGUCUCACAAGAAACCAACCAUGAUGAUCAAGAGGUUAAAGAAGAAAGAGCUUGUUUUGACAUGAUUAUCCACAUUGAAGAAACCUUGCAGCCACAAAUAAUUUGUUCAGAUGUCUUCCAAGAAUGCAAUCUUGAGAGCCAAGGAGAAUCUAUUCAAGUUGCCUAUGAUGAACUCAUUUAUGGCAUGGGAUUCAUGAUUGUGCCAUCAAAAUAUGCAAAAAAUCAUACCAGCAAUCCACAUGUUCAAUUGUCUAAUAUUUUAUUGGAUUUUCCUCCUACAAAAUCUUGUUUUUCAUUCAAGAUGAACUCGAGGUCGAGUUCUUUCGUAGUGGAGGAGACUGAUGUAGAACGAUAAUGGGCCAAAUUUAGACAGAAAAAAAUAAAAGUCAAGAAGCGGUGAAUAAUAAAAAAUAAUAAGAUCGGUAAUUCUCGUAUCAUGAGGUUGUUAGCCGCUGGAAUAUUCAAGAAGAUGUUGUUUUGCACUUUUCGAGUUUGUCGCGCAAAAUUUAUUAUAAAUCUGAUUUGAAGUAACUUUUACCAUCUGUUCUACAUCAGAUGAUGAUUUCAAACAGGUUUGGGAGCAGUGUGUUAGCAAGAAACAACCAAUUGCUGGUUUUCUUAUCAAUGAAGGAUAUAUGUUUCGAGACAACCAGUUAUGUGUACCCAAAUCUUCUUUUUACAUGGGGGAGGAUAAUAUGGUCACUUUGGAAAAGACAAGACAACUGCAACCUUGGAGGCUAGGAGCGUUAUUACUAGCCUCAGUUAAAGCGAGACGUCAACAAUAUUGUCAGGAAGUGCUAUGUUUUGUUAGGUAUCUAAGGGUCGGUCCCAAAAUAAUGGUCUUUACAUGCAUUUACCUGUUCCUGAUGAAUUUUGGCAUGAUGUUUCUAUGGAUUUUGUGUUGGGUUUACCUCGAACUUAAAGAGGGGUGGAUUCUGUGUUUGUGGUGGUAGAUAGAUUUUCAAAGAUGUCACAAUUUAUUAGUAAGAAAACUGCAGAUGCUGCGAAUAUAGCCAAAUUGUUUUUCAUGAAGGUUGUUCGUUUGCAUGGGGUGCUUAAGUCCAUUAGCUCUGACCGUGAUACGAAGUUUUGAGUCACUUCUGGUUAACAUUGUGGAAGCAAUUUGGGACAACCUUAAAGAGGAGUACUACAGUUCACCCCAAAUAGAUGGACAGAUUGAUGUUACAAAUAGGAGUUUAGGUAAUAUGAUUAGGAGUGUCUGUGGAGAUAAGCCGAAGCAGUGGGACCUUGCCUUACUUUAGGUAGAAUUUGCUUACAACAGUUCUAUGCAUAGUGCCAUUGGUAAGUCACCUUUUUCUGUGGUCUACACUUCUGCCCCACGACAUGUAGUUGAUUUGACAAAGCUGUCAAAAGGACGAGGCGUUAGUGAUGUUGUAGUUAAAAUGGCUGAGGGUGUUUAGACAGUUCAAGAAGGGAUAAAAGCAAAGUUGGAGAAGACAAACACCAAGUACAAGACUGUUGCAGACAAGUGUAGGCGUGUGAAGGUGUUUAAUGAAGGGGAUUCAGGCAUGGUUUUUCUAAGGAAAAAGAGGUAUUCCGUUGGCACAUAUAACAAGCUGAAACCCAGGAAAUAUGGACCAUUCAAGGUACUGAAGAAGAUUAAUGAUAAUGCUUAUGUUAUUGAUCUUCCUGCCUCUAUGGGGAUUUCAAAUUUUUUUAAUGUUGCUGAUUUACAUGAGUUUCAUGAGGAUGAUUCUUCUUUUGGUGAUAAUAACUCGGGGUCGAGUUCUUCUGAAGUGGAGGAGACUGAUGUAGAACAUAUGACAACAGAGAUUGAACAGAUUGAUCGAAACAAGUCCAAACCCGGUUUGCCCCAGAUUUGGUGUUCGGUGACCGAUUGACAAUUAUAAUACCUUUAUGGAAGCGAAACGGCCCAAAUGAACCAAACUCAUCGCUUCGCCACGAUGUAUGGGCUUUUUAGGCCAUCCGAAUCCGUUUAGACCUCCAAAAUGCAGAUUUACUUCUUUUCAACAAUUAUUUUUAAUAGUUUGUUUUGGAUUUGGUUUUCUUUUAAUCCAUGAGCUUUUAGGCUUGGAUGUUAGUUGCCCUAGGGUUUAUUUGCUCCUUUAUAAGGACCUUUUAUCAAUUAUAGUCGUCAGCUUUUAAUAAGCCUUUGAGAUUUUCUUAACUUUUCUGGUGAAUUCCAGAUUUUCUCGUGGAUUCGAGAAAACCAGACUUGUGGAUUCAAGUUGCCGUUGGUGGAUUCCAACGUUUAUAUUUCCACUGCAUCAUUUAGAGUUAUUUAUACUCAUCUAAAUAAACAUAAGAGGCUUUGUACGUGAUAACUAAUUGGCCAAUUGAUGGUUAAUGUUUUUUUUUCAUAAAAAAUUCAUAUAGUGGACUACUUCAAAUAAGAAUUAUUUCAUUUGAAAAUUACAAAACCAUUAAGGAAAUGUAUUUAGACUAAAAGAGAAUAAGGAAAAUGUAUUUAGACUAAAAGAGAAUAAGGAAGGAGAGAAAGAAAAGGGGAAUAAAAGAGCCCCUGAAAUUAACGUGUUAGAGGUGACAUAAAGAGUUGAUUCUGAACUUUAUGCACCACCAUCCGUAUCUCCACCAUCCCAGAAUGCAUCUUAAGUUCCACCCAUCAACAUGUCAAUGGAACAUGACCAUUCAUUCCGCUUUCGGAUAGUUAAUUUUAAACAGAAACUUUUUGAAAGUUUUUAGCACAAAAUAUAAAAGAAAUUAUGGGAAUUAUGGAUGGCUAAAAUGUAAAUUUUCUGGAAGGCGAUUUGUACUCGUGAUCUUUUUCAACGAACUGUGAGGCUGUGAGAGAGUAAGCUAUCUACACCAUAACAUGUGAAUCCAAAGUUCCAAACUCAAAAGCUGAAAACUACAAAUUCAGAGAAACCUUAGUCAUGUACGUACCAGAGACAUGUCAUUCACUAUUUAUCUUUAUCCCUCCAGCUAGCUAUAGCUAGCUUCCAACUUAAGCAAAGAUGGCCUCCAGAUCUUGAACUGCAAAAGUAAAAUAAGGAGCAAAAACAUGAAUAAACAUAAUUAGAAAAACCCAAGUACGUACAUAAUAUGAUCAGUAAGGAAAAGAAAGGGAAGAAGGAAAACAUGAAAUGAAACCCGCGUACCUUUAAAAAGGGUAGUAAUUAAGUUCCUCCCAAGUCCAAGUUUGGAAGCAGGAAUCAAAGAAGAAUUCUUUACAUGAUGCAAUGGUUGAACUAGCUACAGCUCAGAAAUAAUAGCAGCGAGAGAGAGAGAGAGAGAGAGAGAGAGAGCUAGGAAUGAGAAGGAAGAGGGAGGAGGAGGUGGGGGUGGGUGCAGAGAGUGGUGGUGUUAAUGGAAAGGGCGCAGAGAAGUAGUGUGUUUGUAGUGGUGGCUUUGUUGUCUACGUUGGAAUACCACUAUCAUUUUUCUCUAUCUGGCCGGGUUCUGCGUUUCUGUCUCUCUCUGUGUCUGUGGUGGUGUUAAAAAUGAAUGGAUCUCAGUUGCCACUUGGGCAUGGCGUGGCGUUGUGCGGCGAAUAGUGCCUCGACCUGCUUUUUAAAUUUUUAAUUGUACUUUAAUUAUAAAAGAUUAAAGAUAUUUAAUUGAUCCAAUCAUUUGAUUAGGGUUUGGUUGGUCGAAAUGACGCGGCGACCAAAACAGCAGCUUCUAGUUGCCCGGCUUCUUUUUCAUUCUACUCUCCGCUGUUACGCGCGUGGGGCUAUGUGUUUUGCUUUGCACAGACAUUAAGGUCGCUCUCUCUUUGCAUAUAGAAACUAAGAACGUCUUCCAGGUCCUCUCGUGUUUCUCGCUGAAUAAGUAAAUAUAAGAGCAACUUUAACAGAUUCUUUAUUUUAACUUUUAACUAUUUUAAAGAGUAUGUUUAGUUUUUAUAAUAUUUUUGAAGCUACAACAGACUAGCCAAAGUUUAGCUAUUAUGACUUUUAGCUAUCUCGCUAGCUAAAUAUAAAGAGCGAGAUGACUCAGAUGAGGCUAGUUAUAAUUUAAUACAUUUUUAAAGUGGCUAGCCAAAAAUAACAUUUUAGCUAAUUUGGCUAAAAUUUAACUCAAAAAUAGUUGACAUUGCUAAAGAUGCUCUAAAGGUUUACACAGGAUGGAUCAAGAACCUGGCGACCUGGAGUUAGCCUAGGUUAGGAUCAAUCAAAGCUAAACUAAAUCAAGGGGUUCGAUUCUCCAAUGAAAAACCUAUGAAAAAGAACAAAAAGGGUUCCUUGAGUUAGCUUCCUAAUUUGCUCAUUAAUUAUUACAGAUAUAAAAGUGUUUAAAUAAAAAAAAGUCCGCAAAGUAUAUUUUUAAAUAUACAAGUGUUGGUUAACCUUUCAUAUCGUAGCUUUUUAAGUUGUGGCUAGCAGCUGACAUGUUUACUUUCAUAGCUCUAUGGAAGGCUCGGAAUAAGCUAAGGUUUGAUAAUCGAUCCCCUAAUUUCUAUACAAUGUGUUGCUCAAUUAUGGCAUGGAUUCGUCAAAUUAGCUUUUUUGCUCCUAGUCACUAUAAGGGUGUUCUUGAUGCCCGUUUAUUGGCCUCUCUUGGAGUUACUCCUAAAUGUGGUAAGACUCCUAGAAUUCAACAUGUCUUAUGGCAGCCUCCGUUUUUUCCUUGGAUCAAAGUAAACACAAACGGUCUAGCAAAAGAUAAUCUAGGUCCAGCAGCUUGUGAGGGUGUGUUUCGUGAUGCUUCAGGUGAGUUUUUAAGGAGUUUUUGUCAUUCGCUUGGAUGAAAUAUUUCCUUUUAUUCUGAGCUUUAUGCUGUUAUCUUGGCAAUUGAAAUUGCUCAUGAUAGAGGGUGGGUCUACUUAUGGUUGGAAAGUGACUCUGUUAGUGUGGUAGCUUGCUUCUCUUCUAGAUCUUUUUCUCCUCCAUGGAACUUAAGAGUUCGUUAGAACAAUUGUCUUUCUAUAAUCUGUCAAAUGAACUUCUGUUGCAGUCAUAUUUUUAGAGAAGGAAAUAUGGUAGCUGACAAGAUGGCAAACCUGGGGUUGUCAAAUGCUUAAUUUACUUGGUAUGAUAAUCCUCCUAUUGAGCUUCAUGGUUUCUUGCACAUGGAUUAUUUGGGUAUCCCAAAUUAUCGGUUUUCAUAGUGAGAAGAUUGUCUGAUUUUUAUGGGUAGAAUAAACAAUGUCUUUUGGUAUGUUGUUUUGGUUUGUAAUUGGAAUGGUUUUGGUUUAGUCCCCCAUUCCUCACUUCAUGUAAUUUCUUUUGUUAUUAUAAAUAAUAUAAAAAAAUCUGAUAAGGGACGGGCGGUGGGUUCCCUGUUGUAGCGGUCCCCUUCAGGGUAGAGUGGGUGCUCUGUUACCCACCAGACUGCUACAGAGGAGCUGAUAUCACCUAAUCCUUGUCAAUAAUUUAUAAUAAAAAAAAAAAAUGCUUGUGAAUAAUAUCAAAUAGCUUUUCGUCUUUUACCAUAUUAGUCUUUUUGGAAAUUGACAAGUACGUAUGGCCAAAUUAAAGAAAGAAAUGGAUUGGUACACUCAAUAAUUAGGCGCGUGGGUUAAGUGCUCAUGAUUAAGUGGUAUCAUUGUCUUUGCUGGUAGAUGGCAUAUAUACUGUCACUGUGAUCGUAUGUAUAUGCCGGUUGUCCAUGCAUUUAUGUUGUCUUCAUCAUCUGCUUACCUAGCGACAGCAAAGCUUUCGCGCGCUAAAUAGACAACUCUACGCCUGUUCAAAAAAAAAAAAAAAAAAUCCAGACAACUCUACGAUAUGACCAAGAAAUUAAAAGGAUACUGAAAAAUACAAGUAUACAACUCAUCAAACAUAGCUUUAGGUUUUAGUUAACUUAAAUAUGUAGUUCGAUCUCAAUGCACCUAAUUAGGUAACUGCAUGUCACUAUAUACCUAGACAUGUACAUACCUAACAAAAAAUCAAACAUAUAUAGCUGGAACACACUCCCUAUAACACUCCCUAUAGUCGAGCCAACCAUCAGAGCAACCUCGAGCUUUAAUUUAGUGACUAAAGCAACUGGAUGGUAGCCUAGAUAGUUCGACAUAUAAAGAUGCAUGCAUAUAUAUAAGAUCGAUCGGAUGUUCAGAACUUGAGUGGUACCAGUCAAAUUCCAUGACGGUUGUAAUAGUUUUUCUGUGAAACAAUCGUCGACCCCCAUUUAGAAUUCAUAUUGAUCUGCUGUCCGAUAAAUAUUCGACUGUCCGAACCCUGGAGGAAGUACAAGGUACCCAUCAACCCAUGAACGCCUUUGGUUCAUUCUUCUUGUUCGGCAGAGAAGCAAGACAACCUACAUUAUAAUGAUGUUGUGAGAUUGUAGCGCUUCUGCAUAUCUGCAAAGAUUGCAAGUAAUCAUGUAGCAAGCAUAGUAGAGAGUAUAGACUUGAUCGUCAUCGCUAAAGCUUUCUAACAAAGACGACGGCAUUGCCGCAUUGCUAAUUGCUAUAAUGUUUAGCUGGUAUUAUUGAGUACCCUGGCCUUAGAAAUGACUGUUAUAUUGACUAAUGAAGCUAGUAGACAGACCUAAAAUGAAGCCAGUAGUUAACAGUCCUAACACCCGUAUAUUGUCUUUCUGUUUGACAAAGUAAAGACCUAAAUUUCGAAACCAUUGUAGAGAUUCAACAUCAGCAAUAACUUUAGGGGUUUAUUCAUCAGAUAAUAAGCGAAGACCGAAAGUGGAAUUCUGUAGCAUUUUAUGUGUUGGAGACUCGGAGUUGGACUACCUCUAUCAUCCAUUCAAGGGUCCAAUUUAUAUUCCCUUUCUAGCUAAUUGUACUCUCCCAACUUGUUUUUGCAACAAACGAUCGAUCAUAUACAACAUCGAUCAUUCUCUCUUUAUAUCCUUAAACAACUUGUACUGCAGAUAUUCAAAGUUUGCUAGAUGAUCGAUCUGCAUGCACCGUAAGAAAUAGAAUCAAAUUCCCACACAUGACCUAGCGAUCGAGCUAGUAUUUCAUCAAAAACUAAAACCCUCAACAAUUUGCAAUCUCAUAGGUCGUUCGAUCUUUAUAUAAACUUUGCUUUUGUCUUUUCGAAGGAGAAUCGGGAUCACAUGCUCGAUCAAUAACUUUUGCAGAUAGGUCGUUUUUCACAAAUGAUUUGUAUACUAUUGCCCAAUUCGAUUAACAGUUUUGAAUAUUAAUGAUCAGACUAGCUUUGGAAUAAAAUAGCAUGUUUGCUAUAUAUACAUGCAUUCGAUUAAUUAGUAUCAUGAUCACUGCUAUAUAUAUACUUUAUACAUUCUCUUUAAUCCGAAUUAAUAGCAGACCUAUGAGAACUUUCAAAAUACAAAAUUAGUACAGAACAAUGAUUAAGGCCUCAUGUUAAUAGUUUUAUAUUAUCAAACUAUGGUUGCCAUGCUUUAGUUUUGAAGUCGUUAUAGAAAAUUUUGUAUUAGAAAAGAAAAAAAGAAUUAAGGCCAGGUCAUGAUCGAUCUUACUUCACAAGGUGAUUCUUUUGUUGAAAGUGGCAUAUAUGCAUAUAAUCAUGUAUGUCAUCACCACUGAGAGUGCAGCUCCGUUUUUCUCGUUCCCCAUUUGUUGAGUGCUAUCGAUCGAGUCCACUUGUUCGGAUAUACUAGAUUCAAACCUAUCAUGAAAUGAGCAUAUAUAUAUAGAACAAACUAAAGCUAGAUCGACAGUCGUCAUAAUAUAUAUGCACAUUUGUAUUGACAACAACGGUACAACACAAUCAUCUAUAUGUACGUACAUUACCAUCUUGAAUCAUACUCUCUCAACAUUUUUUUUUUGUAGUGGAAGCUAACAAUAUAUGAAUUGUUGACAUACAUCUCUAUCAAUUCAUCGAUUCGCAGCUGAGUAUACAAAUCAAUCAACGUCUUACCCUUUCAUUUGUUCCAACUUCCAACCUCUAUGUCCGGUGAUAGAAAGAAAAGAGAUACACACACACACAAAUAUACUUUUAUCAGCUAGCUAACCAUACUAUCACCAUUUACAGUUUGUGGUGAGAACUGUUACUUGGUCUAAACCCUAGACACCAACUGAGGAGUGAGGACACGAUCAACCCUAGAACUAUCUCUUUCCAUGAAGGAAGAGGUCCACAGGCUGAUCACAAGGCAUGUAAAUGUUGUACUCACAUCACCAUCUAUAUGUUGAGAUGACUAUAUAUACGUGCCUCCAAUUUUGGUGGCAUCUUACAGAUGCAAUGACUUUAUAUCUGCUAAAACAAACAAACAAAGUACGUACGUAGGUCACUCAAGAAUAUGAUUAUCCUGAAUUGUUUGACAAAAAUGAAAAUUCCAAUAAAAAAUUCUUCUAUACAUUAAAGUGUAAUUAGUGAUUCAGCAUUUAUUAUGCAAUCUCAAAAAUUGAUAUUUAUAGUUAACUAUAUUAUUUCAAUAAUUAGAUAGUAUAUUAACAAAUGCAAUCUAACCUCUUAUAUAUGUUGGUUUAAGUGCGCACUUUGGUGCUUUGAAUCCUCUCUCCAUUCCAUAUAACAAAUUAGUGUUAAACUUUACAAGUACGUACAUACAUACAACAUCAUUUCAAGAAGCACUUUACAUAUAUUUUCUAAAAGAAACACAUCUAGUUCUUUCACUGAAACUCACGUCAACUAUUUCUUUGGAUUGCUUUAUAAAUAUUGACGCCUACAUAUAUGUUUUAUUUUUUUGAAUAAAGGGUUGGUGUGGUAGUUCUCAAGCGUUCAUUAAUGAAAUCGUUGAAUACAAGGUGGACAUGCAGCUUAAACCCCUGAUUACAAAGACCUGAAAUAACAACGAACAUGUAUUCAAACAAGCACCAACUAGCAAAUAAUACUACUUUAAUGGCGACUAUGUUUGCUUUGUCACAACGGUGACACAAUAGAAAGAACUCUAGACAUGUACCACGAUUACAUAUCUUAAUGUCCAAUAAUAUAAUUUUCCUACUAUGUUGUCGUAGGACAAUAAACCUGACAACACUAGUUUCAUCCUGCACCUAGGAGAUAGUGACCAUUUGACCAAGCAAAUUACGCACCGCCUACCUAGAACAUAAUAGGCACACAAGAUGCAUAGACCAACAAGAGCAAUUUGAGCCCGACCACAAAGUAAUAUGACAUUAUUCGCGGCAUAAAACCGCCUAACAAAAAAUUGAAAAUGCAAUAAAACAUAAAUAGAUAAUAAUUAAAAUAAAAAAUAAAGUUAAAAUAAUUUGGGCCCAGAACCCAAGCCCAAGUCCAGGCCUGGCCCAAUUACCACCUAGCUCAAGCCAAUAAUGCAGACGGUAUAAUUCAGACCGCCACCAUCUCUUGCACAGCGCCGCCAUCGCCCCAAGAUCAACGACAUGCCUCCCGCACCCAGACCACACCUCCAUCUCUCUAUCCUCAUUGUCACGCCAGAGAGCUACGCACCUCCUCCAACCCACCCCUCGCAAGGACAGCUCCACCCAACCGACAAUCUGAUCGGAUCCGAGUCUGUCGGCUCCAUGUCUCGCCGCCAUCCACUCUUUCCUCUGAAGCAACCACCGUCCGAGCUUUGUUCGAGUAUGAAACAUCAGCGUUAUUGUCGGUUUCCCACCUAACCAUCGUCGCCGACCUUCGACCAGGCGUCCACACAAGUUAAAGGCGAAACCAUCCUCCUUCCGCCUGCACAUCGACUGGGCUUGCUCCACUAUUUGCCAUAAACUAGGUCCCUAUUGGCCCGUCCGACGACACCGCCGCAAAGACGUGUCGUUGGACCGGGCAUGCACUGUUAGGAAGAUGACGCCGCCCUCUUAGGGUUUAGAGAGAAGUUUUUUUUUUAAAGUAGAGAGUGCAUAAAAGUCAAUUCUGGCUGACGCCUACAUAUAUGUAGAUGUACAUGAUAUGUUUGUUUUCAAUUACUAUCCUACCUAAAUUCACAUAUAUAGUAAGUCCUCUGCUGUGUUCAAUAAUAACAACACCCUUAAACUUGCAAGUGCUUGAUGGUAGUAUGAACAUCGAUCCUUAUCCCUUUUGCUACUACAGAUAAGGACAUCCUCUACCUUGUUAGAAAGAGUAGGGCAUAACUUUUCUAAUUAGGCUAGUGCAUGAGAUGUCUCUAAAGCUGGAAUUAUUCCCUCAAAUGGUGACAACAUUUCAAAGGCUUCCAAUGCUUCAUCUUUAAUAACACUGUAGUACUGAUCAACACGCUCUAAGUCUUUUAGAAACUAUUUUCCAGUCCAACCCAAAGGUAAUCCAAACCUGCACUUAUGGAAUGAGGCUCUAUAAUUUGGCCAUUUUCAUCCUGUAAUAAAUAGCUCAUAGAUCCAUUCAAAACCCCAACAUUCCCUUUCAUUAAAGUUGUCGCAUGCUUGCCAUUGUCGAAUCCAAACCAUACAACCUCAACCCCCUAUCAAUUAUACAUCUUUGUCUUCAACAAACUCAUGGAAUAGUCUCAUAGCAUUUAAUCCUCCACCAACACAAGCAACUAGCAUCGAUCUCUGCUAUCCCACCCCACUUUUCGAGUGUUGUUUUCUUGUAAAUUUACUAAUCACCUUAUUGAACUCGCGAACUAUCAUAGGGUAUGGAUGAGGACUAGAAACAGAGCCCAAAAUAUAAUGAGUUAUUACAACAUUAAUCACUUAGUCCCUUAUAGCUUCUGAAGUAGCAUCAUUUAGUGUUGUUGUUCUAUAACGAACAACUCUAACCUCAGCACCAAGAAGCCGCAUCCGAAAGUCGACGUUGAGGCUUACCCUUUCAUAUCUUUAGCACCCUUGUAAAUAAUACACAUGAACAAAAAACGAGCACAAACCAUGGCAGUGGCAAUUCCUUGUUGACAUGCUCUAGUCUCAGGAAUAAUGUGUUUCUUAACCAACCGCUUAACGAGCAAAGCUUGACAAACAUCGUUGUUGUUCUUGUGUGCCCCGAUAUGAUCAAUGAGAGAGGAAAUUACAAAGACGUAUCAGCUUGAGGAAAGUUGAAAACUGUACGCUUAUUGUUUAAGAAAGAAUGAAGUGUUCAUUAAAGUUCAAAUAGUUUCCCCAUUAACAAGCAUAUAGAAUACAUCAUUCUUGAUGAUUUGAUAUGGACUGGAAGUGUAUUGAGCUAUUGUGUAGAAGAAGGUGAGAUUAAAACAAAAAGAACAAAGUUGGACCUUCAAUUUUGCGUUUGGGUUUUAAAGGAAAUGGUGCCCUAGGCCAAAAUCACAUAUUCAUCAUCGUGCUAGAUUUCAUUCAUCACGCUUGGUUUUCAUCAAUAUAUGAGAAUAUUCUGUCUCCCUAACUUUCAACACCACAAUUGCUUCUGCAAGUCCCAAAAAUCACUACCAGGACAAGCACUUUAGCCGAUGAAAAAGUUUCGUCGGCCUGUUAGCUUAAUUCGUCGGCUAUGGUUUCGUCGGGAAAGGGUCGUCGAUGAUGACUUUAGCCGACGACACUAGAAGACGUCGUCGGCUAUUAUCUAGGACAAUAGCCGACGAAUAUCUUAAAUGUUUAGCCGACGAUAUUCGUCGGCUAAAGUAUGUAAUAAAAAAUUAAAAAAAUAACUAUAGCCGACGAAAUAUAGUCUGUUUCGUCGACUAAACCUUAUAAAAAAUUUUUUUAAAAAUACUAUAGCCGACGAAUAUAGUAUUUAAAUAUCGUCGGCUAAAGUUGCUGGUUUUUGAAAAAAAAACUGCAAAAACUUUCGGCCACCUCCAAUCACCACCAAAAUUUGACAGAAUCUUCCUCUCAACAUUUCGAACAACUUUCUAGCAGAAGUCGAAACCCAAUUCUAAGCCUAAAUAGGUCAAUUGAAUCAAAAUAUAAAAAUCUCCAAUUUUAAACCCUAAAAACUUCAAAUCUUCGAUUCUCCUCACACACACCGAAUCGAGCUACCAAAUUCUAGGGGAAUGUAGUACUAAUCAAACUCAACUUAUCCAUAUAUAGAACUCACCAAAUGGUGACCUGAGGAAGGAGAAAUUCGAUCGACACCGAAUCCGAACCGGCGGAGUUUUGGAGCUCGAUUUAUCCCUCACGGCGGCGCCACUCGAUACACCACCUGUCCAGCAAUGAAGUAGAGACGACGGCGAAACUUUUGGGACUAGUGUGGCAGUCUCUGGGGGCUUGACGGCGGAGCUAGGCCGAAAAGAAAAUCCGGAACUUUUUCUGAUUUUCUAACUUCUUACCAUCCACCUCCGGUAAAACUCCUAUAUAAAUAACUUUACCCGACGAAAUUUUUUAUUUUUGUCGGCUAAACUCUUUAGAAAAUUUUAAAAAUUUUGGUUAACCGCCAAAAUUUUUUUGACAAUAGCCGACGAAAUCAUAUAUUUUUGUCGGUUUAAGUCCUUUGGAAAUUUUGAAAAUUUUGGUUGACCGCCAAAUUUUUUCGACUUUAACCGACGACUUUUCAUAUAUUUUCGUCGGCUAAAGUCCUUUGAAAAUUUUACCGCCAAAAUUUUUUUGACCUUAGACGACUUUUUUAAUACCUCGUCGGCUAAAGUCUAUAAAUUCACGAAAACGCUCAUAUCUCCCUCUAUAUUACGUAGUUUGGUCAAACCUUCCCCACGAAAAACUCUCACGUAGAUGAGACGCAACCGCCUAUAUAAAAAUUUUGAGACAUUUACCUUCCGACGAUAGGGCUCCUCAUAGGGAAUAAUAACGGUAAAUAGGGUUGACCGCUACUAUCGGCACCGAGAUGUUACCCGAUUUACGUGAUUUUUGAACCAUAGCCGUAUUUCACCAUUCUGAACACAUUUUAUUUCACGAGAUUUUUGAUAAUUUUGCUUCUUACAUGGAGUUGGUUCACAAAGUUGUAUAACCUACUAAACAAGUAAUACAACAUUAGUAGACACGUUGUGAUUCCGAUGACUAAAAUUCACAAACCAAAAUUCAACCGUUAGAUAUGAUCAUUAUGACGAAAGAUGUCUAUGGUAAAAAAUUCAACUGGAUCCGACAACGUUAAGGGCUCGAUCGAAACAGUCAACCCUAAUCCAUCGUCACUUAUCACACGAAAACGCUCAUAUCUCCCUCUAUAGUACAUAGUUUGGUCAAACCUUCCACAUGAAAAACUCUCACGUAGAUGAGACGCAACCGCCUAUAUAAAAUUUUUGAGACAUUUACCUUCCGACGAUAGGGCUCCUCAUAGGGAAUAAUAACGGUAAAUAGGGUUGACCGUUACUAUCGGCACCGAGACGUUACCCGGUUUAAGUGAUUUUUGAACCAUAGCUAUAUUUCACCAUUUUGAACACAUCUUGUUUCACAAGAUUUUCGAUAAUUUUGCUUCCUAUGUAGAGUUGGUUCACAAAGAAGUUAUACAACAUUAGUAGACACGUUGUGAUUCCGAUGACUAAAAUUCACAAACCAAAAUUCGACCAUCAAAUAUGAUCAUUAUGACGAAAGAUGUCUAUGAUAAAAAAUUCAACUGGAUCCGACAACGUUAAGGGCUCGAUCGAAAUGGUCAACUCUAAUCGGAAAUAAGAAAACUGCAUUUUGAAGCCCUAAACAGACUCGGAUGGCCAAAAAGACCCAUAUGUCAUGGCAUAGCAAUGAGUUUGACUCGUACGGCUGUUACGCUUCCGGAAAGGUAUCACAAUAGUCAAUCGGACACCGAAUGCCAAAUCUACAGCAUACUGGGUUUCGACUGUUCUACAUCAGAGACGUUACCUGAUUUACAUGAUUUUUGAACCAUAGCCGUAUUUCACCAUUCUGAACACAUCUUAUUUCACAAUAUUUUUGUUAAUUUUGCUUCUAUGUAGAGUUGGUUCACAAAGUUGUGUAUUUGUUUAAAACCUACUAAGCAAGUUACACAACAUUUUAUUGUUUUUCUUUUAGCCGACGAGAUUUUUUUUUGUCUACUAAAAUACUUUAGCCGAUGAGUGAAAACUUUGGCCGACGAAGGAAAACUUUGGCCGACGGAAAAAAAAUUUCAUCGGCUAAAGUAUAGUAUAGCCGACGAAAUUUUAAAUUAGCCGACGAAGGAAAAUUUCGUCGGCUAACGUGGACUUUAGCCGACAACAAAAUAAUUUGUCGGCCUGGUUUUUUUAUUUUCGUCGGCUAAAGUCUUUCUUCUGGUAAUGGAUGUAUGGAUGUGGCUUGGCCACAUAUACAAUAUGUUUUCCUGAUAAAAAAAAAUCAUAUAAUUGUAUAAGAUUUCAUCCAAAUUGCAUUCGAAAGAUCGUGAGAGCUUGCCUUUCUAUAUCUUGAGCACUCAUGCAAAUAUUACAUUGCAACUCUGUUUCUUCAAUAUUUCAUUGCACAUCUCAUUCUCGUAAUCAAAUAAAGAAAUAUUUGUAUUUAUCUUAGUCUUCGCUUUUCUCUCAUUAAAAUAAAAAACUAAAUAAAGAAGUAGUCAUCAUGAGAAACAACCUGUAAAAACUUAUCUAAUAAAAAAAAACUUUCUCUUGCUUAACGAUCUUUAAAAGCGAAUAUCAACUUGUGCUUAUUGUUUGUUUGGGUAGGGGAUGUAAGGGUUACGACAUAAAAUAACUUUUCAAUCAAUUGAUUAGCGUAGAAAACGGAAUAUAUAUGGAUAUAUUUAAUAUGACAAAGAAGAAAGAUUUAUUAACUUGAAAUAGAAAAACAAAUAAGAGGAUAUGAAGCGAGAUCCUUUUAGUGCAAAAGAACAACAUAAUUUAAAGGGGUCCGGUUCAAGGGCCAUUGUUUUUUACACAUUUUUUGACACUCAUUGAUGGCCUUUAGAUUUUAAAACUUUUAACGGUCUAGAUUACUUGCUAAUAUGAUGUCAACAAAAAGAAUGUGAUGUGGAAAGUGACAUGGAUUUACCUAUUUUCAUAACAAAUUAGAUUUACUUUUCUUUAUUAAAAUAAACAACCAAAUCCAAUUCUAACCUGGAAAAUCAAAAAUCAAAUCGACCAGAUCCAGUACCAAGAAAAAAAAAUUCCUCGACACCCAUUUGUUUCUUGAUGCUUCGCUCAGUGCAAUUCUUGGCUUCUCUACCCACCUUUGUGUCCUUAGUCCUUACUGUCCUCAAGCGUCAAUUAACUCAGUUUACUUUACUUUUAGCCUUAAAUUUCUACGCAUCACCAAAACAAAUAAAACACUUAAUUUUUAUCAUUUAUAUUGGGUAUGCUUAGUGCCAAACGCAUUCAGAUUUUUGUCUGUUUCUUUUUGCAAGACAAGAAAGGUUAACCACCCUGUGUAGAUAGACUCUGCUAGUAUAGCCAACUAAUAGCUUGUGAUUCUUUCAAACAUUACAAUAAUAACUUGCACGUCUUAUUGCUGAUCAUAAAACAAGGCUGAUCAAAUCAAUUUUUUUAGCAAUUGAAACCUCUACAAUUCAACUAGUACGUAGCAGAUACCGGUCUACUAGCACAUUAAAAAUGAAUAAUUAUACAUAUCAUUCUCUGAAUGCAUCCAAUACAAAAUCAAUCCUCUUACACAACCAAUAGCAAACCAAACCAAUAGUAUCUACUGUGCUUAACAAAAGAAAAAAACAAAUCAAUUUUAUUCCUCAUGGUCACUGUCUGAAGCUUCCUCAUCUGAAUCUUCCUCGUCCAAAACUCUGUUUGGCUCCAACAUAUUCUUAUUCCCUAAAAAUACAUAUUUAGAUGAAAAUAUCAAAAGCUAUCAUAAUUUACACAUCAAGUGAAACGAUAUGAUUCGACAAAGAAAUGGAGGAGAAAAGUUAACUUACUUUGAUCUGUAGAAGCACUCGGUUUUCUUUUUGCAUCUGGAUUUAAAGUGCAAGUAAGCCUAUUAUGUCCUGGCUGUUGACACAUUGUACACUUUCUCUUCUUGUUUUGAGCCAACUCCAUGCCACCUUUAAUCCUUUUAGAACUUUUUGUUUUCCUUCUGCUAUUCUCAUCCUUCUUUCUACCUUUAGUUUUUGAGAUAUUUGGAUCCAAAAGUAAUUGCUUGGAAGACUUACUUGUACAUUGAUCUGCUUCAUCUUGGAAAACAUCAUCUUCAGACUCCAUAACAUCUUCUUCUGACACCUUAUUAACUUCUGAAAUUUUUUUUGACAAUUCAUCCAAACCAUCCAUGUAAAUUGUGUAGGCCUCAUUAGAGGGUGCUGCAUAACAAGCUAGUUGAGUGGCUCUUCGACACAUAUGACUAAAUCGCAAUGCUUCUGAAUGCUCCUUACCAUCAUUCUUUACUAAGGCUUCAGAAUCCAUAACUCUAAACUUAUUUGCUCCUUGCCUCCAUCUGGGAAGAAUAAAGUGGGAUGGUAUUGUAUCGAUAUCUUGACGAACAAACACCUUCAUAAUAUGCCGACAAAUUAUUCCGACAAAUUCAAAAUUUUGGCAUUCACAUUUACCCUCAUGUGUUUGCAAAUUCAACUCCACCAAAAACUCUUUUGAGUUCUCAGUUUUCUUCAUCACUGAAUAUCUAUGAAAUUGAUUGUCCAUACCUCUUUCUUCAACUUUGAGUAGUUUGACUCUAGACCAUUCACUCUUGAAUUUUUCAAAUAUAUUUCUAGUAUACACCUGUGCUGCAUGUUUCAAAAGAAAGUCAUCAUCAUCCACAAUACGAUAUUUAUGCUCUGAUGUAAAAUCCUCGCUACUUUCCCUUGCAACAAUCUUCUGUAAGGCUUAUUCAUACUUCACGACAAACUCUCUCAAAUUUGUCGUUGAUGUGACAAAGUCAUCAAAAAAUGCAUUAGUGCCUUCACUACGCCAUGUUGUAUUCAUUUCGGCAAAAAAUGUGUUGCGGUUAUAUACACUACCAGGACAAGCACUUUAGCCGACGAAAAAUUUUCGUCGGCCUGUUAUCUUAAUUCGUCGGCUAAGAUCUUAGCCGACGAAGGCUCGUCGGCUAUAGUGUCGUCGGGAAAAGGUCGUCGGUGAUGACUUUAGCCGACGAAAUUUUUUUUUUUCGUCAGCUAUAGUCCCACAGUUAGCCGACGAAAAACAUGUCGUCGAUUUUUUUCCCAGACUUUAGCCGACAAAACAAUUAAUAUAUUCGUCGGCUAAAGUGUGUAAUAAAUAAUUAAAAAAUAACUAUAGCCGACGAAAUUUACUAUAUUUCGUCGGCUAAACCUUAUAAAAAAUUUAAAAAAUAACUAUAGCCGACGAAAUAUUUUAUAUUUCGUCGGCUAAACCUUAUAAAAAUUUAAAAAAUAACUAUAGCCGACGAAAUAUUUUAUAUUUCGUCGGCUANNNNNNNNNNNNNNNNNNNNNNNNNNNNNNNNNNNNNNNNNNNNNNNNNNNNNNNNNNNNNNNNNNNNNNNNNNNNNNNNNNNNNNNNNNNNNNNNNNNNNNNNNNNNNNNNNNNNNNNNNNNNNNNNNNNNNNNNNNNNNNNNNNNNNNNNNNNNNNNNNNNNNNNNNNNNNNNNNNNNNNNNNNNNNNNNNNNNNNNNNNNNNNNNNNNNNNNNNNNNNNNNNNNNNNNNNNNNNNNNNNNNNNNNNNNNNNNNNNNNNNNNNNNNNNNNNNNNNNNNNNNNNNNNNNNNNNNNNNNNNNNNNNNNNNNNNNNNNNNNNNNNNNNNNNNNNNNNNNNNNNNNNNNNNNNNNNNNNNNNNNNNNNNNNNNNNNNNNNNNNNNNNNNNNNNNNNNNNNNNNNNNNNNNNNNNNNNNNNNNNNNNNNNNNNNNNNNNNNNNNNNNNNNNNNNNNNNNNNNNNNNNNNNNNNNNNNNNNNNNNNNNNNNNNNNNNNNNNNNNNNNNNNNNNNNNNNNNNNNNNNNNNNNNNNNNNNNNNNNNNNNNNNNNNNNNNNNNNNNNNNNNNNNNNNNNNNNNNNNNNNNNNNNNNNNNNNNNNNNNNNNNNNNNNNNNNNNNNNNNNNNNNNNNNNNNNNNNNNNNNNNNNNNNNNNNNNNNNNNNNNNNNNNNNNNNNNNNNNNNNNNNNNNNNNNNNNNNNNNNNNNNNNNNNNNNNNNNNNNNNNNNNNNNNNNNNNNNNNNNNNNNNNNNNNNNNNNNNNNNNNNNNNNNNNNNNNNNNNNNNNNNNNNNNNNNNNNNNNNNNNNNNNNNNNNNNNNNNNNNNNNNNNNNNNNNNNNNNNNNNNNNNNNNNNNNNNNNNNNNNNNNNNNNNNNNNNNNNNNNNNNNNNNNNNNNNNNNNNNNNNNNNNNNNNNNNNNNNNNNNNNNNNNNNNNNNNNNNNNNNNNNNNNNNNNNNNNNNNNNNNNNNNNNNNNNNNNNNNNNNNNNNNNNNNNNNNNNNNNNNNNNNNNNNNNNNNNNNNNNNNNNNNNNNNNNNNNNNNNNNNNNNNNNNNNNNNNNNNNNNNNNNNNNNNNNNNNNNNNNNNNNNNNNNNNNNNNNNNNNNNNNNNNNNNNNNNNNNNNNNNNNNNNNNNNNNNNNNNNNNNNNNNNNNNNNNNNNNNNNNNNNNNNNNNNNNNNNNNNNNNNNNNNNNNNNNNNNNNNNNNNNNNNNNNNNNNNNNNNNNNNNNNNNNNNNNNNNNNNNNNNNNNNNNNNNNNNNNNNNNNNNNNNNNNNNNNNNNNNNNNNNNNNNNNNNNNNNNNNNNNNNNNNNNNNNNNNNNNNNNNNNNNNNNNNNNNNNNNNNNNNNNNNNNNNNNNNNNNNNNNNNNNNNNNNNNNNNNNNNNNNNNNNNNNNNNNNNNNNNNNNNNNNNNNNNNNNNNNNNNNNNNNNNNNNNNNNNNNNNNNNNNNNNNNNNNNNNNNNNNNNNNNNNNNNNNNNNNNNNNNNNNNNNNNNNNNNNNNNNNNNNNNNNNNNNNNNNNNNNNNNNNNNNNNNNNNNNNNNNNNNNNNNNNNNNNNNNNNNNNNNNNNNNNNNNNNNNNNNNNNNNNNNNNNNNNNNNNNNNNNNNNNNNNNNNNNNNNNNNNNNNNNNNNNNNNNNNNNNNNNNNNNNNNNNNNNNNNNNNNNNNNNNNNNNNNNNNNNNNNNNNNNNNNNNNNNNNNNNNNNNNNNNNNNNNNNNNNNNNNNNNNNNNNNNNNNNNNNNNNNNNNNNNNNNNNNNNNNNNNNNNNNNNNNNNNNNNNNNNNNNNNNNNNNNNNNNNNNNNNNNNNNNNNNNNNNNNNNNNNNNNNNNNNNNNNNNNNNNNNNNNNNNNNNNNNNNNNNNNNNNNNNNNNNNNNNNNNNNNNNNNNNNNNNNNNNNNNNNNNNNNNNNNNNNNNNNNNNNNNNNNNNNNNNNNNNNNNNNNNNNNNNNNNNNNNNNNNNNNNNNNNNNNNNNNNNNNNNNNNNNNNNNNNNNNNNNNNNNNNNNNNNNNNNNNNNNNNNNNNNNNNNNNNNNNNNNNNNNNNNNNNNNNNNNNNNNNNNNNNNNNNNNNNNNNNNNNNNNNNNNNNNNNNNNNNNNNNNNNNNNNNNNNNNNNNNNNNNNNNNNNNNNNNNNNNNNNNNNNNNNNNNNNNNNNNNNNNNNNNNNNNNNNNNNNNNNNNNNNNNNNNNNNNNNNNNNNNNNNNNNNNNNNNNNNNNNNNNNNNNNNNNNNNNNNNNNNNNNNNNNNNNNNNNNNNNNNNNNNNNNNNNNNNNNNNNNNNNNNNNNNNNNNNNNNNNNNNNNNNNNNNNNNNNNNNNNNNNNNNNNNNNNNNNNNNNNNNNNNNNNNNNNNNNNNNNNNNNNNNNNNNNNNNNNNNNNNNNNNNNNNNNNNNNNNNNNNNNNNNNNNNNNNNNNNNNNNNNNNNNNNNNNNNNNNNNGCCCUAAACGGACUCAGAUGGACCAAAAAAGCCUAUACAUCAUGGCAUUAGCCAUGAGUUGACUCGUAGCGCCGUUACGCUUCCGGAAAGGUAUCACAAUAGUCAAUCAGACACCAAAUGCCAAAUCUGCAGCAUAGUGAAUAAUAAGGGUAAGUCAACUAUCGGCACCGAGACUUUACCGGAAUACUAUGAUUUUUCAACCGUAGACGUAUUUCACCAUUCUAGUCAUAUCUUAUUUCACGACUUUUUUACGUUUGAAGGUUCUACGUAUAGUUUUUUUUUUCUCAAAUGAGUUGUUGUCUAGAUCUGUAAAUAUAAGGCACUUUAGUAUAUUUUUUCGUCGGCUAAAGUCCACUUUAGCCGACGAAUUUUUUUCGUCGGAUAAACUUUUAAAAAUUUCGUCGGCUAAAGUUCACAGACUAUAGCCGACGAAAAAAAUUAUUCAGCCGAUGAAAUAUUACUUUCGUCGACUAAAGUUGACCAUAGCCGACGAAAAUUUUAAAUUAGCCGACGAAAAAAAAAUUUCGUCGGCCUGGUUUUUUUAUUUUCGUCAGCUAAAGCCUUUCUUCUGGUAGUGAUACUGGAACCCAAGAUUCACGAAUUUCAUAUAGUUGAUGUAGCCAUUCAUUGUUUCCCAAUCCAUGCUCAUCAAUCAGUUUCUUCCAUUGCUCUUCAAAAUCCUCUACUUUGUAUGUUGCCCAUAUACAUUUUUUCAUGCUAGUCUUGAAGUUGGACUUUUUAUAAUAAACGUGUACCAAUUUUUCACCAAACUUUUUCUUUAUAUGUCAAAUGCAAAGGCGAUGACGAGUAUUGGGAAAAAUCUUAGCAAUUGCUCCUUUCAUUGCCAAAUCUUGGUCAGUGAUAAUACAUAAUGGAUGUCGACCUCCCAUAGCUUCAAGCCACGUCUCAAAUAACCACAAAAAUGUUAACUCUGUCUCAUCUUGUAAAAGGGCACAUCCAAAUUGUAUGGAUUGGAAGUGAUGGUUUACUCCUGUAAAUGGUGCAAAUGGCAUGUCAUACUUGUUUGUUCGAUAUGUUGUAUCGAACGUCACUACAUCCCCAAAGUAUUGAUAUGCCGUCCUUGAUCUGGAAUCCACUUAAAAAAAUUAGUAGCUCUACCAUCUUCAUCACACUGGAUAGCAUAAAAGAAUUGUGGAUUUUCUGCUUGCUUUUUCCUAAAGUAAUUAAGGACUGACUGUGCAUCUCUAGAUUCUAACUCCUUGUGUCUCACGUUCCUCAAAUGAUUAUAACAAUCCCUAUUGUCAAACCCAAUAUUAUGAGAACCACCGAAUAUUGAAGGAAGCUUACUGAUUUGUAAAUUCUGUUUCUGGAAAGCUUCUGUUAAAUCUUUUGCUGCAUCGGGCAUAUGCCUAUUUGACUUCAUCAUCAUUCUUCGAGUUGGUGUCACUACUUUAUGGUUGUGGAUGUCAUUGAAGAUUGAAACCUUCCACUUAUUAGUCCAUUUAUCAUGAAGGACUCGCAUAUUAGCCUCACACCCACAUUUAACAGUUGAACAACUUCUAUGCCUUUUCUUUUCAAUCUGUAGGUCACAUGUUUCUCCCUCAUCGUUCUCAUCUAUCUUGUCUUUCUCUUUCAGAACAUCCUCCUUUGGAUUUUGCAUUGCAUGUUUACCUUGAUGUGCACAACAAAUGAUCUACCUGUCACUUCCUUUGAAUGUGAUCUAGACUUCGAUGAACUUCGAAUUCGAAUCCAAAAACCUUCUUGUCGACCGUAAUCUUCAUAAUAUUUUCCGGCCUCUUCCAAUGUUUCAAAUUGCAUUCCCACAUAAGGUGUUUUUAAUUUCGAUCAUCUAUUUCUGGAGAAUGGUGACCAGCUGCCUCGUCGCUUGAUAAUCGGUUCAUUGAGGAUCCAAGAUUGCCAUCUUCUGAAGUUUAAGUCCAUCAAGGCUACUGCAUGAUUCAUUAAAGAAGAAUUAUCCCCAGAAUAGGCAGUGGCUAACUGAAAUCCUAGAUAUAGUGUAUGAGAGUUUGACAACAAACAGAAGUACGAUAACAUACACUUCAGAAAGAAAAAAAAAAGGUAUAAGAUGCUUUAACUAAGUUGCACAAAAGCUCCUCUAAUAUAUAUACAUGGAAAACAAUCGUAAGCUCUCUUUUGCAUUCAAGUACAAACCUUAAAGCUUGUUUUUUUUUUUUUAAUUUGUCAAAACAAAUCUGUGACCUUUAAACAAAGAACCCUUAUUCAAAGAAAAACAUAGAACCCUAAAACCCUACACUUACGAAAGGUAGUUUCUUUAGUGUUUCUAGGCUAUACAAGAUGUAGGUUUCCUUGGCAGUAUAAAUAUAUCAAAUACCAUAAACUUCGAUUCAAUUACUAAACCCUAAACCCUAAAUCUAGUUAUCUGUAAUGCUAUGUCGACAAAAAAGAAGAAGAUAAUUAUGUUCUUGCGUACCUGUAUUCUUGUUGUAAAUUGAUAGAUGAGAUAAUCGAGUUAGAGAUGGUGUUUUCGAUGUUUGUUCUUCUACGCUCUUGUUGUUCGUCGUUCUUCUUAUUCUUGUUUCUUCUUGUGGACUUUGUUCUUCUUUUCUUUUCUUUCUUUUUAUUGUAUACGAUUUAAUUUUUGAUUUUCCAAGUUAGAAUUGGAUUUGGUUUUUUAUUUUAAUAAAGAAAAAUAAAUUUAAUUUGUUAUGAAAAUAGGUAAAUCCAUGUCACUUUUCACAUCACAUUUUUUUGUUGACAUCAUAUUAGCAAGUAAUCUGGACCGUUAAAAGUUUUAAAAUCUAAAGGCCAUCAAUGAGUGUCAAAAAGUGUGUAAAAAACAAUGGUCCUUGAACCGGACCCAAUUUAAAAAUACAACAUAAAAGAUAUUCAUAAAUAACCAUUGCAGAUGAAUUAAAGGUUGAGGUUCCAUAUAUUGUGUUUUGGGUAGCACCUUGUGAAUUCUUUUUUAUCUUCAAUGUUUUGGGUAGCACCUUGUGACUAACUGGCUCUACAUUAAUACAUUAUCUCAAUUAAUAAAAAUUUAUUAUUAUGAUGUGGAAGUUCAAUAAUAAUGGUGUUACAACUCAAAAAUGGAGGUGCUUAAUGGCAGUAUGAACAUCUUUAUCUCCUCUCCCACUACAGUUAAGGACGACCUUUGCCUCGUUAGGAAGGGUAGGGCAUAACUUUUCUAAGUAGGCUAGUGCAUGAGAGGUUUCCAAAGCUGGAAUUAUUCCUUUAAGUCGUGACAAUUUUUCGAAAGCUUCUAAUGCUUCAUUGUUUGUAACGCUGUAGUACUUAGCACGCCUCAAGUCUUUCAGAAAACUGUGCUCCGGUCCAACCCCAGGGUAAUCCAAGCCUGAACUUAUAGAAUGAGGCUCUAAAAUUUGGCCAUUUUCAUCUUGUAAUAAGCAGCUCAUAGCUCUAUGCAAAACGCCAACAUCCCCUUUAGUUCAAGUUGCCGCAUGCUGCCACUAUCCAAUCCAAAACCUGCAGCCUCUAUCCCUAUCAAUCUAACAUCAUUAUCUUCAACGAACUUAUGGAAGAGUCCCAUAGCAUUUGAUCCUCCUCCUACACAAGCAACUAGUACAUCUGGUUUGCCACCCCAUUUUUCAAGUGCUUGUUCUCUUGUUUCUUUACCAAUCACUUUGUGGAAAUCGCGAACCAUCAUUGGGUAUGGAUAAAGGUCAGCUACGGAACCCAAAAUAUAAUGAGUUGUUUCAACAUUAGUCACCCAGUCUCUUAUAGCUUCUGAAGUAGCAUCCUUGAGUGUUGAUGUUCUAGAAUGAACAGCUCUAACCUCAGCACCAAGAAGCCGCAUCCGAAAAACGUUGAGGGCCUGCCUAUCCAUAUCUUGGGCACCCAUGUAAAUAACACAUUGUAACCCAAACCAAGCACAAACCGUGGCAGUGGCAACUCCAUGUUGACCUGCUCCGGUCUCAGCAAUAAAUAAGUUUCUUGCCCUGCCGCUUAGCGAGCAAAGCUUGGCCAACAACAUUGUUGAUCUUGUGUGCCCCGGUAUGGUUAAGAUCAUCCCUCUUUAGGUAAAUGUGAGGGCCUUCACCAUUUGGACUUUUGUAAUGUUCAGUAAGCCUCUCAGCAAAAUAGAGAGGAGUCUCCCUGCCAACAUAGUCCCUCAAAAUCUCAUUCAACACCUUCUCAAAUUCUUCGUCAUGAGCUAGAGCGUGAAACGCGGUCUCUAGCUCAGUCAAUGCGUGCAUGAGAGUUUCUGGGACGUACUUCCCGCCAUACUUACCAAACCGUCCAAACGAAUCAGGUCGGGGCAGGGAAGCCAUGUGAACAGUUGCUGAGUUUGGGGUGUAGUUGCAGGAGAUGGAAGAAGAGGCGAUGGCACGGUUGCGAAAUUUGAAGGGCAGCUGGGAUGAGGAAGAGGAGGUAAAGUAUGGUUUUGAGAGUGACUUGGUCAUUAGGGUUUUGGGAGUGGUAAUAGAGCUUGUCAUAGAUUUUGCGAAAAUGAGAGAACAUGUUUAGGAAUAAUAGUAAUCGAUACUUAGAUACUCGGGUAACUCGGCUCUUAUAAAUGGGUGACGAAAAGUAGUCAUUUUCUUCAUUUACUUGGGUUUUCUUCUCCGGUUUGGAUUCGUUUCCUAAUCCUUGAUGGAUUCGUGUAUUUUUUUUUGGGUGCUGAAAAUCACACUCCUAAAAACACAAUCCACAGUCAUUUUCUAUUUUUUAAUAAUAUCUCAUCCCCACUCACUUUCCACUUCCAACAAUACCCUCUCAUCAGAUUUUUUUCUUUUUAUUUUGGGAUCCCUUUAUUUUCUCCCUUCUCCCUCAUGUUCCUUUCCCAGACCACACCUAUGCUCUUUUUUUUCUUUUUUUUUUUCUCACUCUCAGUCUCCAUAGAAACGAUUUGGUUCACCCACAAAAGGAUUCUUUUUAUUUUGGGAUCCCUUUAUUUUCUCUUUUCUCCCUCAUCUUCCUAUAUAUCAUAAUGAAGGUAAAUUUUUCUUUUGAGAAUCAUUAUUUUUUUCCCAUGUCUAUGUUAUUUCAAACACAGACCAUCAAAAUCAAGUAAGAAUAAAAAGAUGACUACAAUUCUUCAAUAGAAAACUUAAUUCACACAGGAAAUAAGAAAAUUAGAUAUUUCCUUUAACCUCAUGAAUCAAUCAUCCAUAAAAUUCUCAUGAUCUUACAUAAAAGCAGUCAUGUCAUCAUUAUCAUAUUCUAAAAAGCUUCAAGUCAAGUUGCCUUCAUCCAAAAGAAAAGGUUGCAAUAAGCCUCCUACAGUUAAAUAGUCUGCAAACACUAAAACAAAAUCUGUGUUUAGGUACAUUGAGCAUAACAAGUUAGACAUUUUGAGUUUAGAGCACUCAAAAGAAAAAUAUGAACACCUGAUGUGGAAUGAACACAGCCAAAAAAGGGACAUUCUAGUAGUCUAGCAACUUUUCAAGACAUAUUCUUGAGCUAAUGACACAAUCAUAACAGAACUCCCAAAUAGUAUAAGCAAAAGAGAAAGGGAGAUGCAAACAAUAACAAAACAGAAAGUUCAGCAUAUUUGCAACUAAGCAGCCAUAAGAGAUCAUAAUACAAUACAAAUUAGAUACAAAACUGAAACAUACAAUAAAGAGAUCAUAGUAAAAAUUAGAACAGAGACUUACAUAUCCGUUUAGAUCCAAAAUUGCUAGUUGAGUUGAAAAACUAAGCAUUAUUCCUCACAUAUGGUGUAGUAGACUUGUUGAUUGAUGGACACUUGUUACGAUAAUGGCCAGGAUUACCGCAACCACUACAUUUCCGAGGUGUCUUAUCCACUACCUCAAAGUAUGAGGGUUCCCUCUUUGUAGAACAAGUUUCCUUUCUAUUAGUUGAUUCUACCGGACGACCUUUAUGAGGCUGAAUAAUAGGUUCAAAAAGCAAGGGGCAAGAUGCACCAAGAAUAUGAGAAAGCUGCCUUAUGGUAUUCUCUUUUUGCAUUAGCGGCUGCUUUUCAUAUUUCUCUUUAAUCUCAGACAAGAGACUAGUGAAAGGAUCUUCAUGAUCCAAGCUUGCAUGUUGAUCAUUAGUGAAAGAUCUUGUGUCAAUCCUCCACUGCAUAUGAAUCUGAUUUAGAGAACACACUUCAAUAUUCAUCUCCUUGAUCAUGUGCACACAAGGAAGAACCAUGGUUUUGAAAAAUUGGCCUUUCCAUUGAGAUGAAUAGUCUUUGGUAUUUGCCAGCAAAUAUUGUUUUAGUAGCUCAUACAAAGCAUGGAAUGAUACCUUAUUCAUUGUCUCUUUAAAGAAGAGGAUGCAAAGCUUUUGAGGAACACGAAUCUUUUCACUUGCAAAUUGAGUUUUAAUUUCUGGAAAUUGGUUUUCAAUAGCAAGACAAAUAUUUUCCUUCACUUCACGAAGACCACCCGUUGAAACUUGAAGAUAUCUCUUUAAGGUUGCAUGUGCACCUUCUGCCCUAGAAGUAACACUAUUACCAAAAUAGGAAAUCUGCCCUGUCCAUGCAACUAUAAACUUUUCUUUCCAUGGAAGCCAAGUUUUUUCAAUAUAAGUCAGAACUUUAGCAUAAUCUUUGUAUUCAAUUUGAAAACGAUUCCAAGCUUCAUUAAACAAUGCCACAUUCCAAGAUUUCACUAAGGCAACUCAAGAAGACAUAAAAGUAACCCAAUCAGCUUCUUCCUUAAACUGACUUUUAUAAUGUGCAACAAUAUUUUUCUCAAUAUGCCAUAUGCACAAAAGGUUAGGAGUCAUCGGGAACACAACUUCUAUUGCUUUCAUUAGUGCCAACUCCCUAUCAGUAAUAAUGGCCAACAGAUGAUCACCAAAACCCAACAACUUACUAAACAUCUCAAGAGCCCACUCAUAAUCCUCUUGUUCCUCUUUUUGCAUGAAAACAAAGCAUGAAUAAAAUGAUUUGUUGAAGCUCGACACUCCUAUAAUCUCAAAUAAUGGCAUCUUAUAUUUAUUUGUUUUAUAAGUAUAAUCCAUCACAAAGACAUUAGAGUAGCUUUUAGUCAACUCAAUGGAAGUGGGAUGAGCAAAGAAUAGAUGAGUCAAAUGACCAUGGUGAUCAUACUUGACAUUAUGAUAAAAACCAGCCCCGCCAAGCUCAUCCAAUAAUGCUUGAAUAACUGAACGCCCACCUAGGUUCUCCCUCAUAAAUUGAGCUGUCAUGCCAUAUACAUUUCUGUGGAAACAGCUAGAAGACCAGGGUUAUUUUGUCGAAGUGAAGAGAGAAUUUGGCGUGGUUUAAUGCCAGCCCUAGUCAUUUGUUUAACUUGUAAGGCUUCCUCUUUAGAAAAUCGACGACAAUAUGGAUGCCCAGACAUGUCAGUAGAAGACUCAUGGUUAUGUAGCAAUGUAAUUAUCUCUACCUUCCACACCCCUUCUUUCUUUCUUCCUAGAAUUUUAAAAGGACAAUUAAUCAGACGAGAAGAUGAAUUUCUUUUCUUGUUCUCAACUGCAAUUCCAGUUCUAUAACAUCCCCCUCUAUCACAACCCAUAACAACAUAUCUAUUGGGUUUGGAUCUUUUGAUUACCAGAGCAUACCCUUGCACAACCCCAAGAUUACGAACAUCUCUAAUGAGGUCAUCUCGAUUUUCAUAACCUUUUGUUGAUAGUGAGAAAAAUUCAUCAGAAACAGCAAACAUUUCUUCAUUCCCUAAAUCAUAGAUAACCAGAUUUAUAAUUAGGCACUUUCUGACUAACUAAAUGCUUAAAAAUUAACCGUUAAAUCACGGUUGUUAACCUCUAAUCCUUGCAAACCAAAUUAAGCCACUACUUAUUUCUUCUUAUAAGUUAGAGAAAACUAAUAAUAACUAAAAGCUAGUUCUAAAUAUCACUACAUUGCAAAAAAAAAAAAAUAGCAAGACGAAAAACUUACCAACGACAGUGAGACCUUCUAUGAUAUUAGACGAAAGAUUAAGCUGCAACUCUUCUUCCAUUUCGAUGUUAUUAAACGAAUGAUUAAACUACAACUCUUCUUCCAUAUUGUCUGAAGCUACCAUAUUAGCAAUCUUUUGCAACUCAGCAUCCAAAGGCUCUUCUUCCAUUGCUAAGACAAAUAUGAAUUUUAUCUUCUGCUAGUAAUCUGUAAAGCUAAGAUACCAGAAUUAAUAUUGCAAAAUCAAAAUUCCAAAGAAGUAAAAGGGGAUUCUCUAGAACAAUAGUAUGAACAAAAAACUUAAAUUGAGAAAACUGAGUGCAACAUACCAAAUACACUAAAUGCAUUUCUUGAUGUUUAGAGGCUUGCAAAACAAUAGAUCAUGCUAAUUCUAGGGACCCUAAUUCUAAUGCCCUGCCAUUUUCUACUCUAGAAACUCAUAUUCUAAUGCAAACCAAACCAUACUCCAGAAUUAAUAUGCAAAGGCAAGGAUUAUUCUCAAGCCAUUCUAAUAGAAGAAGAUGGAAAAUGGGGCAAGUCGAGUAUAAGCAAUCAAAUUCAACUCUUUUCGAAUCUAGGAAGAACACUUCUCCAAAUAUCGUAAAUGAGUCAAAUUUAACAAAGCCCAUAACAAUCUAAGAAGUAUAAACCAUCAAUUUUGACAAAAAUCUGAAAUAAUCCAUCAAUCGAACCUUACUCUAGAAUUUGGUAUAGGAUCAGGUCACGUCAGCAAAUCCUUACAUUAAAUCCUUCGGGUUAGCCUCAACAAAGAGAACCAGAUUGAUCGAGUUUUUGUGGGUGAACCAGAUCGUUUCUAUGGAGAAGAGAGACUGAGAGUGAAGAAAAAAAAAAAAAGAGCAGAGGUGUGGUUUGGGAAAGGAACAUGAGGGAGAAGGGAGAAAAAUAAAGGGAUCCCAAAAUAAAAAGAAAAAACAAUCUGAUGAGAGGAUAUUGUUGAAAGUGAAAAGUGAGUGGGGAUGAGAUAUUAUUAAAAAUAGAAAGGGAGUGGGGAUUGUGUUUUUGGGAGUGUGACUUUCAGCACCCUUUUACCCUUUUUUUUCCUUUAGGAUGACUUCUUUGGAUAUGGAGUCCAAAAGCACUGGUCAAAAAUUGGUCUUCAUCAAGUAAAAAUCAUGGUAUCUCUCGAAAACCCUUGCUCUGCUAGGGUUUCUUUAUCGUCGACUCUAGCCGUCUUCGACAAUACCUUCUUAGCCAUGUCUGACCAAAUUUUCUCCCUAGCAUCACUCUCAGCCCCGUCUAAGGCUACUCAUGUCAACUUUGGGCCUGCCGGAGAGGCGGCUCUCGAGGUUUCCCACUAUUUCAUGGUUGGGCGACUCCUCAAGCGAUGUCCCAAUGCCGCUGGCUUUAUGGGAACGAUCCCAUCCAUCUGAAGGCAGCGCUCUGGUCUGCAAAUCCAUUCCAAGGGAGACCGAUUCGUGUUCCAGUUUGAUCGGGAAGCAAAUGGCAACAAGGUUCUCCACGGCAGACCUUGGUUCUAUCAGAAUCUGAUGUUGGUGACGACGCCAUACGACGGGAUCUCUACGGUGGUGAACCCUCCUCUUCAUUCCAUUGAGACAUGGGUCUCGAUCUUAGGGUUACCGCAUUUGCUGCGCAACAAGAAAUCUCUUCAAUUGAUCAGACAAUCUAUUGGUAAGGUUCAUCGUUUUGAUAAUUUGGCUUUGAAUCGCAAAGAUGAAAAACAAAAGAUUCGUUUGACUAUGGAUACGAGGCAGCAGUACAGAUUUUAUCGCAAUUAUUCUUUGCUUCUGUUCAUGUUGAUGUUGAGAUCAUUUAUGAGAAAAUUCAAGGUCUUUGUAAGUUUUGUGGUCUUUUUGAGCAUGCUGUUGAGGGUUGUGACAAACUUUUUGUGCGAGAAGAUGAAGCUUGGCAUGGACUCCCAGUUACAGCGAUGGAAGAACUGACUAUAGCAAAGCCUAAGCUGCUUAAUGGCGGCUUUCUGAGCAGUGAUGUUGCACCGAGGGCUGAAAAACAUAAAGAGGAAGCUGUGCAAUUGACUGCAAAAGUGAAGGCCUUAAUGUCGGUACAACUGCCUGAGAAACACUUGAUGGUGAAUGAUGAGUUGGCUGCUAGGGUUCUUAAAGCAUGUAAGGCUGGAGGUUUUGUUGUUCCCCCACUUGUUGAGCAACAACAAUCUGCCAAACGGGGAAGAAAGAGGACAACAGAGCGUCCUCUUAUUCAACCGGGGAAGAAAAUGCUUGAGGUGUCCACAGUUUUGAGUCCGGAAAUUAAAGACUUGAACUUGAGUCUUCCUAAUGAGUUGGGUCGGCUUUUGGUGACACCCCAAAGAAAAAGGGUGGGUGAUCAAGAGGGUCUAUAAACAAGCCUAAGGAGGGUCCAUCUCGCCCUACUCUAAAGGGUAGGAAGCGGUUGUUGAAGAUUCUUGAGGAGGAUGAUAUGAUAGAGGAAGUAAAUCCUUCUACUGAUUCUACAGAAGCAAUGGAAGUGGUUGGCAAAGAGGUAGCUCUUCCUCCAAAGACGAAGUCUCUGACUGAAGUUGCUGCAGUAGAGAUGGAGAAGGCGGUAGUUGAAGUGGUGAAUUCCACUUCUAUUAUCACAUCUACUUGAUUGGGAGAUCGACAAGAAGAUUAGAAUUAUGUUGUCACAGUUUAUAACGCUUCGGAAUUUUUAAUCUUCUUGUUUUUGGUUUUAUCUUCGUAGAAGGUGAAUGUACUUGGAUUAGGUGUUUUGGUAUGUUUGUGUGAGGAGCGUACUAGAAUAGUUUUUCUGUAUAAUGACUUUUUCUGACAGCCCUCUUGGUAGUUUAUUAUUGUACGAGCUUCAUUAAUGAAUAACCUCUCUUUAAAAAAAAAAAAAAAAGUAAAAAUCAUGGUAUCAUGGUAACACUAAAGCCUAAACAGAUACAGACGUCCACCUAGGGAUCCAGAUACGUACCCCGUUUGGCUUUGUUUUGUGUUAGCUCAUCCACAUAAGCAUUGCUUUAUUCCUUUGUAUUAGAAUAGAAGAAAACUCAAGCAAAUGAAGAGAAUGAGUCUUUUCGUCAUCCAUAUAUACUCAGAGAGCAUCUUCAAGCAUUCCCUCUUUGGUCUCUCUCUCUCUCUGUGAUAUUGGUAACUUAUGAUACAAAUUAAAGAUCAACUCUAUUUGUUUCUGGUGGUGCAAGUUAUAACAAAACAGAAGGACGUUCCAUGUACAGCUAUACAAGUUAAUGAUGCACUCUCAUCCACACUAGAUACAGUUUGUGAUGAACACUGUAACUUGGUCCAACUCUAUCUAGACAUGCAGUAUCAUUUCCCUAAACCUCUUGGUGGCUUGGAAUAAAAUCUCAACAAGAGAGAAAUUUAGGUCAUAGUGGAAUUUUCAUCCUGAAACUCGGAUCACUCACUCUUCAAGGUAGCAAUUGCUUAAAAUUCUCGAGUCUUACCCUUACACAUGGCAAUGAGAAUCAAUGACAUAAUUUAUAAUUUAAUGUUGGAGAGGAAAGAUCUCACAUCAUAAAAGAGAUAAAUAAAAUACAACUUAUAAAGGGAUGAAUCACACUUAAUUGUACCGAGAUCUUUUGUGAUUAAAAUCCAACACCUUAAAGGUGGUUAAGUUAGGACAGUAUCGGUACAAUGGUGAUCCACAGGCCACGCUUGUCCCUAGAAUAACAGAUCACAGCUCAUCGACACUCUAUAUCUAUUAUUCUUAGAUAAGGCAUCAAAAGGACAAACUUAUUAUUUCCCCAGGCCAUAACUUUCUCUAUUGAGCUUUUCAAAGUCUUACAAACAUAUGCAGCCUUUCCCUGGAACCAAGAGAAACCAGCCCGCUUGGACCGUGAAAAGGAGAAUAACAAACAACAUGACAACCUAGCUACAAGCAUCUUCGAACCAAAAAAAAAAAAAAAAAAAACCUAAAAGACUACAAGAAUCGUAAAGAAAAAGAAGAAAACGACCAAAAACAAACAGCUAUAAUAAGUGAAUUUCUAUCCUGGAAUGUAGAAAUGGUCCCUUCUCCCCCUCAAUUAAUCAAGAGACCUGCAUCGAACCAAAGUCAAGCUUUAAUUGAAAAUGCACAAGGACGUUAGUUUACAGUGCAGUCUUCAAAACUGCAAUGAAUACAGCGAAGAUCUUUAGGAAUGUAAAACUGCAGGAGAAGCUAAAAUCAGCAUAAAGAACAUGAGAACAAUAAAAAUUAAAAAAUUAAAAUACCUGCUUCCAAAUGCAGGAGUGUCCCGUUUAUCCUUCACUUCCCAUAAUGAGGUACAAAGUGCUCUCCUAGGUGGUGGAAAUGGUCAUUUUCUCCUUCGAGUAUACGUACAACCUAUGGCAAAAAAAAAAACAAAAAAUUUAAAACUCAGAUGCAGUAUACAGAUACUCAGACAACCUUAUUACAGAUACCUAUACUCAGAUGCAAGAAAAAAAAAAAAAAAAACAAAAUACAUAAUAUACUCAGAUGCAGUAUACAAAUACCUAGACAACCUGAAUACAGUACUCUGUAUGCAGUGGUAUUUCUAACUAGCACUCUAGCAGUAUCAGAACAUAUGUGAAUGUUUCCUUACAGCUUCAGGAUGGUUGUUUCAUACUUAUGUCAUGCCAUAUUACAGGGCUAUAUCAUAAAAUGCAUGAAAACAUAAUCAAAGGCAGCUAUAUGCAUGUAAUCUAAAGCUAAAACUUUGUCACCAAACAACAAAAUCUAAAGAAUUUAUUUUUUCAUUUACCACUCCCAUUGAUGGACGCUUCUCAGCACUUUCUUGCACACAUACAUAUGCAGCUUUAGCCAUAAGGUACACUUCGUAUGUAUCAUAUGAAUCACCAAGACGACGAUCAAUGAGUUCAUGUAGUGCUAGGCUAUGGAUUAAUGGUUCGGCCUAUGAUUUGGACAUAACAGAUACAGACUAAUUAGAUUGGAAAAUAGAAAAUAAGCAAUCCAUUUUUCUUCUUAAAUUUGCAGAGUAAAAAAAUAAGCUCUGAAGCCCAACAUACCCACUGCCGCAGGGAUUCACCUUGUUCUUCUCCUUUUCCAUCUACAAUCUUGCGCCCGGAUAUGAGUUGUAACAGAGUCAUGCCAAAUGCAUAUACGUCUGUUCUUACAGAAACAAUACCAUUCUCUGCAUACUCUGGAGCAAGGUAGCUACAAGAACCAAAAGCUUAGUUGAGCUUGUUCCAGUAAAAGUAAAAUAGAAUAAGUACGACUUGAUAUCGGAUGUUGCAGAAAAGUAUAGAAGUCCUCACCCUAAUGUGCCAAGUAUCCUUGUACUUUCAGGAUCAUCAUUGGUCUUCCAUUUUGCUAAGCCAAAAUCACCUAACUGAGUGUAGAAAAUCAUGCCAUUAGUUGCAAAACAAAAAGAAAUGAGCACUGUAGGGUGACUACUCAGUCAUCGCCUUAAAACAUCAUGCAGAAAAUGGUGUAAUCACAACUCCCAAAGGGCACAAUUUAAAGUUGCCAGUCCAACAGAAUACAAUGUCUAAGUGAUCCAAGUAUAAAAAAUAUCCAAGGAUUAGCUGCAAUAACCAAAGGAAACAAAUUUUGAAAUGUUAAUGCAUCCAUUUUGUUGUCUUAAAACAUCUGCGCAGAUGCUGAAAGCUAAUAUUCUUGAUUUUGUUGUCAUGCUACUGAACGCUGAUCACUAGCUAGUAGUCUGCAUAAUGAUGGAGUCAAAGAACAAUGUCAUUUUCACUGAAGCAAUCACUUAAGAGUUCAUCUUUAUGUCAUUGGUAAAACCAGAAUGUGUACAAAGUGAUAUUCCAUAUGGUUUUCUUUCCCCUUAAGCCUACCUACCAUAUAUGUUUCCUAUAACCUUUUGCUUCCUUGAGGAUAAUUGUACUAGUGUAUAUGCCAUGCAUACUCUUGAUGUAGGUCCUCCAGGUAUCUAGUUCCUCAUCUCACAAAGAAAAGAGCAUAACUCCUAGUCCUACUCAAAAGAGGAAAUCAAAGUUCAGUGUUACCCUUGUGUUUUACCAAUCUCCACUUUGGGGAGCAGUUUUCUCCAGGCUCUAAAAUUGUAGCUUCCCAUUCUACUGCCGUUGUACUGUAUGCUAAAAAAGUAAAAAAUAUGUGCUACUACUAUUACUGCCAAAACAACUUUUCUGUCAUCAUAUCAGCUGGAUUAUAAUCAAUAUCCCCCUCCUUUAAAAAUUCUUUUUUUUUAUUAUGACCUUAUAUCCCAGCCUAAUGCUUCACCAUUGGGUCAAAACUAGGGGUGGCAAUUUGGACCCUGGCGAUACCAACCAACCACGUACCAACCGUACCAAACAAAUUGGUAUGCCAAGUAGUUGGUAACCGAGUUUUCGGUACAGUAGUACCGUACCAAGUUUUAGAAGUCGGUUGGUACAUGGUACAGAUUUUCCCAAAACACAGUAUACCAUGUACCAACCGAGUUAUAUUAAAAAAAAAAAAGAUUAAAACUAUUAAUCUAAGCCGUUGAUCUGUGGACUGUGGAUCUAACCUAGGUUAGUUAGUUAGUUGAGUUGAGUCAGUUGACUCUAUUCUCAAUAACUCACAGUCACUCUCGGGUCUCGGCCUCUCACGCUCGUCUCUCUCGCGUCUCGCCUCAUCUCUCUACUUCGCAGCACCCCCGCGGCUCGGCCACCUCAACUUCGCAACACCUCCUCGGCUCCGCCACCUCGACUCAACUUCUAGCCACCUCGCCUCUNNNNNNNNNNNNNNNNNNNNNNNNNNNNNNNNNNNNNNNNNNNNNNNNNNNNNNNNNNNNNNNNNNNNNNNNNNNNNNNNNNNNNNNNNNNNNNNNNNNNNNNNNNNNNNNNNNNNNNNNNNNNNNNNNNNNNNNNNNNNNNNNNNNNNNNNNNNNNNNNNNNNNNNNNNNNNNNACUCUCCCGGCCUCACAACAUCACUCUUUCCCUGCUAAUCUGGACUUUUGUGUUUUCAUUGGACAUGUGUUGUUUAAUUUUCUGUAUAAGACUUUGGACGUUGUUGGCUUGUUGCAUUUGAACUUUUGAAGUUUUGAUCUUGCUUGUUUAUGCAUUUGAAAUUAUAUGAUAUUAUGAUGUGUGAAACUUUGAAUGUGUUUGAACUUUGAAUAGUUUGAUAAUUGAUAGAAGUUUGGUAUAGGCCCAAAAAAAGGAUUUAAAUGAGCUGGGUCUUUCAGUUUGUUGGGCCUCAAUUUAAACUUGGUAGAGGCCCAAUACCAACCGUACCAACCGAGUACCAACCGUACCAACUAAGUUGGUAUACCAACUUUGACGGUUGGUUUUGGUACAAGAUUUUGCCUACCAAUUUUAAGUUGGUUGGUACAUGGUAUUGAAAAAUAUAGUUGGUAUACCUACCGAUGCCAGCCCUAGUCAAAACCAACUGUCUUAGAAGUUGAAACUACGAGAACAUGUUAUUCUGGUACCAGCCUGGUGGAGAGAAAAUACCCUUUUUGCAUGUAUUGCUUCAACGUGAGACGCGCCUUGCAUCCUAGUGCAUCUUACCUAUAAAUAAAAUCCUUUAUAUUCUUACCCCACUUGAUGAACAGUCACAACUAAAGAAGUAAAAUUCCUUUCAAAAAAGAACUAAAAUUCAGAAACUAAAAAAGAAAAAAAAAACAAAAAAAAAUUAAUCCUCAAGAAGAAAAAGACUUCAUGCGAUUCAACAAACUGGACUACGUUUGCAGAUUAGCUUGGAGACAGCUUUUAACCCAAAACCCCAAGAAAUAAACAGUUUACUCUAACCUCUCUCUACAAUGAUUUCUCACCCUUUAGGCCCUAACAACUGUUAUAUUUAGUAUAUCACAGCCGGCUUCUCCAACAAGCAAAAGUAAGAUAAAAGCCACCUGUUUUACUUUUACCACACAUCGGUGCUAAGUUUGAGUAAGGAAAAUAGAAAAUUUCACAUAAGUCUCUUUUUCAACAUUUUAUACUUCAUUAGUCCACCUUAAUUUUUUUACCCAUACAAGUCCACCUUUUAGUCCAAACCCACCAGUUUAUUUUUUUGUUGUACCUAAAAUACCCUCCCCUCCCUCUUUUUACCAAAUCAGUCUCUCUUCUUCGUUCUCUCUCUCUCUCUCUCUCUCUCUCUCUCUCUCUCUCUCUCUCGUAUUAGAUGAAGACGAGCUCCGGCAUCCAUGUCUAAAGACGACGAAGAAGCUCUGACCAGAAGCUACCUUGUCGGAGUCGAAUUAAUCUCGAUCAGAACCUUGCCUUAAGACGACGAACAAGCUCUGGUGAAAUCGAGAUCUAUCUACUUCUAUUCUCUGCUGCUUCUCAUUCUUCAGAUCUCACACAGGUAACACAAUUCUUUCUUUCAUUCUUUGUUUCUCUUUACGAUUUUUGUAAUAACUGAACGUGAGAUAUGUGAUUGUGAUUCGAAUUUGUGUUGACAGAUUGCGAUUUGAUCCGAAUUGCAGCAAAAUCAAAUUGUUCAGAACACGAAACGAAGGUGUGGUUCUCUAUUUCUUCCUCUUGAGCUUCAUAUGGCCGUCCGAUUCGUCCGACGACCUAUGGAGCCCGCGGCUGAUCUCGUCGUCGCGGUGCCCUCGGCCGUCAUCGUCCUUGAUGAAGUAAGCUGAGAAAGCUCUCAAACUCUCUGAUUUGAGCGAUAAAUAUCAUUCCAGGUAAACCUCUUCUCCUUUCUUCGAUUUUUUGAACCUCCUCAUAUUUUUUAGUUCUGUGUCGAUUUCGUUGCAUUUAGAUUGAUAUGGAGCUUUAUGUGGUGUAGUAUUGAUGAAAUUAAAGCCCAAAUGUCUUAGAUCUUUGGCUGAAUUAGGGCUUGGAAGAGAUGAAGAUGUUUGCUAAGCAGAGAGCUCGUAUUUCUGUUACAGACAAGUUUUAAUCAAAUUAGUGUGAUAAAGGUUUAUUAGCGUGUCACUGGUUUUAAUCGGAACAAGUUGAUACUAUGAUAGAGGGAUAGUAGCCUUCCAUAAUUGUUGCAGUAUCUUUCUGCUACUGUGAUAGUAUCUUUAUGUGCAUGCGUAGUAGUAUCCUGUUGUAGUAUCUUCUGCUACUAUUCGGUUUAUGAGCUAAAUUAUUUGAUCUGAGGAACUUAAAUGUUGAAAAUUAGUUAGUGAUUUCAUUGCAGUAGUUGAGUAGGAGUGAGUUUGAUUUUUGUUAUUUAGUUUUGAUAUAGGUCAUUGAUGUUCUUCAUUUAGGUAGGCCAAAUGUUUACAAGGUAUGAUAUUAGUUUUUUGUCUCUUGUAUUUUUCUGUCUAUCUCCAAUGUUGUUUGCUAAGUGUUGAUGUUAAUAACUUCUAUUUUCAUUUCAAAUACUAAUAUUACAUUGUGUUGCUCUUGCAGAAAUCUUCGCUUUGAAAUUAUGGUAGUAGAUUUCAAAAUCAUGUGAAUUAGGAUAUUGAAGCCUCCAUUAACCAAGAAGUCAUGCGGCCAAGCAAGAAAUGUUUAAAAUCAAGUCUCUUGCUUAAGGGGGGAAAAAUUAUGCAUAUGGUUUAGAGCGUCACUAUAGAAAACUGACAGUAGUUUUAUAAAGUUAUUAUAGUAUACUUCAGAAACUAUAGUAGCAACUUUUUACAACUAUGGAAGUAGUUUUGUAAAUAAUUUUAUCAUUGUUGAAAACGUCUUUUUGUAUCAUUGAAUAUGUUUUAUUCACUCAAUUGCAUUAGCAUUUUUAUUUUAGUUGUAUCCUCUACAUUUCCGCAAUCAUGCAAGUCUAUAAAAAAUAAUUUUCUCAACCUCCAGUAGUAGCUUUUGUAGUCGGUGGUAGCAGCUUUUAUAGCUAGGGAUAAUAGCUUUUGUUGUUGGCAGUAGUAGCUUUUGUUACUGGCAGUAGUGGUUUUUGUUGUUGGCUGUAGUAGCUUUUGUAGUCGGUGGUAGUAGCUUUUGUAGCUAGGGUUAGUAGCUUUUUUUGCUGACGGUAGUAGCUUUUGUUAUUGGCUGUAGUAGCUUUUGUUGUUGGCUGUAGUAGCUUUCGUAGUCGGUGGUAGUAGCUUUUGUAGCUAGAGAUAGUAGCUUUUAUUGCUGGCGGUAGUAGCUUUUGUUGUUGGCUAUAGUAGCUUUUGUAGUCGGUGGUAUUAGCUUUUGUAGUUGGUGGUAGUAGCUUUUGUAAUCGGUGGUAGUAGCUUUUGUAAUUGGUAGUAGUAGCUUUUCUUGUCAGCGGUAGUAGCUUUUGUUACUAACGGCAGUAGCUUUUGUUGUUGGUUGUAGUAGUUUUUGUAAUCAGUGGUAGUAGCUUUUGUACAUAAUUAUAUUAUUGUAGAAGGCUUCAUAUUUUUUGCACCAUUGAAUUUGUUAUAUUCUCUUGAUUGCAGUAACUUUUCUUCUGUUUGGUAGUAGGUUUUGUUUUGUUUGGUAGUAGCUUUUGUUGCUGGUGACAGUAACUUUUAUUAUGCUUGGUAGUAUCUUUUGUUAUGCCGGAUAGUAGUUUUUGUUCUGCUUAGUAUUAACUUUUGUUGUUAGCGACAUUAUAUGUGACCUUUCUAAAGGUCGUCGAAAAUCUCACCAUAGCAGCUUUUGUUGUUGGAUAUAGUAGAUUUUGUUGUUGAAGGUAGUAGAUUCGAUUGGUGGCGGUAGUAGCUUUUGUAGGUGACGGUAGUAGCUUUUGUUGACGGUGAUAGUAGCUUUUUUUAUGUUGGUAGUAGCUUUUGUUUAUUUCGGUAGUAGCUUUUAUAUACAGGGGUAGUAGCUUUUGUUUAUCUCGGUAGUAGCUUUGUUGACGGUGAUAGUAGUUUUUCUUAUGUUGGUAGUACCUUUUGUUUAUAGCGGUAGUAGCUUUUGUAGGCGGUGGUAGUAGCUUUUGUAACUGGUGGUAGUAGUUUUUGUGUUCGUCGGAAACCUCACAGUAGUAGCUUUUGUAGGCGGUGGUAGUAGCUUUUGUAGCUUGUGGUAGUAGUUUUUGUGGUUGGUGGUAGUAGCUUUUGUGUUCAUCGGAAACCUCACAGUAAUAUCUUUUGUAGCUGGUGGUAGUAGAUUUUGUAGCUGGUGGUAGUAGUUUUUAUAGCUGGUAGUAGUAAUUUUUGUCAUCGUCGGAGGUCGGCCGGAAACCUCGCCGGAGGUCCGCCUGAAACCUCGCCGGAGGUCAGCUGGAAAUCUCGCCGAAGGUCCGCCGGAGACUGUUCCGAAAUGAGAGUGGUUGUUGACUUUUUAUACUAGUGGCAUUCUUAUAAAUAUAAAGGAGAAAAUCUAAUUUUUUUUGUUGGAUGGCAGUUUGUAAUUAUGUUGAACUUCAAUACUUAAUACAAAAUCUUAUUUAAAAUUGGAUAAACUUAUGUGGGUAAAAAUGUUAUGGUGGAUCUAUGUGGGAAAAAAUGUCUCAAAAUAGACUUAUAUGUAAUUGGCCCUAAGGAAAAAUGCUUCAUGGAAUGACAAGCUAUAUUUCCACAACUCAGAGAAGCCCUAGAUAGUUGAUUAGCAAAAAGGACAAUACAUGUAUGAUUCGAGAUUUUUAUUAUAAAUCGAGCUAGUGCAUUUAUUUUUCUUAUAGUUCAACCACCAUAUCCUUAAGUAGCUAUAAACUUAUCAGUAUCACAAGGUCAGCUACUGACCAGAUAGUAUGUAAGCAACCUGUAACUGAAAUGGAAAGUAAUAUUUUGUAAUGUCUCAAUGGAGCUCAUAAAAAGUGAAUGCAAGGAAUGUUGCAUGUUAAGUUACCAUUGGAACAUAAUCGUGUGUGAGCAGUAUAUUGCUUGGUCGCAUAUCUCUAUGAACAAUAGUACCUCCACGACAUUCUUCAUGUAGGAAACGUAAUCCUUUAGCAGUUCCAAGGGCGAUAGCAUACCUUCGGUGCCACUCAAGAACUGCUGCUUCAUCAUCUAUGAAAUCCACAAGAAAUUAACAAAAAGAAGAUUCAGUAAGCUUGUUGAUGUUGUAUCAGUAGAUGAACUAACAAUAGCUGAGGUCCAAAAAGAAGUUUACCAAAUAAGUGCCACUCGAGAGAUUUGUUACAAAUAUACUCAUACACCAGGAUAUUUUGGUUUUCCUUGCAACAAUAACCCAACAGCAUUACAAUAUUUUUGUGGCGUGCAAAACUCAAGACAUAGACCUCAGAGUGAAAUUCGUUGAAUCCCUGUUUACUUGCCUCUUUCCGCACCUUCGCUGCAAUCUCCCGUCCGUCCUUGAGCUCACCUUUAUAUACAUGACCAUAUCCACCUUCUCCUAUUAAGUUUUCUUUUGAAAAAUCCUUUGUUGCAAUCUGUAUCUCUGAGUAACUAAAUGUCAUAGAAUCUUUCAUAUACAUUUCAGUCCUCGUUCCACAGAUGGAACAAAGAAUUGGCGCAUAUGAGGUUCUUUGGCGUGAGAAACUUUUAUUUCGUUUCUGGACACAUUGAAAAGUAGAACACUGACUUAUGUCUCCUUUGGCUUGUAUGCCUGGAAGAUGAAAACUUACACUUAUAAGCUUUACUCUAGUAGUUGGAGUACCAUAUAUAUUUUUUAAAGCAAAGAUAUUGGAAAAGCUUCACUCUACAUGGGUAAUUCCUAUUUCCUUAGAUCAUUUUCCCGUUGGAAACACCAUAAUGCAUGAGACAUAAGGAUCAUGCACUUCUUUGUUAUAAAAUGCUAAAAGCAUAAUGGCUUUAGGUUACUGUGAUCCUUUCAGUGCAUGAUGCAUAAGUUUUAUGUCUGGCAACAUUCAUGUGAUUUAAAAGUGAAUGAUGUAUGUUUCUAGGGUUUAGCAAGUCUGGUGUGUUGAACAAACUAUAUGUAUCCUAUCAUUAUGAUAGUAUCAUAUAAGUGAAGAUAUUGUUAUCUUAUUUUACUCAAAUGGCACAUCAUGAAUUGAAUAAAAAUAUAAAGAAGUGUGACUUUCAAUAUAAAGGGAGAAAACAGAAAACACAUAAUAUAUUUUGUAGCUUAAAUAUUUUCAACUCCAAGUAAAUAUACAAUCCAAAUAUAUCGAGAGAAGACAAAUAAAGGUUUGCCAUUUCGACCAAACUUCUACUCACUUCAGGUUUUCCUGGAAAGGGUUAUACUUUGCAUGUAAAGAUUUGAAAAUUUAGAUAAAUAUUGUAUUAUAGACUGACUAUUCAUAAUGGAUUGGUAUCACAUCUGAUUAUCAAGCUUCCAUCACAAAAAGGACAAUAUAUUUUACUAGCAGAGCCCUUCCAAUGAAGGAUCUAUUUUUUUGUUCAUUUAUAGGGAUAGGCUCACACCAUUAGAUCUGUUUUUUAAUGGGCUUGGAUGACUAAAAUUAAAACAAAAAACUUAACACUUAUGUCAAACAUACACCGUUCAAAAUCAUUAAAAAUAAAUCCCUCAUUUGGAUGACUUAACGAUCACCAAAUUUUCUGAAAAUUUGCAGAAAUGAUCUACUCAUAUAGCCCAACGAAUUGAACGGUGGAGAUUUGAUUUUGUGAUUGAAAAAUUCGUCAAAUGAUCUAUCCCUAUAAAUGAAGAAAAAAGGGAUCCCUCAUUGGAAGGGCCUGAUCUUACUAGAAUUUAAAAAGCAAAAAGCAUUAUGUUUAAAGGCAUAUGCAAAUUUUGUACCUGACUUUUCAUUCUUAGAAGAAGUCCCUAGAUCCAAUGACGAACUAUACUCUCGUAACUGAUAUGUAGAUGGAGGCGUCAAGUUGGGCUUAAGCAUUUCUGAGCUUUCCAGACCAACAGAUGCAGAGUAGCUUGAACACGUAAUGAUUGACUGCUCAAAGAUUCCAUUAGCCUGAGAAAUUGAUAGUGGAACAGGCUUGGACAAAGAAAAGAAUGUUUUAUGUUCUAUAGUAUCAGUAUCAUCUGUUGUAUGAAGUCUCAAAACUUCCACAGCUAAGCUAUCUUGAAUCAACGCAACCUUGCAAGGUAUCUGCUUAAGGUAGAACCUCAAAUCCCGUCUAAUGUGCCUGUGAAACUCCAUAAGUUACUACUAAAGCCAAUGAAAAACCGAAAAGAUGAAUUUCAACAGAGGCAUGUUUUGGAACAGCAAUAAGGGUAGAUAGAAGCUAAUGGAAAAUAGAGGGUAUAAAGAAAUCUAGGAAUCUAUCUUAGAAAACACUGAAAUUGUUAUUUGCCUUUUGUUUUUACAGCAUCAAAUAUUAAAGAUCCAAAUAUCAGUAGCUACGCCUUUUAAGAGAAAGAAGAUUAGCUCAGUAAAAUAACAGUGUACAUAUAAAUGUUCUUUAUACAAUAGCCAUACCUAGGAACUUAAGACGUCAACCACUUUGACAAUAUCCAAAGGUAGGUGAAUAGAUUUUUACAGUUCAAAGAAAUAAUUUCUAAAGGAAUACUUGUAAUGACUCGUGAAUCAUCAUCAGAUAACAAGUGCAACCAUGGUGAACUCUAAAACGAAUAAGCAGACGGAGACAAAGAACUACCUAUCAAGUACAACCCAAGCUGCGUUACAGGCCAUUAUCUCUUGCAAGAUAACCUGCUUGAUGGGAUAACCAGCAGUAACUUUGACUUCAAUGCUGACCUGAAUAUAGCAACGAAUUUGAAACGGUGAACAAAACCACCAAUAACAAGGACAGAGAGCAGAAUUCUUAAUAUAACAUGUGACACAGAGGAAUAUCUUGAUAUAAACAAGAUGCAUCCAGCAUCUUUGUUCAAACUUUUUAUCUUUGUUAGUGCUCUAGGUAACAGAUAACAGUAAUCCUUAUUCAUCAAAUAACUUGAUAAAGUAAUGCUUAGCACUUGGUGAAUAUAUUACCCCAUAAUCUUCACACUUCACCGCACUUUCAAGAAGCAUGUUAACAUACAUGUCAACUUUCUUUGUAACUUCUUCCUCCACUGCACGAAAGCUUGUUCCAAAGAAUUCUGGGUAUGGUUUCGCUUGAUAUCCCACUGUUCCAACGAAGGCAAGGUAAGCAUGGAGUAUUGGAGUUAACAUCACAAAAUCAGUAAUAAGCACGGUCAGUGGUUUAGUUACUUGCUCAGAAUGAGUUUAUGCCUCUACAAAUUGAAUAAUCGGAGUAGUCAUAUGAUCCUACUAACAUUUGACUAGUUAAUGCUAUUAUGCAAGAUAUAAUAUCGGAAGUACUCUGCAUCAAAUUUUUCUGAAAUAAAAGGAUCUAUGUUUACCCUUAUAUAUCACAGUCUGUAACAUCAGUACUAAGCGAAAAAUAACAAAAGCCUAUAUCAUGUUGCAGCGUCACUAAUGAAGAUACAUUUUUACAGAAAGGAUCAUGAUUAGAUUGACGAGAUUUGACUAUACAUGUAGAACUGAUGGUCACAAAGUGAAAAUUUUCAAGCACAUAGUAUGGUGUAAAACAUAUAUAAUACCAAUUUAGUUUCUGUUGUAGAAGAUGAAAAUUUGAUCCAGAAAUAGAAAUGGAAAGUUAAAGAUAAUGUUCAUAGCACCAUUCUACUCUGUGUGCACAACUUUAUAGCCAAAGCAAGCAGAAACCGAUAAAUCAAUCAAUCAAUAUUCUCCCAAAACCCAAUCAAGAUUUCAUCUCAUUAGGGCUAUAUAAGCUUCUGAUCGGAGAAUGUAAUGUCUUCUCCUAAACCUAAAACCCACUGGAGUAUUUCAUCGAACACUUACUUGGGUGAACCACCCUGUGCAAGACUCCAAGCACAACAAUGGUGUCGCCGGCACGUAAAAUGUCACCCCUCAACCUCACAGCAUCAAUGGUGAGCUUAAGCUCAUGCCCACCGCGGUCCUUGGUGGCAUCAUAAGCAAUAACAACGUGUGAUGGCGUCAUAGGGCUCGCCAUGGAUUCUUGUGAACAACACACCACAACAGGGUACUGGCUUUUGAUCUUGGUUUGAUGUCUUGGUGGUGAAAAAUGAGUUUGCUAUUUAAAUUGAAUCUUGCUUGGAUUAAACCCAUUAAAGAUUAUGAUUGAUGGCCAAUACCUGUCUGGUAGAGUUUAGAGAAAAUCUCUUUCUUUUUUGCUCACAAAGUUCUCUAUCUGGUUGCAUUGGGCAGGUAACAUUCCCUCCAAACCAAGGAAGAUAUCCCAUGAAUAUUCCCUAAAACACUGUACCCGAAAUCUUGGCGGGAGUUUAACAAGAUUGCAACCCAACAGCCACAUUGGUUUAUGCGUUUUAACUCCUAGCGUGUGGUCUGCUUUAUCAAUGGUCCUCAAACACAUUGGGGUUCUCUUUCUGUAUCUAAAACCUGUGACUCAGUUUUGUUCUGCUAUCAUGAACAUUUUCAAUGAUGCAGUUAAGAAGUAAUUAGUAUAAAAGGGGGAGAAAAAAGAAAAAAAAAAAACACAAAGCAUGAAAAGAAUGUACUAAGAACAAGGUUGGGGCACACUAUUGCUAUCUUAAUUGUGUGUGGUCUCUAUGCCUAAUUAGAAGACUAGAGUUGAUACCCGCGCCUUGGCGCGGUGUAACAUUAAUAUUAUGCAUAUUCCACAUAUGUAUAAGAGUUAUCACAAAAAUAACCUUUAUACAACAAAAUAUCUAGCCAAUUUUGUGUUCUACCAAAAAUAUAAAUACUCCAAUUGUUUUGAUUUGUACGUAUAUAUACAAAGCAGAAGAAAAAUGACAGAAUUCCGUGAAACAACGGGGUAAUAAAUUAUCACAGUAAUAUAUUAAUAUCUCUAGACUUUUCUAUUUUGUGAGAAAGAUGGAGAAAUGUUGGGCGAGAGAGAGAGAGCGAGAAGCAGUGGAAAAAAAAUAAAAAAUUAUACCUAGAGUUGAAACGAAGGGUAAAUACGGAAUUACACAACCCAUCAGCAGGAUGAAAAUGUCCGCACACUGUUCACAGUGCCUAUGAACAGUUAACCAAGCAAUAGUAUAUAGGCACAAAACAAAACAAUAGUGAAAGAGAUGAAACGAAGCGGCGAUAUUAUCUGAGAUGCAAAGACAGAGAGACGGGAGAAAUAAAAAUAAAGGAGAAAGAGGCAAGAUCAAUCCGGAAGAUUCAAANNNNNNNNNNNNNNNNNNNNNNNNNNNNNNNNNNNNNNNNNNNNNNNNNNNNNNNNNNNNNNNNNNNNNNNNNNNNNNNNNNNNNNNNNNNNNNNNNNNNNNNNNAAAAAAAAAAAAACUGUUCAUAUUCGACCAGCUAUAGUAUAUAGUUAAAGUGUCUCCUUGGCUUAUGAAUUGUAUUUAUGUUGCGGAUUGUUGCCCGAAAACUUCAUCAAAUGAAUAAAAUGUCAAACCUCAAUUUCAAAAGAGGAAAUCGCUACAAGCCUACAACCAACUCCAUACAACAACAGACUGGCUUUCGAAAACUGUCCAUUAGUCUAUGGGAAGCUAACUCGAGAUCAAGCCGACAUACUCUACCAAUAGCAAACCCCCAAGUUCCAAACCCCUGCUAGUGACAUAGCAUAUCCAAACACCUACACUUAGUCGGAGAUCGACUAAUACAGGAAUAUUCUGUACUUUGAAGACAAAACUGAAAGCAUAUAAUAAUUCGUAUGCAUGGCACUGAUUUUAAUUAAACAAAAUAAUGGGACGUACAGAAAGGAUCAGUAUUUUAGAUUUUCUAUCUCAUUCCAAUUUCAUUGAUGUUCACGAAUUAGAGAGCAUCAGAAUGGUUUGAUACUUUGAUGCAUGAAUGAUCCUCUCUGUUAUACUAGUCUUUUGAUGGUCAACUCUUACUCGUCUCGACAAGAAAAAGAAAAAAGAAAAAAGAAAAAAAGCCUCACAGAGAAAUUGUUAGAAUGUACUAGUAUGCAGUCUUCAACAUGUCCAGCAUUACUCAAUAGUCACUAAGGUUGAUAAAAGAACUAAGGAUACACACACUACAGGUGUAACUAAACGCCAUUGCGACUUGCUGGAAAUCGGGCAUGAACUGAGGUGCCCCUGCACGCACAAAUAUAGUUUUGCAUAAACUACUUCACUAGCCUAUAAUUAAGUAUCUAGAUUAGCUCCAAAGUGUCUCAAAAGACAAUUGUGAAACACUAUUCAAGGAAAGCUGCAACAGCAAAGUAAAUUAGGUAUCUCUUUGCUUCUUAAUUUUUAGCCUUCUUUCACCCUAGAAAGGUGCAGCCCAUGACUGCAUGUUAUCAAGUCUCAUGGUUGAGAAUUAUGGGAUCAUGGCUACUGACAACAUAACAGCACUAAGUUAAGAGUAGACUAGCCAUAUUACUUCUUCUUGUAAACAUUGGUCUGUUCUAUGCAGACUUGAUUCUGGCAAUUUGAUCCCCCAAUUUGGAAUAAGAGGUCGAAUCCAUAAGGACUGAUUUAAGCAAUCAAACUAUCGUGCAAGUUCUAGGAUAUCUAAUCACAAUCCCCUGUCCGGACUGGAUGUGAACUAAAAGUCCUAAAGUAUUGUUGUCCAACUAAAGCACAAACUAUAUAGAGAUCAACUUAAAUAGAUAAACAGAUGGUUGGUUAAACUAUUAGAUAAAUUAACGACCGUGUAUAUAAAAGCCAACUGCGCAUCACAUACGGUAAAAAUGAAUUUAUUUGGAAUCUGAGAGUCAAAUUGCAUAUCGAAGAACUACCAAGAACAAAAAGACAGUAAACAAAUAUACAAACUCCAUGGUCUGUGGCAUCAUCAUGUCAAAAAUACAGACUACUCAACGCAAGUUUCAGAACAAAGCAGGCCAGGAUUCUAAAUCCAUAUCACACACGUCAUUCCGAUGACAUGGAUUAUUUGAAAUGUGACACGUUCAAAAGCAUCACAAAUAUCUAAGAAGCUCCUUCUCCCAAACAUGCUGAGUAAUAAUUUUAUUGGAGCACUAGACCACCUUCCCUAAUCAACUACAAGGCAAUAGAACAUAAUGGGAUAAGCUACUAUCAAGGGAAUGGAUCCUCUACUAUAAAUUUGCAGCUAGAAUUCGAUUGGAUAUGCAUGCGAGAGGCUGCUGAUCCUCACUCUGUCUCCUCCCCCUUUCCUUAAUUUUGCAGUUAAAAAGUUUUUAGAUAACCCAAUUUCGAUAAGAUAAUAGUUGAACUCCUCCCCAUCUCUUUCUAUGUAACCAGACUCCUUCAUUUACACACAUCCAACCCAUAUGGGAGAGGUGAACACACAUCCACCCCAUAUUUGACAUGACAGGCCACCAAAGAAAGCUAGGCAGCAUAUUGACAAAAACUGAACUGGCAAUAUAUAAUCGAAAUUUGGUGCCUGAAGCAAGGCAGAAGGAGACAGGGAUAAUAUGUUUUAAAGAGACGAACUAACCCUGGUUGAAGCGGACGAUGCAAUGAUUGAGAAGCUUGUUAAAAGGGAGAAACUUGUGGGAGUUGAAAUUGCAGGUGGGUUGGUGACAGAAGAUUGGAAAUGCAAAAGGAAAUUUUGGUGAUGGUGGGGUGGGGGUUGUAUGUGGGAAUGGAGUUGAUGGAGAUAUCAAAAAAGAAGAUGGUUUACAACUUUACAUAUGAUAAUCUCAAAAAGAGGGGAGAGGGGCUUUGCUUUGUUGCUUCUUGUGGAAGUUUGGCUUUUGGAACUCUUUACUUUUCAGCUGUUGGAUUGUUGUGAACUGACAUAGCAGCCUCCCAUGCAAAUCCAAGCAGAACCUAGCACCCAAAAUCAUAGUAGAGAAUCAAAGUCCAUGAUCAGGACACGUUUAAUAAGCUUUAAGACUAAUUGAUAUAGAUACUUUCCAUAUCAUGUCAACUUAUAACAUUGCAAAAUGACCAUAUCUAUGUUGGCCAAUUUCGUAUACAAAUCUUAAAAUUCAAGAUUGUAAAAUCCCGGUAAAACAGAUUGUCUCAUGGUCUCAGCUCCAGAAGAGUGUAAAAAAAAAACCCCACCCAACUAUUUAUCUCAAACAAAACAAGUAACCACAGAAAAAUGAUAUGAACAAAAAAAUUUUCAAGGAAACCAAACAAAUAAUAGUUUUAGGAGAUGAGACAUAUAUGUAAUAAUCAGCUUUCUAGGCAACCAAACAGAUCCAUAGGAAGAUAAAAGCAUGAAAUUCAUACCUCUGUGAGGUUGAGAUGGUGGGUGCUGUGUGAUGGUGUCAUUGGUGUGACAAUUUCUCUUUCACUCCAGCGGCUGAAGUCUCCUAAGCUAAUAGUUCUGUGUCAGAAAACACCUAAACCCAUUCAACUUCAAAACAUGGAGUACAGAAAGUAAGUUAGAAAUGAAACAUUCAAACUUAAAGAAAGAAAUCAUAGAAAUAGUAAACCUAGCUAUAAGGGCAUGACACAGAAAGAUCUCAGAACACAGUGAAAAUACAAUAGGCUUAUGAGAUUCCUGACCCGGAUAUGAUAUCAUUUUGACAAUCUGGUGGUGAGAUAUAGAACCCUUUAACAAACUGAAAUCCAAGAAAGCUCAAAAAACCACAAAAUCUUGAACAGUCGAAGGAGAAAGUGAGAAGCCUCUGCCAAAACUAAAGGUCACGUGAUGCCCAAUAUUGGCAUUACUUUUGAGAUAGGAUUGAGUCUAUGCCACCUCCAUCCUUAAACUCCACUGUCGUUUAAAAAACUUCCUGAACAAGUCCGGACGUGGAGCUCAGGAUCUUGUGCUCCUCUUAACCUGAAUUCUUAUGUGCAAUGCCCUCAUCCAAACACAAAAUUAUGGUAAUUCUUUUCACCACUCCUCCUAGCGUCACUUUCUUAGAAUGUCAAUGUAACUAUCAGCUUCCAUAUCCCAAAACAGUAAUCUCAAUAUCAUAUAUAUGUCUUGGCCUCCAUGAGGCUGUAAUUGGUCUGCCUUAAAAGUAUAUACAUGUUUCUGUAUCUCAAUCCAACUACAUCCGACCACAUUCUUCACACCUUUCUCUUUCAUUUCAUUCGUAACUCGAAUCAUGCUUUCCCAUCUUCCUCUCAUUUCAUAUGCUCGAGCUAGCACCAGAUAAGGUAGAGAUGACUGUGGUUCUGACUUCAUCAUCAGUUGUGCAACUCUUUCAGUAAUUUUGAUGUCUUUCUGAAGCGCACAAGCACGAAGAAUUGAUUCCCAUAUCAUAGAACUAGGUUCAUAGGGCAUUGCUUCUACUAUAUCCAUUGCUGCUUCGAGUUUACCUGCACGAGUCAACAAGUCUACUAUGCACAUAUAAUGCUCUUCUGCAGGUUUGAUCCCAUAUUCCUUUUCCAUGGAUAUAAAUAAUGACAUACCCUCAUCCACAAAGCUGCCAAAGUUGCAAGCUAAUAAAACUCCAGCUAAUGUUACAUCAUCUGCUGGCAUACCUUCACUAACUAAUUCCUUAAAUGUGUCCAGGGUCUCAAACAGUUUACCAUUUUGAGCUAAACCCAUAAUCAUAGUGUUCCAAGAUAUCAAAUCUUUCACCGCCAUACUUGAAAAGAUCUUCAUGGCAUGAUUUAUCAAUCCAAGUUUAGUGUAAAAAUCAACAAGUGAACUAGCGACAAUAGCGUCUGACUCAAAGCCUAACUUAAUAACCCAAGAAUGGAUUUGGAAACCCUGCUCAACUGGAAGAAAUGUGGACGUACAGCUCAGUACACUGCUAAGAGUGAACUCCGUUGGCCUCAGAUUCUUUCUAAGGGUCAGCACAAAAAGCAGCACAGCAUUAUCCACACAACCAUGCCUUGCAUAGCUCGAAAUCAUGGAAUUGCAAACAGCUGAAUCUGACCAGCUUAGUUCUUGAAAGAGCAGGACCGCGUCCUCCAAUCUGUUGCAUUUGGAAAACAUGUCAAUAGCGGCACUCGAUACAAUGCUAUUAGAAAAGAAUCCCACCUUCAAGCUAAAAGCAAUAAUUUGCUUACCCCUUGCCAAAUCAAGCAAGUUACAACAAACAUUGAUCACAGUUGAUAUCGUAAACUCAUCAGGGGAAUGCUCGGUGCCUCUCAUAAGAACAAACUGAUCUAUAGCCAAUUCCUCAUACCCAGCUCUAUGACAGCCCCAAAUCAAACUGUUCCAAGAAAUGACAUCCAACUCCUCCAUACACAUAAACACCCCAAAAGCAUAAUCCACCGAACCAAUCUUUCCAUACAUGUGGAUCAACGAAUUCCCAACUACCACAUUCGACAAAUUCACACCCUUCCUGAUCAUACCACCAUGAAUUUCCUUCCCAUGACAACCAGACGACACAACUGACAUCACAAUCGAAAACGUGAACUCACUCGGCCUCACACCCGAGCUUUGCAUUUCCGAAAACAUCCACAUUGCAUUACCAACCAAUCCACACGAAACAUACCCCGAAAUCAUCGAGUUCCAACUAACCACAUCUCUCUCAGGCAUUUCAUCAAACACCUUCCGUGCCCUCUCAAACUCACCAAAUCGACAUAAACCCUUCAAGCAAAUAUUAUCAGACACAAUGUUCUUGCAAUUAAUCUCAUUAGAAACUCUCAACGCAUCGAAAAGCGUGCCGAACCGAAAGUAAGCGUCGAGGAGACGGUUACCCAGAAAGGUAUGGGUGUUGAGUCCCACUUUCACCAACCGCGCGUGUAAGACAUUGACGUGAAUUGAAGAUUUAAGGGAGAGACAGUGGUCUAGGAGAUGAGAGUAAUAGGAGAGCGAGGUUUUGUGAAGCCCACUGACUUGUUUGAGAAGCGAUUGCAUGCAAAACCUUAAGUGCUACAAUGAAGUGCAGGGCGGGGGUUUUACUUGUAUGAAAAUGAAGAGGGUUAAGCAGUGAUACGGUCCCGUUUUGAAUGGGGUAUGGCGUCUGGGUCUAGUUCUUGUUGUUGUGGAAAUUCCAUGGAAAUGGGAGCAGCAGCGGUUGAAGAAUUAGCUGCUUUAACGUUGGAGAGGUAUGAGUAUCAAGGGUAAUUGUGUGUUUAUCUCAUUAGAUUUCUUUUCUUCUCCCCCUAAGGGUUUAAUUUUUUUUUUUUUUUUGAAAGUAGGGUUUAAUGAUCGGAUAUAUAGGGGCCCUAUUUAAGUAUUUAUGAAAAAUCGAUUGCAAUAAAAAAUAAAUAAAUAAAAAAACUCACGGCUUAAGAUAUCGAAGUGCUUCAAUCUAUUGUGAUUCAUAAUAAUGAAGACAGGGAAGUCUUUCUAACGAGGACCCUUAAGUUGAAGACUUGGUGAGGACUUUUCGGCUUAUCCCACAUUUCGAUCUUAUAUCUACAUCUUUACCGUUCAGUUUAUAGAUAUUUAUGAGUAGAUAAUUUCUUUAAAUUUUCAACUAUAUUGAAAAUUGUUAAGACAUUCAUAAGUGUGAUUUAUCAAUUAUGAACUUGAACGGUUCAUAUUUGACAGAUUUAGUUCGUCCAUUAGUUUGAUCUAAUUUGUUAUCUUAACGAACACCAAUUUGGGUGAAAAUUUGUAUAAAUGAUCUACUCAUAUAAACCUAAAAACUGAACGGAUAAGAUGUCAAAAUGUGAUCGAAAAUUGGGUCUUUUAAACCAUAAACCGAAAAGCCUUUACCAAGUCCUCAACUUAAAGGUCCUCACUAGAAGGGCUCCUAUGAAAACAGAGCUCACGUAACAAAAUAUAAGUAUUUAAGUUGUGCUUCUCAUUGAGUUAGUAAGAGUUUUAGUGGAACCUUUUAUACUCAUGUAAUCAUGUUUGAAUUUUGCCGAUGUUGUUAGAGUUAAGUUUUUCGACACGGAUUAGUCUAUGAUAUUAACCUUUAAAGAGAGCAUAAGAUGUCGAUAAAAAAUAAAAGUUGAAUUUUGUUGUGUAAAUAAUGCAUUGCUCCACGACAUCACCGAACCAAAAAGCAAAUCAAGCAACUUUGAGAAAUUGAGAGUCAAGGAAACAAGGUGCGUCAAUUUUAUCCCUUUUAAAUUACUAUAGAUCAACGGGCAUGUAUUGCGAGAAAUCAAUGUUUUCACUUGGAAUAUGCUACUGGUGCUGAUUAAAGUGUAAUAGUGUAACAAAUCCUUAAAAGUAGAAGCAUCCACGAUCCUAAAUUCCUAAAUACAAAUAGACGAAUAAACAACAACAAAACAAAAUGUGUGAAGUCUGGAAUGCAAUUUGAAAAUCACCAGCUCAAGGAUAGCUCUCAUGCCCUGCAAAGUAAAAAAGAAAAAUUUAUCAGCGAUUGGACCUUUUUCCCCCAAUGUCAAUAGCUUUCAAUUAUAACAUCUAGUUCUACAUAAAAUUAACACUAAAUUCCAUUUUUAUCAUAAAGUUAGAGUAAUUCUAAUUGUUGUUGCUUUUCAUUCCAUUUUUUUUUUUCUGCCAUGCCAUAAGUAGUCAAGUAACAUCACCUCAGAGCCGGUAGACCCUUUUCUUCUUCGGUGAUGACAAGCUUGCCUUCUGUAAACUCACAAGCUGAAAUUGGAAUUCCAAGCUGCUUCUGCAGUUUCCUCACAACAAAUACUUCUGAUUCUUCACACAUUGUUACUACAGUGCCCUUCCUGCCAAGACGACCAGUCCGUCCAGCUCGAUGUGCAUAAUGAAUUGUGUCGGUGGGUAAGUCCAGAUUAACAACAAGAUCACAUUCUGCCACAUCCAAUCCCCUUGCUGAAAGUUCAUUUGUCACCAGAAUUCUCACCUCCCCCUUUUUGAAUUUUUUCAUAGUCGUUGCCCUACCAAGUUUACCAAGAUCCCCAUGGAGCUCUGAUGCCGUCAUUCCACGGGCCUCUAGCUUGAAGACGGUAUCUUUUAGCUGCCUAGUGUGAUUCAUGAAGGCUAUGACAGAUUUGGCAUUCAGAGCAUGAACACACCUUCUCAAUGCAUCAACCUUGUGUUGUAACUUUGUUACACAGUAGUAGUGUUUAAGAGAUGGAGGUAGGCUCUCUAUUGCAGAAUGACCCUGCAAAUUUGAGGUUGAGUUCGUACUGAUUGAAUUUCCUGGCAAUGUACCGGGUCCAGAGGGCGAGAUAGAAUCAAGGGGAAUGACAUUUUUGGCUUGGACAAGAAGUGGAUCGCGCCCCCAGCUACUGGCUGCCCUUAUCACUGAAAAUGGUACUGUUGCGGAAACCAAUAUAGUCUGACGCUCAGCUCGUUUGCCAAGUGAGCCUUUUGGUCCAUGUGAGUCUGCACUGGACUUCCUCCCUACGUGUUCCAAUAUCCGGUGCAUGUCCUCCCGAAAAUUAAAAGAAAGCAGUUGAUCAACCUCAUCUAAGACCAAGAAACGGCAGCCGUGGGUGUGAAGCUUCCCAGCGGCACUAAUCUCUGCAAUCCUGCCCGGUGUCCCAACAACAAUGGCAGGCUUAUUCUUCUUAAGUGCUUCUUCUUGUCUUGAUCGAUUUGCACCCCCUACAAGCUGCUGAACCGUUUUCUUGUUAGCAGGUCCUAAUAUCUUUUCGAACUCCCUCACAAUCUGCAUACCCAGCUCCCUGGAAGGAGCCACAAUUACCGCUUCUAUAUCUGUUCUCUUCCCAUUUUCACCACCACCAUCAGAUGGUCUCUCCUUUAGGGGGCCUACUUCAGAGAGGAUAGGAAGAAGAUAAGCUAGUGUUUUUCCCGAACCUGUGUAAGACUGAAUCACGACAUCAUGAUCUUUAAGAAUCGUUGGAAUUGCAGUGGACUGAACAUCAGUUGGAGUCCUGAAGCCUUGACUCUCUAACCUCUCAAUCAACAAAGGAGGGAGGCCGAGCUCAGAAAAAGAUUUCGCAUUAAAGAGACUCGAAUCUACUUCAAGAGAGCUUUGUGCCCCAGCUGCCUUGAUUACAGUGCUUCUAACCACCUUGGCCUUACUUUUGGGAACAUCUUUAAAAGAACUCAGCCGCGUAACUUCAUUGGUUUCCUUUUUAUCUACCAAUUCAAUAUCACUUUUGAAGCCAAGGCUUCCAAGAUUCAGACUACAUACACUUCUGCGGAACCAAGCAUUCCUAGAUACAUAUGAAAACUUAUGGAAGGACAGAGACUCUCCGAAAAUUAGCAACCUUGACGAGAUUAAUGCUGGCAUCUUUAGUAGGUUACGAGUCCCAAUCAAUAGGUACCAAUUACAUAACCAUAAAAUCGAACUUAAAAACUUUACACUGACCCUGCACAUUAACAUUCAACAAGAAUUACAUUAUAGGGGUUGAAACCAAAUGGGUAUCUCUACCUUGUACAAAUGCAAGAGCCCAAUACUUCAGAAACCAAAAUCCCAUAUUAUUCUGCUUCAUUCAGGUAAGUUGGUUGAGGCAUUUUAUCAAACACCAUGAGACAUAUGGGCAGCAAGCUAGCAUUUGUAUCUUUCUACUUUCGCCACAAUUUUCAACGGCAACAAUCACAUAAUUUUGUAAUCUAUAUAAGAAUCACUAGGUUUUCCAAUUGCUCUCAUAAAACCAACAGUGUAUGUCAGUAAAGGUUUAAGCUUGACGGGAGAAAUCAAAGGGAAAACGCAGAGCAGCAAAAAGGGACACUAAAAGAGAUAGAAAGAGAGUACCUGAGACUGUGAAUUGGGGAUAGAGCGGCUUCGAGUUUGUGAAGGAGAAGAAGAGAUUUGAGGUUUAACCGUGGAAUUUCUAGCUGAGAAACACCUUAAUUUGCCGCCUCUAUGGAUUAUAUCCGUCCUUCAUGUUUUUGCCAUUUAGUCCUCAUCUUUUACAAUUUCUCAUGAGAUACCCUCUUUGGUUUUCGAUAUGGGUUUUCGAUAUUUGAGUACUAGCUUUAGCAGCGAAUAAACCCAUGAGACAAACGUAAUUGUUGAUUUGUCAAUUAAUUAAGGUGUCAUAAGGUAUGGAUACUUAAUCAGUUUUGACUUGCUAUAGCAGGUUAAAGCAAACUAACAACGUUAACUCUCUGUUAAGUCUCUCUAUAUCUACAGUUUUCAUUAGAAAUAUCUACCAUUCAGAUGAGCAAAAUACACAAAAGUAUACUUUUUGGAAAUCAAAAUGAUUCUUGAGACUGUCUACAACUAUCAUAAAAAACAUCUACUACUGUCAUGAAAAAUAUCACAGAAAAUGUUGCAAAUCGAAUACACAUUUAACAUAAGACACAUCUACUGUUUUCAUUAGAAAAGUAGACUUUCUAGAAAUCAAAAUUAUUUUUGAGAUUGAAUCAACCCAAGGUAAAAUUUGCAACUCUACAUUUAACAUAAGACACAUCUAUUAUUUUCAUUACAAAUCUCUACCAUUAACAUAAGACACAUCUACUGUUUUCAUUAGAAAAGUAGACUUUCUAGAAAUCAAAAUUAUUUUUGAGAUUGAAUCAACCCAAGGUAAAAUUUGCAACUCUACAUUUAACAUAAGACACAUCUAUAUUUUCAUUACAAAUCUCUACCAUUAACAUAAGCGAAAUAAAAGAAAAGUAGACUUUCUAAAAUCAAAAUUGUGAUUGAGAUUGAACCAACCAAAGGUAAAAUUUCUAAGUCUACAUUUAACAUAAGACACAUCUACUAUUUUCAUUAGAAAUCUCUACCAUUAACAUAAGCGAAAUCAAAGAAAAGUAGACUUUCUGGAAAUCAAAAUUGUUCUUGAGAUUGAGUCAACCCCAGGUAAAAGAUGGAAAGUCUACAUUUAACAUAACACACAUAUACUAUUUUCAUUAGAAAUGUCUACCAUUAACAUUAGCGAAAUCAAAGAAAAAUAGACUUUCUAGAAAUCAAAAUUGUUCUUCAGAUUGAAUCAACCCAAGGUAAAUGUUGCAAAUGCUACAUUUAACAUAAGACACAUCUACGAUUUUCAUUAGAAAUGUCUACCAUUAACAUUAGCGAAAUCAAAGAAAAGUAAACUUUCUAGAAAUCAAAAUUGUUCUUGAGAUUGAAUCAACCCAAGGUAAAUGUUGCAAAGGCUACAUUUAACAUAAGACACAUGUACUAUUUUCGUUAGAAAUGUCUAUCAUUAACAUAAGCGAAAUCAAAGAAAAGUAAACUUUCUGGAAAUCAAAAUUGUUCUUAAGAUUGAAUCAAUAAUGGAAGGUGAAAGUUGCAAAGUCUACAUUUAACAUAAGACACAACUACUAUUUUCAUGAGAAAUAUCUACCAUUUAGAUGAGAAAAAUCACAUAAAUGUAGACUUUCUGGAAAUAAAAAUGAUUCUUAAGAUUGAACCAACCGAAUGUAAAAUUUGUAAGUCUUCAUUUAACAUAAGACACAAUUACUAUUUUCAUGAGAAAUGUCUACGAUUUGAAUGAGCAAAAUCACAAAAAAGUAGACUUUCUGGAAAUCAAAAUUGUUCUUAAGAUUGAAUCAAUAAUUGAAGGUGAAAGUUGCAAAGUUUACAUUUAACAUAAAACACAACUAUUAUUUUCAUGAGAAAUGUCUACCAUUUAGAUGAGCAAAAUCACAAAAAAGUAGACUUUCUGGUAAUCAAAAUUGUUCUUGAGAUUGAAUCAAUAAAAGCAAAAGUUGUAAAGUCUACAUUUAACAUAAGACACAACUACUAUUUUCAUGAGAAAUGUCUACCAUUUAGAUGAGCAAAAUCACAAAAAUGUAGACAUUCUGGAAAUCAAAAUUGUUCUUGAGAUUGAAUCAAUGAAAAUUCACAAAAUGAAAAUUGACCAUCUGAUGUGAUCAUUAUAGUGAAACAUGGCUAUGGUAUACAAUUCAACUGGAUUCAACAAUGUUCGGGGCUCGAUCAAAGCGGUCAACCCUAAUUCAUCUUCAUUUAUCACACGAAAACUAUCUCACAUGCCUGUUUGUGACCUAGUUUGGUCGAUUCUUCAACACAAUAAAGUCUCACAUAGAUGAGACAUAACCACCCAUGUAAAACUUUGGGGGCGUUUACCACCUGAUGAUAGGGCUCUCCUUAUUGAAGCAUAAGCGUAAGUAGGGUUGACCGCUUCGAUCGGGGCUCAGACAUUGGCGAAUUAAAGUGAUUUUUCUACCGUAGCCGUAUUUUACUAUACCGAUCACAUCCUAUUUCACGAGAUUUUUGAAAAUUUUGCUUCCUCUAUAUAAUUGGUUCACAAAGUUGUACACUAGCAUAUAACCUACCAAACAAGUUAUACCACAUUAGUAGGCACGUUAUGAUUCUAAUGACUAAAAUUCACAAAAUAAAAAUGACCAUCUAAUGUGAUCAUCAUAGUGAAACAUGGCUAUGGUAUAAAAUUCAACUAGAUUCAAUAAUGUUUGGGGCUCGAUCAAAACGGUCAACCCUAAUUCAUCUUCACUUAUCAUAUGAAAACUAUUUUACCUACCUCUUCGUGACCUAGUUUGGUGGAUUCUUCAACACAAUAAAGUAUCACAUAGAUGAGACAUAACCACCCAUGUAAAACUUUGGGGACGUUUACCACCCGAGGAUAGGGCUCUCCUUAGUGAAGCAUAAGCGUAAAUAAGGUUGACCGCUUCGAUCGGGGUCCAAACAUUGGCAAAUUAAAGUGAGUUUCCCACCGUAGCCGUAUUUUACUAUACCAAUCACAUCAUAUUUCACGAGAUUUUUGAAAAUUUUGCUUCCUCUAUAUAGUUGGUUCACAAAGUUGUACACUAGCAUAUAACCUACCAAACAAGUUAUACCACUUUAGUAGGCACGUUAUGAUUCCGAUGACUAAAAUUCACAAAAUGAAAUAAAAUUGAUCGUCUGAUGUGAUCAUUAUAGUGAAACAUAGCUAUGGUAUAAAAUUCAACUGGAUUCAACAAUGUUCGGGGCUCGAUCAAAGCGGUCAACCCUAAUUCAUUUUCACUUAUCACACGAAAUCUAUCUUACCUACCUCUUUGUGACUUAAUUUGGUUGAUUCUUUAACACAAUAAAGUGUCACAUAGAUGAGACAUAACCACCCAUGUAAAACUUUGGGGACGUUUACCACCUGAGGAUAUGCCUCUCCUUAGUGAAGCAUAAACAUAAAUAGGGUUGACGGCUUUGAUCGGGGUCUAAACAUUGACGAAUUAAAGUGAUUUUUCUACCGUAGCCGUAUUUUACUAUACCGAUCACAUCCUAUUUCACGAAAUUUUUGAAAAUUUUGCUUCCUCUAUAUAGUUGGUUCACAAAAUUGUAUACUAGCAUAUAACCUACCAAACAAGUUAUACUACAUUAGUAGGUAUGUUGUGAUUCCGAUGACUAAAAUUUAGAUGCAGUUGUGAAGUGGGUCUCGCCAGUGGUCCGUGACUUUUUUCGGAGAAUUUUUCCGACACUGGAGCUAUUUUCUAUGCAUUUUUAAAGUUUUGAAAUGGUGAAAAAAAAAGUAAAACUUUAAUGACAUGUACAGAUUAUUGACUUUGGACGAAUGAGGUCGCGACAUGUGGCAAUUAGUGUUGAAUUUUCAGAAAAGGAAUUCCCUCGAAAUGGAAACUUACCAUUCCUUUUAUAGUUGAUUUCCAUAAAUAGUAACUUUCAGAAAGUCUACUUUUGCAUGUCAGUUAGCUCAUGUUAUUAGUAGACCUAACUCAUGUUAAGAGUAGACUUUGCAUCUUAGAGUACUUGAUCCAACUUUGAAGAACAAUCUCAAGAACGAAUUUCCAGAAAGUCUACUUUUAUAUGAUUUUGCUCAUCCAAAUGAUAGACAUUUCUCAUGAAAAUAGUAGUUGUGUCUUAUGUUAAAUAUAGACUUUGCAACUUUCAUCUUCCAUUAUUGAUUCAAUCUCAAGAACAAUUUUGAUUUUUAGAAAGUCUACUUUUUUAUGAUUUUGUUUAUCUAAAUGGUAGACAUUUCUCUUGAAAAGAGUAGUUGUGUCUUAUGUUAAAUGUAGACUUUCCAACUUUCACCUUCAAUAAUUGAUUCAAUCUUAAGAACCAUUUUUAUUUCCUGAAAGUCUACAUUUAUGUGAUUUUUCUCAUCUAAAUGGUAAAUAUUUCUCAUGAAAAUGGUAGUUGUGUCUUAUGUUAAAUGUAGAUUUUGCAACUUUCACAUUCCAUUAUUGAUUCAAUCUCAAGAACAAUUUUUGAUUUCCAGAAAGUCUACUUUUCUGUGAUUUCGCUUAUGUUAAUAGUAGACAUUUCUAACGAAAAUAGUAGAUGUGUCUUAUGUUAAAUGUAGACUUGCAAAUUUUGCAUUUGGUUGGUUCAAUCUUAAGAACCAUUUUUAUUUCAAAAAAGUCUACAUUUAUGUGAUUUUGCUUAUCUAAAUGGUAGACAUUUCUUAUGAAAAUAGUAGUUGUGUCUUAUGUUAAAUGUACACUUUGCAACUUUCACCUUCAUUCAUUGAUUCAAUCUCAAAAACAAUUUUGAUUUCCAGAAAGUCUACUUUUUGGGAUUUUGCUCAUCUAAAAGGUAGACAUUUCUCAUAAAAUAGUAAUUGUGUCUUAUGUUAAAUGUAGACUUGCAAAUUUUACAUUUGGUUGGUUCAAUCUUAAGAACCAUUUUUAUUUCUUGAAAGUCUACAUUUAUGUGAUUUUUCUCAUCUAAAUGGUAGUUAUUUCUCAUGAAAAUAGUUGUUGUGUCUUAAGUUAAAUGUAGACUUUGCAACUUUCACCUUCCAUGACUGAUUCAAUCUCAAGAACAAUUUUAAUUUUCAAAAUCUCUACUUUUUUGUGAUUUUGCUUAUCUAAAUGGUAGACAUUUCUUUUGAAAAGAGUAGUUGUGUCUUAUGUUAAAUGUAGACUUUGCAACUUUCACUUUCAAUAAUUGAUUCAAUCUUAAAAACCAUUUUUAUUUCCAGAAAAUCUACAUUUAUGUGAUUUUUCUCAUCUAAAUGGUAGAUAUUUCUCAUGAAAAUAGUAGUUGUGUCUUAUGUUAAAUGUAGACUUUGCAACUUUCAUCUUCCAUUAUUGAUUCAAUCUCAAGAAACAAUUUUGAUUUNNNNNNNNNNNNNNNNNNNNNNNNNNNNNNNNNNNNNNNNNNNNNNNNNNNNNNNNNNNNNNNNNNNNNNNNNNNNNNNNNNNNNNNNNNNNNNNNNNNNNNNNNNNNNNNNNNNNNNNNNNNNNNNNNNNNNNNNNNNNNNNNNNNNNNNNNNNNNNNNNNNNNNNNNNNNNNNNNNNNNNNNNNNNNNNNNNNNNNNNNNNNNNNNNNNNNNNNNNNNNNNNNNNNNNNNNNNNNNNNNNNNNNNNNNNNNNNNNNNNNNNNNNNNNNNNNNNNNNNNNNNNNNNNNNNNNNNNGAAAUUAACCCCGUGAGUGAGAGAGUGAGAGUUAGUUUGAGAUUUAAAUUGGAUGACCAGUUAAGCAGGUAGCCGGUCAUCAUUAAUCUAGUUGGACCAAUCAUAAACAACCAUGUGGUUAAGGUAUCUAUACCUUAAGGUACACAAGUAUUUGCCAUUAAAUUAAUGGGAAAUUCAGAUAUGCAAUGUUGUAUAGAAUGCAGCAGAACUGUGAACCGCCCAAUCGUGUUGAAUUUUGAAUUGUUGAACUAUCGGACGAUUCACGGCUUGAUGUUUGCACCUAAAUUGGAAGGGACGAGCAUAAAACCUGUAGUUGAAAAAAAAAAUCUAGUGAACUGAUUUGAACUGACAUAGCCGGGCUCAAAACAUGUUCUCGUAGAUAAUGUAUGGUUGAGACCGGUCCCACUAUAUGUCGGAUCAGCCCGGGCCGGAUCCUUGACUUCUAAAAUCUUUUCUGGCAAGAAAACCCGAAAAUAGAUGUGUUCAUGCAUUAAGCCCAUUGUAUACUAGUUUUUCUCUUUUUCAAGCCUAGUAGUCCACACAAUAUCAAACCCAAAUACACUAUAAUCAAACCCAAAUACGAAAAUACCCUAAUCUUCUUCACAACCACUUGAGCAGCUUCGUCUUCUAGCACAGAAAUCCAUCACCGCCGACUUCACCUUGAUCACAUUCUUGAUCUUCGUGAGCGUGUCGUGCAUAGCAGCCAUGUGACAACCCGAAAUUUUAUUAUGUAUGUACCUAUUUACAAAUUUGCUUAUAUAUUACAUAUAUCUAUAUAUAGGUAUGAUUGUAUAAACGUGUGUGUGUACAAUCCUUCUUAGGUAAGGAUGUCUUUAUUUAUUCUUACGGUAUGGAUUUCCCUUUUAUACUCCUUUUUCAAUCGAAUUUUCACAUCUCCACCGUCUAGUCUUUAGAUACUAAUGUAUAGAUCAUCUCUGCAAAAUUUCAGCCAAUUUGGUUAUCUAUAGGACACUCAAAUUUAAUUAAACCAAUGGAUGAACAUAAUCUGUCAAACUUAAACCGUUCAUGUUUAUAACAGAAAAACGUAAUUUUGAGUGUCUUAAUGAUAACCAAAUUGGCUGAAAUUUUGUAGAGAUGAUCUAUACAUUAGUAUCUAAAGACUAGAAGGUGGAGAUGUGAAAAUUCGAUUGAAAAGUGAGUCUAAAGUGGAAAUUCGCACCGUAAGAAUAAAUAAGGACAUCUUUAGCCAAGAAAGCCUAUAUAUAUAGUGUUAUAUAUGUUGAAAAUUAAUAUAGUUAUAUAAUUUCUUUUAUUUUUAUCUUUAUUGGAUUUAAUGAGUAGGGUUUUUAUCCAAGCCAAAUACCCAAAUACAAAACCCAAGCCCAAACUUGAUAUAGCUAGGAAAAAAAAACACUGUUGUCGUGAGAUUGCAGAACGACUGCUUUCUUCUUCAGCGACUUCUCCUUUCACCGCCUUCUCUUCCUUGACCAACUUCUUCUUCUUUUCCUUGUUCUCUAAGUCUGAAACUCUGCUCAACCGCCUUGAAACCCAGAAAUCGACCUAGAAAUGCUUAAACAAGAGUAGCCGACCUCUUUAAACAGGACGUGUCAAUUGUCUGGAGAUCAGCUGCCGACUCUUUGAAGCUAUACAGUAGGAGCUAGAACCUUAGGGGUCUAGUCUAGCACCUAAACGGGUAAGAUUUCAGUUGCAUAAUUCAAUUUUGUUUCCUUUAUUCUUGUCUUGGACGCCAAGUUCUACUAUUUUUCCAGACACUAUAAAUAUGACUCUGUAGAUUUUUUGGGUUUUCAGAAGUCUUUUCCUACUUGGAGAGAGAGAUUGGUGUUGUAGGAAACUAGUAGAGAACUCAGGAGCUUGUUUCAGGUGAUUAUUGGCAAAGGUAGGGGAAAAAUUGGGGAACCUCUAUGUUUGCUCGAUCUAAUUGUUGUUUCAUUGGUUACAUGUUGUGUGAAAUUCUUGUUUCCUUGUUGUCAUUAAUAUAUGUAGGAUUUGUUUUGUUGUAUAUGUUAUCAUAUAAGGAAAUGAUGGUACUAUGUAUAAAAUACUUUGGGUAAAGAAGUUAGUGAUGAAACUUUUGUGUAGUUGAGUCAUUGUCCUCGGAGGUACCAUAUCCCACGAUGCCCGUGUGAAUGCGCGAUAAUGCGCGGGAAUGCGUGAGAAUACAUGAUCAGUAUAGGUGAAAAGGACGGGAUUGGCAAAAGAGGAAUGGACAAGAUGACUAGUAAAAGGGGAAUGUGAGAUUAAGUGGGAGGUAGUUCAUAUAAAUGAGUAAUCUAAGUCACCCUUGUGGUAAAAUACAUGGUAUGGGACAUGUAGACUUAGUUUAUUCGGCUAUAUGAACUAUAUGGAGUUGAUAAUAGAUGCAUUCAUCCAUUUUACUAAAGUUGUUUAUAUUCUAUCUUGUUUGAAGAGGUUUUUACCUCCUACUGAGCUGUUUGUUUUCAACCCUUUAAAUAUUUUGCAGGUAAGGAAUAAGUAGUUUGAAGUUGGUUUCUUGCAAGGAUCCUUAUUUACAUGUGAAAUAUGUGUGUUGUUACUUUCCUUAGAAUAAGACAGACUUUUUUUAGUCUACCUUUGUAAUGUUACUUUAUGGAGUACCUAAAAAUAAAGAGUGAUUUUUUAGUUGAGUAUCAAUGUGUUCUUUUCCAAUUUAUUUCAUAUUCUAAUUAUGAAAAAUCUAUUUCAUAGUUGGAAUAUGAGUUACACCUCCAAAAAAAAAAAAAAUCUAAAAAUUGAGGUGUAAAAAGCCAUCUCGUCGGGCUUGUCGUUCCCAUAGAUGGCGUCCUCGUCGGUAGGGCUCGGGAGAGCUGACAAGAACUUUGAGCCUCUAAAGCUCGUCGUGGAGUUCCAUUUCAGAGUCAGCGAAGCGGUCCAGCUAGUCUAGGUACUUGGGUUGUUUCAGAUUUGCAGGUACGAUGUUUAGGUUUGGUUGAUGAGCACUCGUUCGAUAAAAUUGCUUUCGAGAAGUUGAUUUCGAAUGGCAUAUUGCAUAUUGAAAGAAACAGAAUGUUACAAAGCCCGGAAGCUGGCUUGUUAAGGCACGGUCUGGGUUUUGACCGGUCCUUAUUUAUGGCAUGUUAAAGCCCCGAACUUAUUUCGCCAGUCCCGAUCUUGGUCCCUAUCAAAUUAUGGCUGGUCUGAGAUUGUUCCCAGCCCUAUAAUUAGUAUUGUUAAUUUACUAUUCAUCUAAAAUUGAAAAGUGCCUUUCAUUUGCCAAUGCAUCAAUUAUAGACAAUUUCCUUAAUCUUCUAUUCACAUUUCAAACUUGAAUAAUUCAUUAAUUCAAUUGUUAACUUAUUAUAAUUUGACUAAUGCAUAAUGGAGGAUCUUUGCAACCACAACAAUUUUCGAAGGCAAAAAGAAAAAGGCCACUGGAAAAAUUGGAUUGCUUCCCGAACAAAAAAUGAUAGGUGCCUUGAGAAUGUCUGUGUAUGGUGCUGCUGCUGAUUAAUGUAAUGAAAUCACUAGAUUGGGAACUUCUACUGUGUUGAAAUGUCUGAAGAAAUUUUGUAGACAAAUCGAGUUUUUCUAUGGUGAGUGGUUCCUUCGUGCUCCUAAUAAUCCUGCUGACUUAUGUAGGCUUCUUAACAGUGGACAUAAUCGCAGGUUUCUAAGCAUGAUUGGAAGCAUCAAUUGCUUAGGAGAGGAAGAAUUGCCCAUGCCAACUGGCUGGGUUUAGAGUAACUCGAUUAGAAAUUUUGCCCAAGCCCAUUAUAGGCCUGGCACAACCCAAGAACGUUUGUCUAAUGGGUCGGGUUGGGUUUAAAAAUAUUGGCCCAAACGCCCGGCCUGACCCGACUCCGUUAUAAGCCCAACACGACCCAAGCACGAUAAACUACGGCUCGCAACCCAGCCCGUUUAUAAUUUUUAGUUUUACACUAUAAAAUACAAAAAUAAUCCAGAGAUUAUGUAUAAUUUUCAACGUCACUUUCCUUGGAAAACUUCAAUCGUCUAUCAAUAAGCUUCAAUGUCGGACCUUUCAGCUUAUCAAUGGAGGCAGAUGCCAACGGCUUCUUCUUCCCAUAUAUAGAUGUACAUAUCUCUAGGCUUUAGCCCUCAAAUUCCCUCAAUCUUUCCAUUCCACCUGCUGUUCUUGAUCAAUUGUUAUUUAAUCCCUAAAUUUAAUCUUUUUUUACUGCUGGCUGACACAUCUGGGUAUCUGAUCGUAUCAAGCUUAAAGAUGAAGUUAUUUGUUUGAUGAAUUUCACUCAGAUCACUGUGCUAUAUGUUUUAGAUGAUUGAAUUUCAUAUGGAUUUUAUUUUCCUUUGAUCAAUUUCACUCUAAUUUCCUCAUAUCAAUUUCACUCGAAGAUGGAUACACUGAAUCAUUGUUUUGAUUAAUCAAAUUACAAUUGGAUGUAUACCAAUUCAGUUCAGUACUGAAUCUUUUGAUGAGGUAAAAUAGACAAUUGGAGGGAAGUUGGGUACUAAGUUAGUUGUGUGUAAUUAGUGAACCCAAAAGUAUUAAAGCAAUACUCGGAGAUCAAUUGAGAAUCAAACUUGGUGCUGCAAUAUAUGUAUAUGUUAGAGCUCCUCAAAUAAUAUAUUGAGACAAUCCCAUAUUGCUUAAUAUAGGUAAUCUGGUCAUUUGUAUAUAGAUAUGUAUAUCGAACUUGUUUGUAUACCUUAUACUAUAAAAGUGUAUUUUGAUUGAUCAAUAAAGUGUAUGUACUGAUGUUUCUUCUAUGUUUGAUGCAAUCUAUGUAAGUGAAAUAUAAAUAAAGCUUCAGUUGGAGGUACGGUAUUAUAUAUGUCUUAAGAGCCAAUUCUUCACUGAAACACAAGAGGUAUGUUAUUAUAUAUGUUUUCUUAUCUGUGUUGUUUUUGAUUGAGUCUUUUUGCUUGUGUUGGUGUUUUGUUUUACUUAGAUAUGGACGAUGAGGAUGAUUUGAAUUUAGGUGAGUACUAUGAUAAUAGAGAUUUAUUUCCAUAACCAGACCCUGAGAAUAUGCCAUGUGAGUCUUUGAGUUCAGGCGAAUCACAACCCUUAUCUUCAAAUGAUAAUAGCCAACCUAUUGAGGUUGGCAUUGAACCUAAUGAGCCUGACAAAGAAGAAGUGAUCAGAAAAAGAAAACGAAUGUCUAGUGUGUGGGAUCAUUUCAAACUUGAGAAAAUUGAUGUCAGUGGAGGUAAUAUACAGAUGAAAGGGCAGUAUGUAAAUUUUGUAAGUCCUCGUUAAACUGUAAGAGCAGUAACGGUACAGGACAUCUUAAGAGGCAUGCUAAAAAAUGUCUCAAAAAAUAUCGCUCUACAUCUGAUCCUACUCAAUCUCAAUUGAGUAGAAAAGAUGAUGGAAGUGUGGGCGCAUUUAAGUACUCCCAUGCUAGAAUGAGGGAGGGUUUGGCUAAGCUUUUAGCUGCUGAGGAAUUACCUUUCUCAUUUGCUGAGAGUCCAAACUUUGAAAGAUUUCAAAGAGAGUAUUGCCAACCGGAGUUUAAAAAAGUGCCUCGUAACACUAACAAGAAUGACUUGUUGAAAGUUUACAAAGAGGAAAAGAAAAGGUUGAUGCAUGUUUUCUCAAAUUUAAAGAGCUCAAUUGCCAUUACUUUUGAUUUUUAGGGUGGUAGAAAUAACUUGCCUAUUAUUUGUGUUAGUGCUCACUACAUUGAUGAUAAUUGGUUGUUGCAUAAAAGAAUUAUUGGUUUUCGUCUUCUAGAAUAUCCACAUAUUAGUAGUACAAUAUUUAAUGGCAUGAUGGAUGUGUUUAAGGAAUACAAUAUUGUUGACAAAAUAUUUUCAAUCACUUUUGACAAUGCAACCAAUAAAUAUUUUCAUGGAGGAGUAUUUUUUCAUAUGAGAUGUGCAUGUCAUAUCAUUAAUCUGAUGGUGCAAGAUGGACUGAAAAUUAUUUGAACCCAUAUUAGUUGUGUUAGGGAUGCUAUUGGAUAUGUAUGUUUUUCAGAUAGUAGAGUUCAAGAGUUCAAUAAGCUAUGCAAAAGUCAAGGCCUGAAACCCAGAAAAUUUAAAAGAGACAUGCCUAUCCGUUGGAACUCAACUUCUCACAUGUUGAACAGUUGCAAAGGUUACACCAAUGCAAUGAUUGUUUACUGUAAUGACACUGAGGAUAUGUGGAACCUUUGUUUCGAAUUUUUGGAAUUUUUGAAAGUCUUUUAUGAUGCCACAUGCAUUUGCUCAGUUAUUUACUAUCCAACAUCUCCUAUUGCACUGAAUGAUUUGUAUGCAAUUAGUGUUACUUUCCAUAAGUACAAGUAUGAAAUUGGUACUUUUGCAGAGAUUUGUGAAACGAUGGUAGCCAAAUACAAAAAGUAUUGGGAGGUGGUUCCUUAUACCUUUUGCAUGUUUUGGGGCUAUUAUGGAUCCAAGGAUCAACCUUAAUGGUUUGGAAUUGAUAUUGAGUGAGAUCAGGAAGAAUUUGGAAAUUACUAUCCCAAUGACAUUAACUAGCAUACAAAAGAAUUUCAAUGAUACUUAUAAGUUAUACGCAAAGAAAUAUGCAGAUGCUAGUGUUCAAAGUAGCCAAACUUCUCACCGUCCUUCUCCAUCAGAAUCUAAUGCAUCUAAUAGUCAAGCUAUUUUUGGUUUGCUUGCUAGCAAAACCAAACAAAGGGGUAUUGUCAGUUCUUGCAAUGAAUUUUUUAAAUAUUUAGAUGCUGAUUUUACUGAGUUCAUGACUGAGGAAGAAAAAGUAAAGUUGGACAUUUUGAGAUGGUGGAAAGCAUAUAGCAGGAAUUUUCAUGUGCUUUCCAUCAUGGCGCGUGAUGUACUAACAAUUCCAGUAUCCACAAUAGCAUUGGAGUCUGCUUUUAGUGCAGGUGGUCGUGUAGUGGAUGAAAAGAGGUCAAGGUUAACUCCUAGAUACUUGGAGGCUCUUAUGUUGGUUAAAGAUUGGAAUGAUGCAGAUCGUAGGGCUCAAACAUUUGUGGAUGAGGAAUUGGCAUGUGAUGAAGAAGAAAACAAAGGCGCACUUACCAUUCAUAUUGAUUAACAAAGCCAGUAAGUAAGACAAAUACUAGAUUUUGCAAUUUCUAUUUGAAGUCAUCCUUUCAAAUUUCACAUAUUUGUCUAACUUGUUAUUAUUUUUUUCUUUUCAUUAGAGCAACCAAACUGAGAUGGCAGAGGACAAUGAGGGUGGUACUUAUGUUACAACAUCAGUGUGUAAAAACAGUAGAUAUGGAUAUCUUUAUUGAUGGAAAGGUUUGACGAAUGCAAAUGAAUAUAGUUGAGCGGGUGCCAACAUAGUUGGGAUGUGCUCAAACUAUAGUGAGGCAGUCUCACCUUUUCAGACUUGAGAAUGUUUUUGUACUUUAUCAUGGGGCACCGGUUCUUUGUCCUCCUCGUUGUACUCUUCUAAAAAUAUGCACAGACGUGGGGAUGAGCCUCCCAGAUAGUUGGGUUCCAAACCCCUUUUUAAAGAGUGUGAUUUUGGUAUUAAGUAUUAUGGAGAUAGGCAGAGCACAUGGAGUUUGGAUUUUUUUUUUUUUUUUUUUUUUUCUUAAUUGGAAUGCUCUAUCUUAAAUUUACACUGAACAGGAUGUUAUGCAGUUAUUGGCUCGGCCCGAGCACGGCCCGGUAUGUUGUGGGCUUGGGCCAUGGGCUGGACCGGCUCGUUUGCCACCUUUAGCUGGGUUGGAGCUAUCUCGGAUCGAUCAGAAGGAAAGACCAACUAUAAUUCUGAAAGCUGUGGUGUCUUACAACACACAUAUAUAUAGCACGUUUAUUUUGGAGCUCAAAAUGACCUCAACGUUCUUGGUACUUAUAACGUGUUGGAGCGUGUCAUAGGUGGAACUGCUCUUUUGGUUGAGUUUGAGAUCAAAAACAAAAUGAACACCAAUGGUUAAUGUCUUGCGGAUGGAAUAUACGAGGUGGUCUACUUUUGUGAAAACAAUAUCGAACCCCUAAACAGAAGAAGCGAAACACUUUUGAACAAAAAAAAAAAAAAAAAACUGAAGGCUUAACUAAAAAGAUGUGGAGCGGUGUUUUGGUAUCCUUCAAUCUCGAUGAGAUAUAUUGAUUCUCGAUGCAAGGUUGUUUAAACUAUAAAAUCUUCGAGCCAUCAUUAUAAGUUGUAUCAUUCUUCAUUACAUGAUUGUGCAGGAUGAAUUUGUCGAGGAAGAAUUUAUAAAGCUUGUAGAAGAUGAUCUAAUGAAUCCGUCCAUGGCAACUGUCUACAAUUGACCUAUGCAUCCCGAUACUAGAGAACCUAUUCAAUUCAAACCGAUAGGAAAAAAUGGACAAAGUCUUCAUGCAUUCAUGGAUCGAGAAUUUCAAGUAGAGUCUGUCUACCUCCACAAGCGUCUCAACUGUUGGGAUGAAGCUCAUGAACUUCUUUCUCAUAGUAAAACUGACCAUUCAAAAACUAUACUACUCAAGAAGCUUUGAAAGUUAAUGAUUCCACCUAAAGUUAAGGUGUUUGCUUGGCAACUCAUUCAAGGGAGGAUUAAAACAUGAGAAAUAAUUUAUAUGAACCAGCACACUGAUAGAUCUUGCCCUUUUUUUCAUAAUGUUGUUGAAACUAAUAAUCACUUAUUUUUUUAUGGUGACUGUUUUCGGGAAAGCUUUUUCCCGGUGUAGGGAAGGGAUUGCGUGUCUCUAAGAAAUGAAUAUCUCCCGUUCUUCUCUCCUCACCUGUCCAAACAGAUAAAGUCAGAGGGCGACCCCAUAUGUGUCGGGACAUCCACUCUGAUGCUUAAGUCAGAAACGUUGACUAAGCAAAAAGGGGAAGUAAAGUGAGAAUUUGGACUUACCUAUUUUGGAAGUUUGUGCUUGCUUUUAUAUGCUUGUGGGAAGAGGGUCUUUCCCUAUAUAUUCGAUGUGGGAGUUCCUUACUCCUUUAUUUACUUUCCUUAUUCUUCUUUGCUUUCUUUUUAUUUUUCAUGGAGAUCGUAACAUUAUUUCCUCAAUAAGUAAGCCCGGAGUGACCCGGUAUGAAGUCCAUUUUUGUGCUUCCUAGUCAAUAGUGACUUUACUAAAACUAUUUUAUUUUUAUCUGGUUUCCAGUUAGUUAAUAGUUUCAAUCUCUUGCGACGGCUUGAUGCUGAGGUAGUUUCCAAAACUUUGAUGAUUUGUUAUUAUAUUUGGAAGGCUAGGAAUAAUUUGAUUUUGAAAUACAGCCUAAAAUGCUACUCUGGUUUUUUCUAUGGCCGAUGCUAUGUUUCAUAAAUAUGUUACUGAUUCCCCUGUUAUUCAUACCAAAUUAAAUUAGUUCAUACAAAUCCUACUGUAAUUAAAUGGAAGCCCCCACCUGAGGGUUUUGUUAAAUUAAAUUUUGAAGGAUCAGUAGUAGCCAAUUCUCAAGCUGCUCAGGUUUUGUCAUCCAAGAUAGCGAUGGAAAUCCUAUUAGGGCUUCUACCAAGAAAAUUGGUCAUUCAAAUGUUUUUCUCGUUGAAGCUUUUGCUUUGAGAGAAGGUUUAAUGGCGGCAAGCAUACAUAGAUUCAAAAACUUGAAAGUGGAGGGUGAUUCCAAGAUUCUAAUCAAUUCCAUCAUCAAUAAUGUUUGUUCUAUUCCUUGGCGCAUUAGGACGAUUAUCCAUGAUAUCAGAUACCUUGUUACUCAUUUCAUUUCAAUCCAAUUUCAACAAACUUCUUAGUUGAAUGUUGUUAUCGAUCUAGAACAUUCUACUGCCAUUGCAUGCUGGAACCAUACCCUUUAGGGAACGAAAGCCAAGGGGUUGAGAAAACAAGACUAGAAGAAAGAUUGAGUUAUUGGCUAUGUGAAAGAAAGCGAAUGACUCGAACAUUGUUUCAAUCGCUACGGCCAAGUUGUUCAAUAACCCUAUCCUUUCAGUCGAGUUGCUUCACUCCUCUCCUGAGUGGUUGAGUUACCAUGUUCCACUCCCGAAGGUCGGGCUAUUUCGUUCCUCUCCUUUUAGUCAAGUGGAUUAACAUCCCCUUAAGAUAUUUCUACCUCUUUCAGUUUCUUCUGCUCGUAAUAUUGAUUUCAUAGUUUGGGUUGUGUUGGAAGAUUUUCCUUGAACUUUUCUUUCUUGUAUCGCAAACAAAAUCUUGCAUAAUAAACAAAUUAGAGAAUGAUGUUGACAACAAUGAGCAUCUAGAAGCUUCAAGAGAAUCAACCUUAGGCUUGCAUCAACAAAUAUAUGAAUAAAGUUCAUUAUCUACUUGUAUAUUUUUCAAGAUAACUCUGCACCCAAUUAGAUAUAUAAAUGAGAGGGGUUCUAACGAGGGUCACUAAGUUGAAGACUAGUUAAGGACUUAUUGGUUUCACUCCAUUUUCGAUCGUAUAUUCACAUCUCGAUCGUCUAACUUGUAGAUAUAUAUGAGUAGAUCAUCUUUACAAAUUUUCAUCCAAAUUGAAAAUCGUUAUGACAUUUGAUUCAUAAAUGUGUUUUACCAAUUAUAAACUUGAAUAACUCCCAUUUGACAGAUUUUAAUCGUUUAUUGAUUUUAUUUAGUUCUAUUCCUUAACAAUCACCAAUUUGGUUGAUAAUUUGUAAAAAUGAUUUAUUUAUAUAGACCUAAAAACUGAACGAUUGAGAUAAAAAAAAUGAUCUAUUUAUUCGGAUCUCAUCUUGUUGUUGGAGCAGAGCUGCUGGAUAACUUGGAUUGGUGGCUAUUUGCUUACCUCGUUGCUACUAAUAGUGAGAUGAGUAGGCCAUGCCAAGGGUAAAGGUCAAAUGACAAAUGUAGAUAUCAGGUUACCCUACCUAAGUAAGAGAAAGAAGCAAUGAUGCUCUUUUUUAUUUUUAUUUUUUUUUCUAAUAAUAACGUACACCAACAGAUGUUUCAAGACAACUAGUUUAUUUUUCUUCGGAAAUUAGGUGAUAUUUCUUAUGCUUGAGGCUCUUCCUGAGCUUAUUUUCAACAGGGUAUGUACAGAUGAUGAUGUAUAUUUGAACAAACGAAAGUACGAAACCAAUGUAAACGAAUACAGGGAGUUUUUCUAGCGAUGACCCUUAAGUUGAGGACUAGUUAAGGACUUUUCGGUUUUUGGUUUAAAAGACCUUUUUUCCGAUCACAUCUUGUCAUCUCAUCUGUUCAGUUUUUAGGUCUAUAUGUAUAGAUCAACUCUACAAAUUUUCAGCCAAAUCGGUGAUCGUUAAGGUAACAAACUAGAUCAAAUUAAUGGACUAACCAAAUCUGUCAAACAUGAACUGUUCAAGUUUAUAAUCGGUAAAUCACAUUUAUGAAUGUCUUAACGAUUUUUAAUAUAGCUGAAAAUUUGUAGAAAUGAUCUACUCAUAAAUACCUAUAAACUGAACGGUCAAGAUGUGAAUAUAAGAUCGAAAAAUAGGAUAAGCCGAAAAAUCUUCAACUUAAGGGUCCUCGUUAGAGAGACUUCCCAUGAACACAUGCUUGUUUGAUGUAUCUUGAACCUAAAACGAAAAGAGAGAUUCAAAUUUAAAUUUGAACAAAGGAAACGAAUGUAAGCAUCACCCUAUUUUCAGUACAUACAUGGCCCUUAGCAACAAAAAUGAAAAUUAAUUUCCUUUCCAAAAUAAUUUUGCUUGAUGAGAUGCCAGUGAUAUUAUGCCUAAAAGUAGCUAAGCUCCUCCUGAAAAGACAAAGAAAAUACAGUAAGGGAUGGGCCACUUUACAUCAUCAUCAACAUCAUCAUCUAGAUUCUAGAACCCCUUGACUUUGAUAUUCAUUUCCAGAGGACUAACCAGAGAUCCCAUUUAAAACUUAGCUGCCAAGAAAAUGACAAAAGGGGUCCAUUCUAGCUAGCUGCAAGAAAAAGAAAGCAAAAAACAGAGUCGGUGUGAUAGUGAUGAUGAUGAUGACCUCCUUCUAGCACCCACCCACCUGGCUUUCUCUGCUUCAAUCACACUUCAACACCAACAACUUUAGACACCAAACACUUCCUUUCUCUCUUUCCCUUCUUCCAUUUGCAGUUCCAGCUUUUCCCUCUGAAACAAAUCAACAUGCUUGAUCCUCAAACAAACGACCACCCUAUUCUUUUUAACCCGGAAAACACGAGUUACGAUACUUGGCAACCUAUCAACUACUCUUCCCGCGCUCAGAAAACAGCUCAAAACUACAAGAGCUGGAAGAGCAUGGGAGCUCUCCGAUUAAAUGCCGCCGAGGAGGAGUCCCCCUCCGGCGUUUGCUCCCCUCCUCUGUGGAAGACCACCACCACCACCAACCCCCCGCAAAGCCCGACUCGGCUUGUGAACAACUACCGGAGUCUUUCGCCGGCUUCUCGGACACAGGCCAUUGCCAGAGGACAGAGGGAGCUGAUGGAGAUGGUGCGCAACAUGCCCGAAUCGUGUUACGAGCUUUCGCUCAAGGAUCUUGUGGAGAGGCCGAGAAUGUUAGAGGUGGAUGAAGAUAAUGCCAGCACUGAUGGUUUGGUGAAGAGGGAAGAUGGGAAGGUGAAGAAGAAGAAUGAGAGGAAGAAGCCAAUGGUGAUGAGGAGUGGGAGUAUGGAUAGUGGGGGGUUUCUGUUGAAGAUGGUGUUUCCGAUUUCGUUGGGGUCGUAUAAGAAGAAUAAUAAGAUGGUGAAUAAGAAUAAGAAGAACAAGAGUGACUGUGUGGAAGAGGAAAGUACUAGUGACAAGCAGGUACCUCCCAGGCCUUGUGUGGAUAAAGAUUGGUGGAAGAAGAGAGUUUCUGCGUCGGGAGGAUCGGGGAGAAGUGAAAGCUGUGCUUCGAGUAUUAUUAGUGGAAGCAUCAAAAGUAGUAGUGGUAGUAGCAGUAGCAGUUGUAGCAGCAGAAGCAGUAGCAGGUAUGAGAUUUUCUAUUGACGUUUCAACUUUUGAUGUAGUAAUUGUAUUCUGUCAAUUUAGAUGUUCAUCAUGUUCUGUUCUGCUUGGGAUUGCAAAUAGCAACAGUGUUUUCCAGUUGGUGUCAAAUUACUUCUUGUUUAUUGUUCAUAUAUCAUUGAUUUUCUGUUCAAUUCGUAUACACAUCUAAUUAAUCAAGUAACCGUUCCUGUAAUCUUCAUGUUCCGUUUUGCUUGGGGGGUUUCAAACCAAGGAUAAGAAACAGUACUGGUAUUCCCAAUUGGUUCGAAAGAAAAACACUUUCAGUUCAUUGUUCAUAGAUCAUCGAUUUUCUGUUCAAUUCUUAAACAGAAACAAAAUUGCAUCCUUAAGAUUUUGGAAAUUGCAAUUGAAGUUCUUAUGAAUUGCAUUUUCGAGGUCAUUUGGUCAAAGUCUCUGUUGAAGAAACAGAGAAAUGUAAAAGGAAAAAUUAAAGGAACGUGUACAAGUGGUCAAAAAGAUGCAUGUAGUUCAUGUCCUAGAGCUGCUGAUUCUUGGAAAAUGUCAUGAGAAUCAUGACUUAGACUGAAAGUUAAAUAGAUAGUCUUCUGCAAAAGCAUCUCAAGUUUAAUGGGGAACAGUCGCAGAAUUUGGCACCAUAGGGAAAUUGUGAGGAAGUGGCAAGACACAUUUAGUAUUAAGAACGUAUGGCCUGAUUUUUUCUUGUAUGGCUAUAAAGGAAAAUCCUAUCUUAUAUGACAAUGACCCUGCUCGUUAUCAAGUAGAGUUGCAUUUGAGUUGUUGCCGGAUUAAUAAUGUUACUACCUUUGUUUAAUACAAUACAGAAUGAUUCAUGUAAGAAAACUGAUGUGCUUUAUUUCUGUAUUUAGUUAGUAAACUGAUAUGCUCUAUGUCCUUAUUUAUUGAUCAGUUUUAAACAAUUAGUUUGUUGUUUCAACGUUGCAGGCGCAAGACUAGUGGCUGCUGGUCGUUCAUCGUGCUCAAGAAGAAGAGGCAGCAGGAUUGAACAAGUUUCCUUCUAGUAAGAGCUGGAGAAGAAUAUUAAUUAAAUGGCUAUAACAUUAUCUUCCAAGAAAAAAAAAAUGCUUAGGUAUAAUAUAUAAUUUAGAAUAUUGCAGCAGAUAUUUGCAGUGUCACUUGUGUAUAUUCUUGCAGUUUUUAGAAACACUCAGGAAACCUUUUUUCCUUUCUUUAUAGAAACAUAUAGUUUGAGCAGCUGUUCAAAAGGUUGACUUAUUCGGGAAUCACCAGAUCCAUGCCUAUUUUCAACUCCCCGAUUUUGUGUCUGCGUGCGCUAGGUAUCCACUUCAAGUCUUUUGCCCGUUUGAUUCAACAUUUGUUUUCCGAGAGCCCAAUGUUGUUCUCGCUUAGAUAGGUGCUUCAAUUGUCUGUAUGAAUUCGAAUAGUUUAUAACUGAGAAUAUAUAUUGACUUAAGUAAAAAUUUGUACAUUGAAACUAACAGCAACAUUUUGGUGAGACUUGACGAUUUUCAUGAAUUGGUAGUCCUUCUGUUGUUUUAACAAUUUUUUGGGUCUAGUUCAAUGAAAUUGCAAGUUGCAUCUAACCCUAUGUCAAAGUUGUAGGCUCUAUUUUCAUUAUAACACAAAGGAAAAUGUGGAAAAAGAUAUUUUCUGAGCUUGGAAGUUCUAGAAGAUUGUUGUUCUUAAGUAGCUUGAAAGAACAGAAUGUUUAUGUUUUUCAGGUAGUUAGGUUGUUCUUUUCCUUUCUGACGUGCCAGACAUAAUGUGUGGUAUUAUAUAAAUAAAUUAGUAACAGCAGAAUAUUAAUAAUUUCAUUAAUAACACACAACUUACAUACGUGGGUGUUCCAUUAUUAGAUUCUAGAAGUUGAAGUAGUCAUCAGAAAAUUAUGAUGAAUUUAUAUUCCCAGAACACAUGAACUAGAAGGCUAACAGCCAGAAAGGGUUUACUAAAAGUUGGCGUCUGCUAACUAUGUUAUUCAAUUAUCAGAAUCCUAGUGUUGCCAUUGUACUGGUUUUACAAUUUGUUUUAGAACACUGACCCCAGAAAUGCUGCCAUAGGGCCUCUUCUUAGCUUGAUGCAGUUAUUUAUUCAUUGCAGAAAUUGAAUUUAGUAGUAGAUCAUCGACGGCAUAUACAGAAAGCGGAGUAUUUACUCAUCAAAUACUUGUUCUUCAUUCUAACUACUUUCAUCCACGAUCGAUUGCGUAGCUGCUAAAACUAACCUGCCGCUCUCAAAGUACCUGUGCCGCAUUCUAACUUGUUUCACCUUUCUUGACACCCAGAGUAGUCUCUUGUGUCAUUUGGUUUACCAGUAUUAUCUGAAUAGGUGAUAAUUAUAAGUGCAUAGCAUCACUGUGAGUAUAUAUAUGUGACUGAGACAUUUGCUCUCUUAUGAUCCCGUAUGCCAAAUUACAAGAUGAUGCCAUCUGAUCAGAUGCAAAGAUGCAGUCCUCCUGAAUUAUGAUCUAGCUGUCGAAUCAAACUGUGCCACAAAUUUUAGAAGUAGCAUAUGAGACGGUAAGUAUAACGAGAAUGAGAGAAUGAAUGAAUUGUCUAAACAUGUUAUUCAUUGUUGGGAAAUUGACCCCCCACCAUGCAAGUGUUAGAAAUUAGAUGGAAAGAAGAAAUAAACAAGCCAAGAAAAACACAAGAUUUAACGAGGUUCGGCCAAUAUCCUUGCCUACGUCUUCGGAGAGUAUCACCUUCACUAAUGAGAGAAUUACACAAAUACAAGAUUACACCACUCAAGUUUAUAUCCAACCUAAGCCCUUGUAUCCAAAAGGACAACCUUUGUACACCCUCUCUCAACCUAGAAGAUUACUCUACGUACCCCAAGAGUUAUUUGCACUCCUAAACACAACUCACCCUAUCUUCUAUACACGAAGACCCUCAGAGUUGUUCUCUUCUCUCCUUACUUGCUUCAACACAAGCUUCACCUUUUUAUAGCCUUUAAUAGAAGUCUCUAAAGUUACUCUAUCAAUGCUCAUUCAUGACCAUGGUCAAACCUUCCAUCUUCCCUAUUAUCUCCAUGUAACUCCCUAGGAAGACUAAGAGUUAUAUCAUGAAUUUAAUCCCAUAUAUUUAUUCUCACUUAACUAUGCAUCAAUUCCAUGCAUAACUUAUCACCAUGAAUGCACAAACCAAUAACUCUAUGCAUUCAUGCCAUGCAUAAUAUCUCCACCAUGGAGGGAUAAACACCAAACCUAACAAUCUCCCCCUCCUGACAUUGGUGGAGAGCUCCACAUCACCACUUCAACCCUUGAAGUCAUCUUGAAUCGAGACACAACUUGUUAUACCCACAAGCAUUUCAUUGGCCUUGUAUUUGCGUCAGUUACACAUAAUCAAUCAGAGUUAAUUGCAUGUGGUCCAUACUCCCCUUGAUUCAAUCGGCCAAUAUCAUGUGUAACUGCACCGAGACAACGAUCACUUGUUGACUCUGAAGAGGGACCUUGUCUUCACCUCUUCCCUAGCAGGAUUUACCUUCUCACCAUCAUCUGAAACUUGGAAACUUGUGCCUGCCCUCUUUGCUAUGCCCGCAAAUAAGACCUGCCUCAGGUACCUGGAUUCUUGUGCACACUGUUUCCCAACAACCUUCGAGGUCUGAGUUUUUCCUAUCAGACGGAACAUACUUCCACACUUUUCUCCUUUCAUCAGGACCAUGAAACCACGUGAUACUUUCAUAACUCCCCCCGCUGAAGAAACCCUGAAGCCUUUGGAGUCUAAUUGGCUCAGUGAUUUUAAAUUUCUCCGGAACGUUGGGACAAACACCACAUCACCCAAAGAGCAAACUGCUCCAUCAAACAUUUUGACCUUCACCGUUCCAACACCCAUGACACGACGCCUUGUGCCAUCACCCCAAGUCACAAAUCCCUUGACUUCUUGGAACGUAUCAAAAUAUUCUCUUCUGAAGCAAAGAUGAUUAGAGGAACCAGUAUCCAAUAUCCAAUCACGUUGAGAACAAGUGUAUUUACCUUUGGAGACCAUUAAAAAUUCUCCAAAAUCAUCAGAAGUUUGUGCUAUACUAGUCAUGGAGCAAUCUGAGCCUUAUCAUCCUUCUCUUUUAACAACAAACAAUCUAGCCUUAUGUGCCCCCACUCCUUGCACUUGUAGCAUUGCUUGCCCUUUCCUCUGCCCCUGGAUAUUUAGACCUGUUAUGUUCACUAGACCCUUUGGCAGUUGACCUUCCCCUUUGAUUCUGACCAUGAGCAACAAAGACGGAACUCUGGUAAUCAUUGGCUUUCCUCCGCUUCUCGAGAGACAAGAGAGUCGAUUCCACCUCCUCUAUCUUCAAUGUGUCCUUACCAUACAAGAUUGUAGUGGUGAUAUUCUCAUACAAAUCGGGAAGUGAGGUAAGAAGUAGAAGGGCUUGAUCUUUUUCCUCAAUCUUUACAUCAACUUUUACUAGUUGAUCAAUCAAUCCGCUGAACACGUUCAUGUGCUCCAUGAGACUCACACCUUCUCCCAUCUUGAGCUUGUAGAGAUCUCGCUUUAGAUUCAACUUCGUCUGCAAGCCUUUCCCAAGAUAAAGCUUCUCCAAUUUUUCCCAAACCUCUGGUGCCGAAUCUACAUCAUUAACAUUAUUGAUAAUAUUGUCAGCAAUGUAAAGCCUAAUAGUGCUAACACAUUUGGCCUCCAACUACUCCCAAUCUUCAUAUGAUAUCUUCUUCGACUUUGCAUCCUUUCCCUUCAACGGUUUUGCAAGACCUUGUUGAACUGGGAUGUCCUUCACCCUCCUUUGUCAGAGAGUGAAAUUUAUUUUUCCAUCGAACUGCUCCACCUUGAAAUGUGAGAUGCGUACACUAGAACUUGCCAUGACAAACAGCCCACAACCGAAGAGCCGAGGCUCUAAUACCACUGUUGGAAAAUAGAUCCCCCACCACGCAAGUGCUAGAAAUUAGAUGGAAAGAAAAAAUAAAGAAGCCAAGAAGAACACAAGAUUUAACGAGGUUCGGCCAAUAUCCUUGCCUACGUCCUCGGAGAGUAUCACCUUCACUAAUGAGAGAAUUACACAAGUACAAGAUUACACCACUCAAGUUUAUACCCAACCCAAGCCCUUGUAUCCAAAAGGACACCCCUUGUACACCCUCUCUCAACCUAGAAGAUUACUCUAUCCCAUGAGUUAUUCGCACUCUUGAACACAACUCACCCUAUCUUCUAUACACGAAGACCCUCAGAGUUGUUCUCUUCUCUCCUUACUUGCUUCAACACAAGCUUCACCUUUUUAUAGCCUUUGAUAGAAGUCUCUAGAGUUACUCUAUCAAUGCUCAUUCAUGACUAUGAUUAAACCUUCCAUCUUCCCCAUUAUCUCCAUGUAACUCCCUAGGAAGACUAAGAGGUAUAUCAUGAAUUUAAUCCCAUACAUUUAUUCUCACUUAACUAUGCAUCAAUUCCAUGCAUAACUUAUCACCAUGAAUGCACAAACCAAUAACUCUAUGCAUUCAUGCCAGGCAUAAUAUCUUCACCAUGAAGGGAUAAAUACCAAACCCAACAUUCAUCUCACUGUGGAGAUUUAUAUAGGAUUACAAGGAAUACAAACGGUAAGUACUAACUAUGAUAUAACAGAAAUAAAUCUACAACAUAACUAGGAUAUAUUUACAUUCUUAUUCUAACUCACGCUAACAAUAACAAAUUGUCUUGCAGUAAAUAGCGUGUUUAAAAGCAAAAAUGUAAGCUAGCAGUAUAAAACAACAUGCACUACCAGGACAAACACUUUAGCCGACCAAAAAUUUUCAUCGGCCUGUCAGCUUAAUUCGUCGGCUCAGAUCUUAGCCGACGACCUUUCGUCGGCUAAGAAUUCAUCGGGAAAAGGUCGUCUGUGGUGACUUUAGCCGACGACACAUGUAGAAGUCGUCGGCUAUAGUCCAGAGUUUAAUCGACGAAAAAACUGUCGUUGGCUAUAGUCCAGACUUUAGACGACGAAAAAAAUGUCGUCGGUUAUAGUCCAAACUUUAGCCGACGAAGAAUUUAUGGUAUUCGUCGGCUAUAGUCUAAAGUUUAGCCGAUGAAAAACAUGUCGUCGGUUAUUUCUCCCACUUUAGCCGACGAAUAAUUUAAAAUAUUCGUUGGCUAAAGUUUGUAAUAAAAAAAUAAAAACAUCUAUAGCCGACGAAAUAUAGUCUAUUUCGUCGGCUUUAUAGGGAUUUAGCCGACGAAUUAAAGCGUAUUUCGUCGGCUAAAAUUUAUUUUAAAAAAAAUAAAAAACUUUAGCCGACGAAUUAAGGCGUUUUUCGUCGGCUAUAAGUCCAUUCCAGUAAAAAAAAAACCCCCGAAAUUUCUGAAUUACCAUUCCAAGCAAGCUGCAAAAUACACCAAAACAAUUCCAUAUAACCAACAACAAUCAUAUAAAACUAUAUAAUUCAUUCAUCAACUACAGAAAAUCUAAAUCGUCUAAAUUAAUAUCCGCUUCUGAGGGCUGCUGCGGAGGUUGCGGCGGCUGGGGUAGCGGUAUGGGCGGAGGCAUGGGCGGAGCCGGAAGUCCCUGAAGUUGGGCAGCUGUAAAGUCCUGCAUGUACUGGAACAUCUGCUGCUGCUGGGCCUGCUGGAUGGCAUGUAUCUCGGCAACAUAGGCUACCUGCGCGGCAUUAUAGGCUGUCUACGAGGCAUUAUAGGCAGCCUGAGCAGCUUGCUGUUCUCGUAGUCUCUGAACUUCCGACUCUAGCUAAGUCGUCCUGGUGGUCGUGGACGUGGUCCUGCUGCUGGUCGAGGCUGCCUUUCGUUGAAAUCCUGGAGUGGUCUUCAGGACCCCCUCGUCUUUCUUUCCUAGACCCCGGCAGUAGAAGUUGUUUGCUCUCGGUGGGAAGGUUGUGCCCAUGAUCCUCGCCCCAAUCGUCGGAUCCGAAGUGUCGAUCCGGGACAUGGCUUCGGACAUCUCUUCCUCCUGCGUGUCCGGCCAUGUCUCCAUCGCUAUAACACUCAUCAUCUCGUCACUAGCCUCCCUCACCUUCGCCUAUAUGGAUAGGAAAAAAAUUAUUAAUUAACAUUUUGACAUAUAUAUAAGUAAAUUUAAAAAUUUAAAAACGUAAGAUGACUUACAAUAUCCUCCUGGGCGUCAGGAUAUGCCUUCUCGUACGUAUAGACGUACCGGUUGACUUCUGGAUGUUCCCUGGCCGCCUCGUCCAUGAAGACAGCGAACGGUCUAGAACCGCCAUGAUGGUUCUUUGUGUUGCGUUGCGGUUCUGAGAGUUCGCUCGGGAAACGGCCUUCAAAGAAAAAAUAAAUUAUUAGUAAAAUAUUUAAAAACGGACGUACUUAAUGACAAAUUAACUAAUUAAUUUUUUUAAAUACCUGUUUACGAGGGUUGUUGAAUUCUAAUGUCAGAAGCCAACGCCACUCGUACUCCCUGUACUGGAACUCAGCAGGGGUACCAGAACGUGCGUUCCCGUGCGUAGUCCAGUGGGUCCGCAACUCGUUCUUCCACUCCUUGUACCUACAGAUACAACAAAAUAUUAGAAAUAUUAUUAAUGUCACAUACAAUUUUGUUUUUCAUUAACUUCCCAACGUACCUUCCCUCAUGCACAACGUCGGCCCAACUGUCAUUCAGGUGCUCGGGAACCUCAAACCACACAUGCAUUUAACCGUUUAUUGGUUUAGUUUUUCGAGAAAUCAACAAUGUAAUACAUAAUAUUAUUUUGUAAACUCACCGACAUCGCGUUUUGGACCAUGUCCUUAAUCUCCUGCGGGACCUCGCCCCAAUCUGACCACAACAUAGGGACUCUAUCCCUAAUGAGCGCUCCCACGCGGCCGGAGUACGUCCUCGACUUCCCGCCCGAUACUAUGUGGCCAUCCCCGUCAGUAUUGAUGACGAUCCUCCCCACGGUACCCACGAUCUUCUCGAGAGCCUUCCNNNNN